UGGCUUCUGGAGUCUUCUAGAUGAUAGAAAAUUGCGCGGCACGUUAAUAUCUCUAUGUAAACCCGACAUGUGGGCCUUUCUUCCAUAUUUCCUGAUAACCCCCUGCAGAAAUAGAGAAACACCAAAACUCAUGUAAUUUUGUCAGAUAAAACCCUAAGUCUGGGUGUUGGUUGCAUUUGGAUCCUUUUCUUUAUUUAUUUGAUGAUUAUAUUUGGUACUUAAGGACCGUCCACAAAUGCCCCCAAGCUUACCUCUUGCUUGUCCUUGACCAAGGAUGGACUCAAGAGUUUCUGCAGUGGUUUCAUGCCUUAAAAGUACACAUGCAUUCAAGCAAGAUCUCAUCUCUGAGUUAGAGUAAACGGUUAAGACUUAAAACUUACUGAUUUUACCUUUCUCCAUGGGGCUUGCAACCGUCACUUGUGUCUUGAGCAGUUAAAAGAUAGAACGGUCAAGUAAAGUGUCAUGUCUCUUGUUCUUUGAUCAGCUGUAGCUUUGGAGUUUUUGCAGAUUUUCAAAUAAAACUCAGAGAUUCCUUGUAUAACUCUCUCAAAUCUUUUUUUUUGGUAUUUCUGGAUCCUUUCCAAGGCAGUAAUGGUAUAUGCCUUCUCUCGAAGUAUGUGGUAUUUUUGGUAUGAGGAAUAGUGAUAUUGCCUUCUCUCUCACCCUACUCUAAUAUGGUUUUGAUAUCUGGAGCUCAUAGGUGGGAGACAUACAAUACAUACUUACAAGACAUUUAUUGCAUAGUCAAACCAUGGAUCCAGAGAAAUAAGUCAAUAAGUCAAAUCAAGAUGUGUAUGUGUGGCGAGUGAAUGGUGUAUGGUGAUGAUGGUGAUAACAUUGGUGAAAGUCUAAUUCUACUUUUGCUCUUUUGAGGGGAUACAUACCUUUCUUGCACUUUGAAGCUUUUUGAGGAGAAUGAGAUGCUCUAUAUUUUCUUUUUCUUUUCUCUCAGGUGGGUAUCUUGUACCCCUAAUUCUACUGUCGGACAUUUGUCCAUUUUUAACUCUUGUCUCACUUUUUCUUUUCUUCGAGGUUCCGGGCACAUGCCCCUUUUUAUUUCCUCGUAUCCUCUUUUUUUUAGAGCACUCAUCUCCUGAAAUAAUAUAGCAAGUGGUAGUAACCAAGAUAACUCGAGCAUUUAUUUCAUAGGGAAAACAGAAAUAGGAGAAUGUUUUUAGCUAUUCUCUCCCGGAUUAGGAGUAGAAUAAUUUUAGGUGAAUCUGGAGAUGGCAUUGAGUGGAUGUAUGUGGAUGCAUACUUCCGGAGUAGAAGUAGCAUGUAUGAGUGAACGUGCAAGUGAAUCUUGAUUUUAACCGCAUGACAAGCUCCUAAGGGUCUACACAGCUUGACCACACUCAAUGCACGUAAGCAGUAAAAAGUAAUUGUAUGGUUCAUAGUCUAAUAAGCAUAUAUAUAUGGCUGUGGUAGGAUUUUAACUCUCAUCAUACAGGAACUCAUCAUGUGUUAUUUUAAAGAUUUUCAAAGAUAAAAUUCUCCAGAGUUCUAGCAUCUCUAGGAACAGAUAAACAGCAGCUCAACCUUCCCAUAUCAUAUCCGUUAAUGACUUAUACUUUAGAUCAAGUACUAUUCCCACAAGUUCAGGUUUAGAGCAGGUUUAAAUUAUAUCAAUCAUGCCUAAACUUGAGACAGAGCUCAAACUUGAAAACUAGGUACAUGGCAGAGCAACUAUUUAUCAUAUCCAUGUAAGAGUUUAUCAUUUAAGUUCAGUUUGGCCUAGACACUUUAUUUAUUUAUUGAGCAAACUAAGCAAAGAUAUAUAUAUAAGCACAAAAUUUUUAUUUGGGUUUUCAUGAUCAUGCAUCUUUUUAUUAUUUGAGUAAAGUAUAAACGUGAGUAGAAACACUUAGCUGGAUAAAUGGGGGGUGCUCUCCCUCAAGCUGGAUUUUGACGAAAUUUCUUCUGAUGUAGCUAGCAGGUGACGGAGGCGUAUCUGAAUGUUGGCAGCACCCUGACAGCGAUUAGGAUGACCUUCGUCUGCUAGUGUUCUUUGAUCCUUGAAUCCUGUGGAGCUCAAAUAGACAACAAAGCUUUGUGGAACUAGUUAAGUGUUAGCAUAAUUAUCUAGCCUUUAUCAUGUUGAGCCUCCUCAAUAAAUGUUACUCUCUUUAGCAGGAUCAUAAAUUUAUUUUUAUAUUUUUAUUUUUAUAGGACAGGAAUAUAUUUAUUUUAUUUUUAUGCCACCACAGUGAAUGUACUUAUGGGUUUUAUGCCAUGAGCAUAAUCACAUGGGGCUUACUAUUUUUAACAUUUUUAUUUUCUUUUCAAGAUGAUAUGAACCUGAUUAACUAAGCAAACUAUUUUAAAUAAUUGAAGGGAAAAGGAUAACUACAAAGUUUACCUCUUGGCAAGGCGUUCGGUGUUUUUAAGUCCUCCGAACGGGACUCUCCGUUUUCUCAAUCGUCCUGGGAUUCGCUGGAUGUCGUAGUUGGUGGUUCUGGCGGCGCCUCCUCUUCGUGUAUAACUAUCUUUUCUCUCGAUACCGGACUCGGUGCUACGGUCUCCUCAGGACAGUUCUGUUCAAGCUAUAUGUCUUCAGACCUUACUACUUCUCCUUCGUAGUCUGCCCAUCCAUCUGAUUUGCCUCCUCUGGUUGUUGUUGCGUCGUCUUCUUCUUAUCCUGACCUGCUUAGAGUCUUGCAAAGAAGCUACAACAAGAGGUCCACGCGCUACUUUGUGAGAUUCAUUUAAACAUUAAUAAGAAUUAUAUACUACCUAAGUGUUGUGCCUUGAUUGUACUCAGGUAUAUAGAAGAAGAGAACGAUGAAUCAGACCCUGAAGAACGGACCGGUGCAAGUUCCAGAAGAAGUAAAAAACGGACUAGUGGAAGUCAAAAACGGACCAGUGCAAAGAAAUCUUCAUAACUUUUAACUCACAAAAGCUAUGAAGGUCCAUGAGCACUUGUUGGAAAGCUUGAUGAGUCUACCUUCCAAUGAAUCUAGUGUUGACCAGUUUGGAUACUCCAAAUUUCCUGCAGACCAGAAUUCGCACAAACUGCUCAGAAGGUCAACAGUGUGUCGUGAUAGAAUGUUGGUACAACUUGCCAAGUAAAACUGUACCAAUCUACAACGUUUCGUACUGGUUGGCAAACAUUGCUAGAAAGCCCUUUGAGUCUAGUUUUACACCCAAGAAACAGUUCAUCAUUUGGACUUCCUAAUAAAAAGUUAUGGUCAGUUUAUUGGAAACUGCUCUGGAGGCCAACAGUCACGCGAAGCCACUUCGGGAAUCCAUUUCGAGGGGACCUUUCACAUUGCCUUCCCUCAGAAACUCUAUUUCGUUUUCAUACCUAUCUAGCAGGGCUGUUGCUAGUAUAAAUACCCCCUAAGACUCAUUGUAAUCUCAGACUUUUGAGAAUUGAAAUACAGAACCCUUUUUGUUUAGCUGUGUGCUAGCAAAUAUUCAGAGAGUGAUCUCUACCCCUUUGCUCUUGUGAUUUCCUCACGGGAUUACAUAGGCGGCGGCUUCAUCCGCUCCCAAUUGGUGCUCCUACUCCCUUCAAGGUAUUCCUUGAUUGAUUGUAGGCUGUGUUGGUUGGUUCUUUGAGAGUGUGGUUGGGCGAAUCCUCGAUUCAGGUUGCCGGUUAAAGAUGGUGGUUGGCUUCGAGUUUUAUUUGCCAGGUUGCACUAGUUAUCGCUGCUUGCAGCAAGUUAUCCGGCUGUUCUUCAGCUAGUUAUCGGUGUUCUUCCUACGUCGUGAAGAUCGGGACAACGUGUCGCAUCAUCUGGUAUCAAAGCUUUUGUUACCACGGUAGGAAUUCUAUCCCUAGCUACAUAUAUAUUUUUGCUUCGUCCUAUCCACCAAAAAGCUAGAAAAAUAGAUUGCUUAGACCUUUGUUUCAAUCUGUUAUUUUAGUGAGUUCGGUUAAGUCGCAGUCCAUUAGAGUCUUUGUUUUAGUUGCUGAUCAUUUAUCCUUCGCGUGUUCUUUGUGCCUCUUUUAUAUCUAAAAAUCCCCACAAAAAAAAUCUCUAUAUCAUAUAUCAUCCUUUGUGUUAACUUUGAUCCUAUCUAGCUACUGGUUGUUGUUUCAUUUCUAUCUUUAGUUGUGCAAGUAUCAUAAUCUGAUCCCUGUUUUUUAGUUCUAUAUAUAAAAAAAGUGUGUCAAAAAAAAGAAAAGAAAGUGAAAAAAAAGUGAAGUGAAAGGUUCAGAGAGAAAGUCUGAAAGAUUAGUUGGUUUAUGUGCACAAGUGCUGAAAGUUUCAUAUCAAGUUCUGCAACCAGUUUGCUAUCUUUGUUUGGUGCAAAACUUUGGUUGGGUCUGAUUGCAACACUUGCAUCCCAAUCAUACUCCUUGUUUGCAUCAAUUCUAAAUUUUCUUUGCGUGUGUGUGAUCUAUUUAUACACUUCAAAACUUUUGAUCAGCACUAGGCAGAGAAUUUCUAGUUUGGAUCGUUACUUAACUUUACAACAACUAGAAUUCAGAUUGCAUUCCUUGUGUAUUACUCCCAACCAAGCUCCACAUAAAAACCAUCGUAAUCGGUACUCUCUAUUCUUGUAUUCACCUUGCCAUCACUUUCAGUUGCCACCACACAUUUGUUUUCCUUGUAAUCUGCAGCAGAGGAAUUCAUAAGAGCUUUGGUGGUUAGAGAGGUGAGUUGUGAGAGCCACCAAAUUUUCAUAUUCCACAAAUACAAAUUAUUUGUAUUCAGCUAACCUUACAGGAAGAUGGGUCGAGUGGACAUCAAAGAUCGUGUUACCAUAACACAAUUUAAUAAAAUCUGACAAAGCAUGGAAGAAAAGCAAGAGCGGUUGACACAAGAACUUUAGAAUCUUAUGACUGAAAUCAGAAGGCAUCGUCCAUCUCAUGAUGGUGCAAGCAACCAUAGUGGAGAUAGAGAAGAUAGUGAUGGAAGAAGAGGAGGUCGGAGGAACCAAAGGGCUGCAAAUGGUAAAGGAAGAAGACAUAGUGGAAGAAAUGAUGAUGAAUGUGAAUAUGAGUGUUGACGGUCCUUAAGUAUCAAAUUUAAUUAUCAAAUAAAUAAAGAAAAGGAUCCAAAUGAAAUCAACAUCUAGACUUAGGGUUUUAUCUAACAGAAUUCCACGAGUUUUGGUGUUUGUCUAUUUCUGCAGGGGGUUAUCAGCAAAUACGGAAGAAAGGCUCACACGUCGGGAUUACAUAGAGAUAUUAACGUGCCGCACAAUUAUCUUACACCUAGAAGACUCCAGAAGCCACGAGACCGAAGCGGUGAGCUUCUCCGGCGGAUCCAAGGGCACCGGCAAAUGGAGUGAUUCCGCAUCGAUGGAGGUAGGUGGCGCUAGGGUUUCGGCUACGGAGAGGGGUCGCCGUCGGCCAUGGCGGCACGGCGGAGCUACCCCGGCUUACGCCGGCCAUCUCCGACCGGUAGAACGUCGGGGAAGGGUGGCUACAGCAUCAGCGAGUCAGCGUGGAGCUUUCGAGGUAGGAACGCCUAACCCUAACGGCUCCGGUGAGACUGAUCGCAUGCGAGGUGCUCGUCAGCGGUGAGCACGGCGGUGCGGCGACCGUGUUCCCGCGUGACGGUGAGGUUUUAGCCGGAAUGGCGUGGUGUGGACCGACGCCAAGACCUAAGCAGACCCUAACGCUACCCAAAGAGAAGAAAGGAAGUAAGGGUGAAGCAGCGGCGAGGUUCGCCGGAAUUGGUGUCGCGACGGCCGCGAACCCGACGACGAAGAACUUGCGAAAUGCCGCUCACCUCGGGGAGAUCUCGUCCAACCGAUGGGUGGAGAAGAUGGAGGAGCUCGAGGCGGACUUGGAGGCGCUCGGAGGCGAAGCAAGACGCAGAGACGAAGACGCGAGGAGCUCGCGAAGCUCUCGGCGGCAAUGGCGACGGCGUUUCCGCCAGAGCGAGCGCGAUAGAGAGGAAGGAGGAGAAUGGACGGGCGCGGAGCGAGUGUGGGGCGCCGUGGCGUCCAUGCCAACGUCGACGACCUGACGAGCGGGGCCAUCGCCGGUGUAAGUAAUUUAGCUUUUGCUUAAUGAUAACUGAGUUUUCUAGGAAACUUGUCUAAAUCCAAUUUGUUGUAAACUUUAUGAACUAGCUGUGGUUUAAAUUUGGGAUCAAUUGGCCUAGCAGUUUAAAAGUUAUGGUUGUUCCAAUUUGGGUUCCAGAAAUAGGUGCUCUCUGUUUUUCUAGGACAGAACCUGGAACUUUGUUUAAAUGGCUUGUUUAACUUAUGAAUCUUGCUGUGAUCACUUUCAUGAGAUGGUCCUAAAACAACUUUUGUUCCAUAUAAAAUUUGCUACAACUUUGCUGUAGAAAGUUUUGACAUGCAAACAUUUUAUGAAACACUUUUUAAAAGCCUAAGCAAAAGAGGUUUCUAGACCCUAUUUGUGUAAGUAUGACUUAUGUGAUUAUUUUGGAGAAGUGAUCGACAAGAACAUUGUUCCCAAGGUUGAGUUAAGCAUAGAAUUGCGAAGAGUAUAGAAUUGUUUAAAUGACUCGAUUGCGAAGAGUACUCUCCAGAGAAUUCCUUCAUUUUUCUCUUUAUAUGGUGGAUGCCUACAUCUGUUUGCUGCAAUUCGAUGACUCGAUUGCGAAGAGUACUCUCCAGAUUUCUAUGAAGUGCAUAUUUUCUAUUGCGCCGGUGGGAAAUUUAGAGAAGUCGCGGGAGUGUUUCUCGCCGAGAAACACUCACCGGACGCUGGCUCAGAGGCACCGGACGCUGUGUCUGAGCGUCCGGUGUGCAGGCUGCCUGGCUCAGCUAGGGUAAGGCACCGGACGAUAGGCACCGGACGCUGGCCUGUGCGUCCGGUGGUCCGUGUCCGGUGUGAGGUCCGUUUUGCAGACCUCUCUUGGUGUGAGUCCGGUGAGCACCGGACGCUCAAGGUGCGUCCGGUGGCUUGCGUCCGGUGACCCUGCAAGUUUGCAGAGCUCUCUGCGCAUGGGUCCGGUGUGCACCAGACGCGUCCAGUGGUAACUUGCUCAGCGUCCGGUGCUCUGCAGGUUACCGUUAGACUCUGACACGCGGCUGACGUUGGAGCACCGGACGCAGGUGUUGAGCGUCCGGUGCCCCUUUAAGAGCGCCCGGUGACCCCGUAUUUCACCCAAUGAAAGAGCCAACGACUCUAUUUGUUUGAGGGGCUAUAAAUACGUGUUUGCCCGGCUUGGGGCACACUUACUUGGCAUUCUAACAUACUUGACAUCCUUGUGAGCCUAAGCAAACACCUCCCACUCAUUUCCUUCAUAGAUUAUACAUCUUUGUGAGAUUGGGAGUGAUUUCAAGUGCAUUUGCUUGAGUGAUUGCAUCUAGUGGCACUUAGUGAUUGCAUCUAGUGUUACUCUUGGUGGUUGCCGCCACCUAGACGGCUUGGAGCAGCGGAGGAGGAUUGGCACGAGUUGGUGAUUGUUCGUGGCCAUCUCCCGGUGAUUGUGAGAGGUUUGUGCCUACCUCGGUGGAGUGCCAAAGGCAACAUUAGUGGAUUGCUCGUGUCAUUGAGCUACCUCACUUGUGGGUAGUUUCUUGUGGUGUCCUAGUGAGGACAAGGUUCGUGCUACACCUCUUAGCCACCGAACCACCAAGUGUUGGUCGACACAACGGGGAUGUAGCGUGCCGGCAAGCACGUGAACCUCGGGAGAAAAAUUGUGUGUCUCCAUUGUGAUUGUUCAUUGGAUUUCUCCCGGUGAUUGGACUUCAUAUUAUUGAUUGGUUCAUCCCCUCUACGUGGCGGUAUAAAGUUCAAACCAUCUCUUCUACAUUCCCGCAAACUAAAGUAGCUUACUUACUUUUAUAGAAACUUUAGGUAGCUUUCUAGUGUAAGUAGUGACAUAGCUCUUGUGUGCCUAGUGAUUAUAUCAACUAGAAUUGUUGGAUAGGUGGCUUGCAAACACCCCUUUAGAGCUAGAGAAAAAAGCUUUGCUUUGUUAUUUACUAACCCCUUGCUCUAGUGAUUUUGUAGAAUUUUUAAAUAGGCUAUUCACCCCCCCUCUAGCCAUAUUAGGACCUUUCAAUGUAGCUCUCCAGCAUAGAGCAAUUAGCCAGCAAAAUCAUCAAGUGGUUUAGGAGACAAUCAUCGGGCAAAACCGGGUUUUAGUCGGUGAUCGCGUCGCCUGAAUCUGAGCCGAGCUCGCCGUCGUGGAUGUCCAGAGCGACACCUGUCCGCCAGAUGGCGCCCAUACGCCGGCGGUGGCCCCGCUCGUCAGGUCGUCGAUGUUGGCAUGGACGCCACGGCGCCCCACACUCGCUCAGCGCCCAUCCAUUCUCCUCCUUCCUCUCUCUCGCGCUCGCUCUAGCGGAAAUGCCGUCGCCAUUGCCGUCGAGAGCUUCGCGAGCUCCUCGUGUCUUCGUCUCUGUGUCUUGCUUCGCCUCCGAGCACCUCCAAGUCUACCUCGAUCUCCUCCAUCUUCUCCACCCAUCGGUUUGAUGAGAUCUCCCCGAGGUGAGCGGCAUUUCGCAAGUUCUUCGUCGUCGGGUUCGCGGCCGUCGCGACACCGAUUCCGGCGAACCUCGCCGCUGCUUCACCGUUACUUCCUUUCUUCUCUUUGGGUAGCGUUAGGGUCUGCUUAGGUCUUGGUGUCGGUCCACACCACGCCAUUCUGGCUGAAACCUCACCAUCGCGUGGGAACACGGUCGCCGCACCGCCGUGCUCACCGCCGACGAGCACCUCGCACGCGAGCAGUCUCACCGGAGCCGUUAGGGUUAGGCGUUCCUACCUCGAAAGCUCCGCUCUGACUCGCUGAUGCUGUAGCCACCCUUUCCCGACGCUCUACCGGUCGGAGAUGGCCGGCGUAAGCCGGGGUAGCUCCGCCGUGCCACCAUCGCCGACGGCGACCCCUCUCCGUAGCCGAAACCCUAGCGCCACCUACCUCCAUCGAUGCGGAAUCACUCCAGGAGCACGCUGGUGCCCUUGGAUCCGCCAGAGAAGCUCACCGUCGGCGAGCAUUUGCCGGCGAAGGCGUCCUCUGUUCUCGGUGUCACUGACGCGCGGGUCCCGACUGUCAGGGACUCAACAGCCUUCUCCUUCCUUUUAUUCAAAUCUUGAUUUUUGGCUUUCUUGCAAAAAUCAUAUCUCCAGUUUCUGAGAUCCAAAAAUUGUGAAACCAAUUUUUUGGUAUUCCUUGAGAUGGCUAGUUUUUAAUAAAAAUAUAAAAUGAACCAUGUUUUCUGGGAAAAAUAUUUAUUAGGAUUUAAUCUUGUUAUUCAUAAAUAAAUUCAUAUCUCUUGUUAUACUGCUUAUUUUGUUAUGAAAUUUUUAUGGUAGUCUCUGUGUGGUACUGGAGUGCUAUGAUAAAUAUUUCAUGAUUUUUGGAGUACUGCAGCUUUGAUAUGUAAUUUAUGCUUGAGAUUUGGCUUGUUUCCUUAAUUAAAUCUUAUAAAAUAAUUGGUACUUAUGCUGGUGCUCUACUUUGGAAAUAAACUUGUUUAUAGUAUUCUUAAUAUGUAAAUAAUCUGAAAUCUGUUGUUUGGCACAAUAUAAGUCAUGUUUCUCAAUUUAUGAAAUAAAAACCUUGUCACAUGUUAAAUGUAUAUCUUUAAUUUGGUAUGUGCUUUUGCUCUGAAAAUUUUAUGGUGAUGCUUUGGUGCUAUACUUGUGCUUUUGUAAUUUUUGUAGAUUUGUCUGAGCACUUUUACCAGUAUCUUGUAAUUAUACUCCUUUCUAGAAAUAAAUUAAUAAAUGCCUUGUUAAUAAAUACUUGGAGGUUAUCAUAUGGUGUUCUGGCUAUCUUGUGGUGUGCUUGUGCUCAUAGGCCAUGUGGUUGGCAUUGUUUAUGUUUUAGUUUGAAGUUUUAACGGUAAAAAUAGAUUUGUGCAAUUCGGUUUUAAUUGCUUGUUAAAUUUGUCUUUUUCAUAACCACUGUAUUAUUGCUGAAAUAAAUGUGGAAAUAUUGUGGCAAGCUUUUCAUAUGGUAUUUGAUGUCUGGUAAAUGUUUCAUGAAUUUAGGCAUGACAGAUUAGGAGUUAUAAAAAUAACAAAUUCUCUGUGUUGUUUUGCUCCUAUUCUGAGUGGAUCUUCAUGUUUAUGUUGUUUGGCUCAGUUAAGUUGAGAAUCAUGCUUUCAUGUCUAAAUAUCAAAUGUAGAUAAUUUCUUAAGCUUUCCUGAAUGUCUUAAUUCAUGUCUUUUGGAGUUGUGUAACUCCAGUUAUGAUUUAUUUUCUCAGCUGUUGUUAACAGUCCUAAAAAUGGCAGAUUCCUUGUAUUGCUGUUGCUUGGUAUAUAGAAUGUAUGACUCAUGUCUUUGAUAAUGGCCAAGUUAAUACACCUGAGAUCUUGUUAAACAUGUAUGCCAUGUCUAAUAUGUUUAGUGUUGCAUUCUUUGUUGUCUUAACAUGUUGGCUGUGUAAUCUUUAAGUAAGCAUUGAGAUGUGCUUAAGUGUGUUUAGUGUAACCAUGCUCUUGCCAUGUUUCUUGUGUAUGCUUUGUCUAUUGCAUUUCCAUGUGUUCAUGCACUUGCAUCUUGCAUGUCCUCUAGAUACGCUAGAUGAACCACGUGAAGGACAUGAGGGUGGAUCAUCCCGAAGAUGGAAUGAUUAAGCAAGUGUUAUGAUCUUAGAUGUCACCAAGACGGAGCAAGCUAACUAAUCUGACUCGGUGUCACAUUCCAGGCAAGCCCCGGAGCAUUAUAAACCUCCUACUUUUUGAAAGUGAAUGAGUAGAUAUAUGUUAUAUAUGUAUUGUUACAUUAAGUAUAGGAGUUGGAUGAAACUCUUGCUGCAUAUAUAUACCCUUCCUUGUCCAGUAUAUAUAUAACCUGAAUCCUAAUUAGUUAGGAUCACAUCUAUGCUUAGCCAUGCUUAGUUCGGUAGAGGCCAGGUGAUUUCCUGUCACCUACGAGAUAUAGGUGGAUUCCGGAUCACGGUUGGCUAUAUUUGCUAUCGUGGAAAAGAACCAUGUGUUAAUAAUAUGAAAGGAGACCGGGCGGGAUGGUGAUAGUGAUGCAACAAGGCAUGGAGGUCUUGGGUUUGGAUCUAUCCCCGUCUAUGUCGAUUAAGGACUGACCGUUGUACGUCCUCUUGUCAUGUUGAACGCAUGCCUAACACUUAGUUGGCCGGAUAACUCGUUCCGACCGCGAAGCCUAGUAAUAUGACUCAGGCCGGAAGGCCGGAAAGUAUAAAGUGCGCACUACCAGAGGAAGUGCGGUGUGCGGGAGACCAUUGGCGUAAGUCGAAAGGCAGGUGAGUUAAAAUUCCUGACCUCCCUGGCAGAGUGGUAGCCCUAGGAGUGCGGCGCUGAUUGUUGAUAUUUAGGAACGCAAUAAGGAAUUGAUCCGCAAGCGCACGGAUAUCGGUGAGCACUUCACCCGAGAAAUUAUCCAGAGUAUCGUAUUUAUUUUUUUACCACUAGGAGAAAGAGUGCAUCUAACUAACCGGUCUAUUACUACUAACCUUUAGGCACAAAGAAUGUCUUUCGAUGUGAGUGAUAAAUAGAGAAGACUGCAACCGUAGUCUUCUUCUAACCUUGGUAAGGAUGAUUUACUGUUCUAAUGGGGAGGCUAACGGAAUCUAGACACCACAAAGGAUGUUCAACCCACACCUAUAAACCCUAUCCUUCCUGCUAACGAGAUGUGAUCUACAAAGGUAGCUCGGAAAUGUCACGUUCCUCACUACUACCACGGUCCAGCUAGUCAGGGAAUAUCUAUGAGUACCCCAGCCUAAACACCACGUUUACGCCAGCAAUGAUUACUCUAAACUCUACGCGAAGAGAUUAAAGUAAACUCAUAAACCAUAAGAACAAUAAAACAAGAACUUACUAGAAUUUAGAAGUCGAAUUACUGAAGAAUCCUAGGAGCAAGCUUCGGGUUAGGAGAACUUGAUCCCGCAGCUACAAGCUUGGAGUAGACACCGACACGCCGGGCUUCCUCCACUCUACACCUCCACUCUAUCUCUCUCAAUCUAGUAGAAACUAGAAGAUCUAUUUCUACCUUACAUUGAUUGCUAAGCCUAAAAAGAAAUAUUAAUUAGAGAAGAGGUUUUCCUUCGAGGGCACCCCUCAGUCUCUAUGAUAAUUUCUUCAUGUCUUCUCCAGGGGCCAGGGGGCCUCGCUUAUAUAGUCCUCCCCUUCUAUGCGUUUUUGGGUCGAUAGCCGAGGUGGUACCAUGUUUUUCUUGAUCCAAUAGGUCGGUGGAAUAUCCCGAGCGAAGGAGUCCUAAAUUGGCUCCAGCAGGGGGGCGGGCGCCCAGGCUUCCAGGGCGGGCGCCCUGGGCCUGGCCCAGCUUCGCCUCCGCUUCGGUCUCGUGGCUUCUGGAGUCUUCUAGAUGAUGUAAAAUUGCGCGGUGCGUUGAUAUCUCUAUGUAAUCCUGACAUGUGGGCCUUUCUUCCUUAUUUCCUGAUAACCCCCUGCAGAAACAGAUAAACAACAAAACUCGUGGAAUUCUGUCAGAUCAAACCCUAAUUCUAGGUGUUGUUUGCAUAUUGGUCCUUUCUCUUGUUUAUUUGAUAAUUAAAAUUAAUACUUAAGAACCGUCAACAAAUAACCCCAUACUUAGGCUUUUACUCGUCCUCGAGAAAAGGAUGGUUAAGAAAAAUAUCUGGGGUAAACAUUUAAAACAUUCUCUUUAUAAUUGCAGGGUGUUAAAAUUCCACUGUGUACCAUAGUCAGGGAUGUAUAUGAUUAAGAGUAAAGAUCCUUUCUUCUCAAUCCUGUCACUUGGAGUUUUUGUAUAUUUUUGAAAGAAAAUUAGCAUACCUUUUGAUCCUCAUAGGUUCUCUCAGAUCACUCAUUAUCUUUUAUAUAUUUCACUGAGGCUGUUUUAAUUUUGCAAAAAAAUUCUCAAGCAUACUUACUUUGCAUUUAUUGCCUGAUCAAAACGGGAUCCGAGGAGGGGAAUAUCAUACUCUUAGAUCAAAGACUUUGGAAAUUAAAAACUUUGUCAACUCUUGCUGGCAUAUUGCUUAUUAGAGGGACCAUGGGCUAUCAUUUUUUUCUCUUUUCUCUUUUUUUUAUUUUACUAAGUGGAUACCGAGGUACCCCUAAUUCUACUGCCGGACACAUGUCCAUUUUUUUCUGCGAGGUUGUCGAGCACUUGCUCCUUUUUAUUUCCUCGAAAUAUCUCUAUUUUAGCAUAGCCCAUGCCUCUAAUGCAAUAAUACUUCGGAAGAGUGAAUCUUACUGAAAUAGUGUCUUGAUCUUGGGAGCAUGAUAAAUCUCUCAACAAGGGUCUAACUCAUUUUGAACAAACUCAAUACAGAGCAGAUAGCUUUUAUAAUCAUAUUUAAUAUUUCAGUUUUAUCAGGCAUAUAAAACACUGAGGAUGGUAGCUAGGAAUUUGAAUAUUUUGGAAUAAAUUCUCCAAGCAACAAUGAUAUCAAGAAUAAGAAACUCAUACUCUACCAUCACAUAUUCCAUAUUGAUUUGAGUAACACAGGGUUUUAAAAUGAUUUUAUACUAAUUGCAAGUUUUCAGGAAAUAUCACAGAUUGAGAUUAAUCAUGAUUAGAAAUAUUUUAAUCUUUUUAUUUUAUCAUGUUGGAAACAGUAAUCUGCAUAAUCCAAAAUAAAUAUAUGUGUAAAGUAAAGUGUGCAGAGUGUGUACCUGAGUGGUGGAGUGGUGUAGUCGGAGUGUGUUUGGCAAGUUGAGGGAUCUCCCCCAUACUUGUUUUCUGCUUUCUUGCACAAAAAUAAAGUAGAGACACACAAGACAUAAUAAUAAUAGUAAUACUCUUUAUUGAUCUUGAGGCAUUUAUUACAAAAGACUGAUAACAAACUGAUAGCAAAUUGAUAAUAAUAGUAAACUGAUGAUAAUAGUAAACCUAAACCGAAUUUAAAGAUAAAUGACUAAGAUGCAUUGCCUCAAGGUCUAAUCUAGAUAACUUAGCGGCGCUCUAAUUCCUUGAUCUUCUUGUUGGCACUGGCAAGAUCCUGCCUAAGGCCUAGUAUAAUGGUGUUGUGGUUAGAGAGCUGCCUAGUGAGGGAAUUAAUCGAGGACUGGAGGUCUAUGAUAAUUCUAUCUAGCCUGCGAACUUCCUCAUCAAUAUCCAUUAUAGUCUUGCGACGCUUGGGAGGUGUCUCAAAAGCAUUGAGAGAGUGCUUCGGGGCUGCCUUUGGAGGGAUGAAACGGACUUUGGCUGCUCUAAUCCCUUCGAAGUAAGGCCUCUCCUCCUCCGUAGUGUAGCGUACGCUGCUGAUCUCGCCGCUUCGGUUGGUCUUGACUCCAACGACCCUUUCAUUGGGUCUAGGUGGAAGGACCCUUGUGCCGAUUGGCACCUUGAUAGUGGUCUUCGCCUUGGAUGAUGAUCCUUUGAGAAGUAGGGUUUGUGGUGGUGCGGUGAGAACUGGUUGAGCAUGGUAAGAUUGGGCGGAGCUGCGUUGACGUAAUGGCAUGGCUUCUAGCUGACGUUCUGUGUUGGCCGGGACGAGAGCACGGGCAUCGGGGUCUUCCACUGGCUCCAUGUUGAGGUUGAAGGGGACGACUUCCCAAUCGUCGUGGUACUUGUCGGCCAUUGGAGUAGCAAGGAACUAAUAAAAUUUUAAUUGAAGGAGAGCUAAUCAAGCUCUAAUUGAAGGAGAGAAAGCUUGGUGGCUUGGUGUUUGAAAACUGAUGUCAGGGGUCUGUUUAUAUAGGGGUCAAAAGGAUGCCUCUAUGGGUUGUUCGGGUUGCUCCCGUCGAUGUGCGUGCGAAACUUUCCAUCCGAGGAGUUAUUCGGAUCACCCUAAGUGCAUUUUCCAUAACAGAGAAAGUCGGGACUGAGGGGGAACAGGGGCAGGGCGCCCGCCCACUUGACCUGGGCGCCCGCCCUCUCUCUGGCCCCUCUGUGGGCCCACUUCUCCGAGCGCAUUUCUAAAUGCAAAAUUAUUUAGAAAAAUAUAUAUAUGACCCAAAACCAUCAAACCAAAAGUGUCGGGCUCUAAUUCUCCAUGGGAAGGUAAAAAUGGACUACGUCUAUUUCUUCAAAUUCCUCAUUGGGCUCUAAAAAUAAUUUAAGACGUUGACCAUUUACCUUGAAUAACGUACCUUCGCUACUUUGAAGUGUGAUAGCUCCGUGGGAUGAUGAAUUGAUUACCUUGAAUGGUCCUUCCCAUUUGCUCCGGAGUUUUCCAUGCCCGAAAAGCUUCACCCUGGAAUUAAAAAGUAAUACCUUAUCUCCGGGUGUGAACUCCUUCUUCUUGAUUCUCUUGUCAUGCCACCUCUUGACUCUUUCUUUGUAGAUUUUUGAAUUGUGAUAUGCCUUCUCUCGCCAUUCUUCCAAUUCUGGUAGUUGCAUUCUUCCAUAAUCUCCAGCAACAUCCAGGUCCAUAUUCCAUCUCUUUAUGGCCCAGUGUGCUUUGAACUCUAGUUCAACAGGUAGAUGGCAAGUCUUCCCGUACACCAAUUGGUAUCGAGACAUUCCAAUUGGGGUCUUGUAUGUUGUCCGGUAUGCCCAGAGUGCAUCGGGUAACUUGUCUUUCCACGCCGUUCCCAUUUCAUUUACUGUCUUCUGAAGAGUAUUCUUGAUUUGUUUGUUGGAAGUCUCUGCUUGGCCACUUGUCUGAGGAUGAUAGGGGGUAGCGACGUUGUGACGGAUUCCAUGUCUUGAUAGAUAUUGCUUGAAACAUUUGUCGAUGAAGUGUGCUCCUCCAUCACUUAUCACUACUCUGGGAACUCCAAAUCUUGGAAAUAUAAUUUCUUCAAACAUCCUCUUUGAACUGACGUUGUCGGCAUGCUUGCAAGGUAAUGCUUCUACCCACUUGGAGACAUAGUCAACCGCCACCAAGAUGUACUCGCACUUCUUUGAUGGAGGAAAUGGACCCAUGUAGUAUAUUCCCCAGACAUCAAAGAGUUCAAUCUGAAGGUUGUUGGUGAGUGGCAUUGCAUCCCUUGUAUUUAUGUUUCCGUGCCUUUGACAUGCCCCACAUCUUCUGAUAUAUUGCUUCGUGUCUUCAUACAUUGUAGGCCAAUAGAAUCCACACUGCCAGAUCUUUGAAUGUGUACGGAAUGCUCCAUAGUGACCUCCAUAUGGUGAUGAAUGACAUCUGUCGAUGAUCUUCCAUCCUUCCUCAGUGGUCACACAUCUCCUGAGUAGGCCAUCAGAGCAUACUCGGAAGAGGUAUGGCUCAUCCCAUAUAUGUGAACGACUUUCUUGAAUAAGCUUCUUCUUGUUUGCUCCUGGUGGUACAUACCCUGAAACCAUAAAAUUAACAAUAUCUGCAUACCAGGGGUCAGACCUGUUAAUCCCGUAGAGCAUGUCAUCCCGGAGUGAAUCAUUGAUUGGGGUUUCCUGUCGACUCUUAAAAUACAUUCUAGACAGGUGAUCAACAACAGAAUUUUCUACUCCCUUUUUAUCUUUUAUUUCUAAGUCAAAUUCUUGGAGUAAUAAAAUCCAUCUAAUCAGGCGAGGUUUAGCAUCUUUUUUAGUGAGCAAAUAUUUUAGUGCAGCAUGAUCAGUGUAAACAAUUAUUUUAGCUCCAACUAAAUAAGAUCUAAAUUUAUCAAUGGCAAAGACAACAGCCAGAAGCUCUUUUUCAGUGGUUGCAUAAUUAAGUUGAGCUCCUGUCAAAGUUUUACUGGCAUAAGCAAUUGCAUGAUGCUUCUUAUCUUUAGUUUGUCCUAAUACUGCCCCCACAGCAUAAUCACUAGCAUCACACAUAAUUUCAAAAGGUAACGACCAAUCAGGGGGUUGAAUGAUUGGUGCAGAGAUGAGUGCUUUUUUUAAUAAAUUGAAAGAUGUUAGACAUGCAUCAUCAAAUUCGAAAGGAGCAUCCUUGGCUAGCAAAAGAGUAAGUGGUCUAGCAAUAAAUGAAAAAUCUCUUAUGAAUCUACGAUAAAAACCAGCAUGGCCAAGAAAGCUUCGAAUUCCUUUUAUGUUCACAGGUGGAGGUAGUUGUUCAAUUACUUCAAUUUUAGCUUUGUCUACCUCAACACCUCUUUCAGACACUAAGUGAAAUCAUCCAUGAAAACUUCCAUAAUCUCUUCGGUCAUAUCAGAAAAUAUAGACAUCAUGCAUCUUUGAAAAGAAGCUGGUGCAUUACAUAACCCAAAAGACAUUCUACGGUAAGCAUAAGUUCCAUAUGGGCAUGUAAAGGUGGUUUUGCUUUGAUCAUCGGGAUGGAUCGGGAUUUGGUGAUACCCUGAAUAUCCAUCUAAGAAACAAAAGAACGAAUGGUUUGCUAACCGCUCUAGCAUCUCAUCUAUAAAAGGUAAAGGAAAGUGAUCCUUUCUCGUGGCUUUGUUUAAUUUUCUAUAGUCUAUGCACAUCUGCCAUCCAGUGACGGUGCGUUGCGGAAUUAGCUCAUUCUUUUCAUUCAUAAUAACAGUCAUGCCUCCCUUUUUAGGCACAACUUGGACUGGGCUCACCCACUCACUGUGCGGCACAGGAUAUAUAAUCCCUACAUGCAGCAACUUAAUAACUUCCUUUUUAACUACCUCUCUCAUAGUGUUGUUAAGUCUACGUUGGGGUUCUCGAGAGGGUGUAACAGAAGGAUCUGUUGGAAUACGAUGAGUACAAAUCAUAGGACUGAUUCCUGUAAGAUCUUGAAGUGAGUAGCCGAAAACUGAGUGAUGUUUCUCAAGAAUGGUCAUUAAUCGCAGAGUUUGAUCCUGAGUGAGUUUAUCGCUAAUGAUCACAGGGAACUCUGGAUUAUUGUUUAGGAAAGCAUAGGUAAGACCGGGUGGUAAGGUUUUAAGUUCUAUGGGGGGUCUAGGUGUUUCUGCAAACUCAUCUAAGGGUUCAGGCUUGGAAGGUUCGUCUUCUUCUUCUGUGAAGAAAGGAGUUUCGUCUUCUAAGUCUGGUUCAUCUAAAAGCUCUAGAGAUGCAGCCUUUACUUCCUCCAUAGGAUCAGGCAAAAGAUAUGACUCGGCCUUAUUGUUUAAGGAGUGUGAAAUUAUCAUUGGGAAUUGAAAAGUUUUUCCAAAAGAAAUGUGUAGCUUUCCAGUAUGACCUUCAUAAAGGAGUCUUCUAAAAGGUUGUCCUAUUAAUAGGUCGAAGUCCCAUGUAUCAAAGAUAUAGAAGUUCAAAUGAACCAUGGAGCCUUCUACCGUAAGAGGUAGGACAUUAAUAAUUCCAAGACUGGGGACUAAUCGUCCCGAAGGUUCCUUUAUGACCUUUGUUGUGGGGGUUAAGACAAGAUUUUUAAAUAGUUUAAGUGCAAAAGAUUCAGACAUAAUGUUGAUCCCCACAACAGGAUUAUAAAGAGUAUUAAAUCGAUCAGAAUUAUAAGUACAACGUAUAGUUAUAGAGGGUGUGUCCAAACGGAUUACAUCAGAGGAAAGCUCUAAUUCCUCCAACCAUUCGCUACUCAUUACUGAGAUAAGCUCUCUCAAUUGAUAUUCACUUGGUAAAUAAAUGCUAAACUGGCCGUUUUGGGGUUUGUCAAUAGAAUGGUAGUUUGAAAUAUUUCCAAAAUCGGCAAAAAGAUCGGAUUCUAUAUCCAGCAUGAAGUCCGGUAGAGGAAUUUCUUCCUCUUGAGGCUCAGAACUUGGGAUAGCUAAAGUAGAUGAAGAAUUUGGCAGAGUGUCUACUUUGGCUUCGUAGGUUUCAUCAUGAAGGGUAUUAUCCAUCUCAGCUUCUAGGAUUCUAUCUAGGAUCACUCUAGUUUCAUCAGCAGGGAUGCGAAAGAAAGAACCUCUAGACAUUGUGUGAAGCAUUUGUUUGUGAUUUUUCUGAAGACCUCGAAAAAAGUGAAAUAAAAGAACAGGGUCUUCAAGAUUAAGGUUUGGACCAGAUUCUAAAAGAUCAGAAAAACGUUUCCAAGAUUUUCCCAAAGUUUCAUUAUCUUUUUGUUUAAAAGAUAGGACUUCGAGUCUAAGGUCGGCUAUACGGUCAAGGGAAUAGAAAUUUAGACAAAAGUUGGCUCGUAAAACUCCCCAUUCACCUUGUUGUUGACUUACCUUCUGACUGUACCAUUGUCUAGCUUCUCCCCUUAAGGAAAAAGGAAAAAGCUUCCAACGUAAUGUCUUAUCAGAAAUGCCUUCAAUGCGAAGACAAUCACAUGUUUGCUCAAAAUCUCUAAUAUGAAGGUAAGGGUUUUCGUCUUCCUUUCCCGAAAAAGAUAAGUUUUGAAUCAUGGCAAUCAACCUAGAACUUAACUUAUACUGGGGUGUUUGGAUAGGCUGUGAUGAUUCCCAUGGUAAAAGGUCAGUUGCUAAAGGGAUUGCAGACUCAUGGAUCGAUUUAGAAUUUUGGUUUUCCAUAAGGUAAGAGUAAAGGAAAAUAAAUAAAGGAUAUAAAAGAUAAGAAAAGAUAAAAGUAUAGAUACAAGCUAAUAGCAAGACACAGGUUAUCUCAGCAACCGUCUUUCUCCCCGGCAACGGCGCCAGAAAUGCUUGUUGAUAUUUGGGAACGCAAUAAGGAAUUGAUCCGCAAGCGCACGGAUAUCGGUGAGCACUUCACCCGGGAAAUUAUCCAGAGUAUCGUAUUUAUUUUUUUACCACUAGGAGAAAGAGUGCAUCUGACUAACCGGUCUAUUACUACUAACCUUUAGGCACAAAGAAUGUCUUUCGAUGUGAGUGAUAAAUAGAGAAGACUGCAACCGUAGUCUUCUUCUAACCUUGGUAAGGAUGAUUUACUGUUCUAAUGGGGAGGCUAACGGAAUCUAGACACCACAAAGGAUGUUCAACCCGCACCUAUAAACCCUAUCCUUCCUGCUAACGAGAUGUGAUCUACAAAGGUAGCUCGGAAAUGUCACGUUCCUCACUACUACCACGGUCCAGCUAGUCAGGGAAUAUCUAUGAGUACCCCAGCCUAAACACCACGUUUACGCCAGCAAUGAUUACUCUAAACUCUACGCGAAGAGAUUAAAGUAAACUCAUAAACCAUAAGAACAAUAAAACAAGAACUUACUAGAAUUUAGAAGUCGAAUUACUGAAGAAUCCUUGGAGCAAGCUUCGGGUUAGGAGAACUUGAUCCCGCGGGUACAAGCUUGGAGUAGACACCGACAGGCCGGGCUUCCUCCACUCUACACCUCCACUCUAUCUCUCUCAAUCUAGUAGAAACUAGAAGAUCUAUUUCUACCUUACAUUGAUUGCUAAGCCUAAAAAGAAAUAUUAAUUAGAGAAGAGGUUUUCCUUCGAGGGCACCCCUCAGUCUCUAUGAUAAUUUCUUCAUGUCUUCUCCUGGGGCCAGGGGGGCCUCGCUUAUAUAGUCCUCCCCUUCUAUGCGUUUUUGGGUCGAUAGCCGAGGUGGUACUAUGUUUUUCUUGAUCCAAUAGGUCGGUGGAAUAUCCCGAGCGAAGGAGUCCUGAAUUGGCUCCAGCAGGGGGGCGGGCGCCCAGGCUUCCAGGGCGGGCGCCCUGGGCCUGGCCCAGCUUCGCCUCCGCUUCGGUCUCGUGGCUUCUGGAGUCUUCUAGAUGAUGUAAAAUUGCGCGGUGCGUUGAUAUCUCUAUGUAAUCCCGACAUGUGGGCCUUUCUUCCUUAUUUCCUGAUAACCCCCUGCAGAAACAGAUAAACAACAAAACUCGUGGAAUUCUGUCAGAUCAAACCCUAAUUCUAGGUGUUGUUUGCAUAUUGGUCCUUUCUCUUGUUUAUUUGAUAAUUAAAAUUAAUACUUAAGAACCGUCAACACUGAUCGGAACCGCGAUUCCUGAGUCGUACCAAAGGUGACCCGUGGGCUCUCCGACGGGGGAUCCUUGGGUGAGUGCUAGGAAUACCCCUCCAGCUGGAUAGGAAUCGAUUCGAAUCGCCGUCUCUCCCGGAUAGUGAGAACUUGACAGAGCAGCGGCAAACGUAGCAUUCACUAAAUAACUUAAUGGUUCUAUGAUGAUGAUGAUGAUCACAGCCUUGAUAAACCUGAUAUGGUUAUUAUUGAUUGAUAUUAAUCAAGUGAUUGCUAUAGUAUAGGUGCUAAUCUAGUUGAUAGGUUAAUGAGAAUUAAAUGAUGGCUAAAUAAGAAAGGUUUAACUAUUUAUACUUAAGCUUUUUAUGCAAAAUGUUGUCCAGCAAGCUCCACUUAUAUAUCAGCCUUGCAUACUCCUUGGUGUCAUUUAUUUUUGGUUUUUGAUGGGUAAGUCUAGCUGAGUACAUUCUCGUACUCAGGGUUUAUUCCCACCAGUUGCAGAUGACAUCUUUUAUGACGGCUUCUGCAAGACCUGUCUCCAUCCCGCUGGGGAUGAGGACUAACCGUUGGGCACGGUUCUCUAACAAACUCGUACUGUUGCUUUUGGAAGGAUGGUGUAGACUCUGGCAAUAACAAGAACUUGUGAAAUGAACUUUGAACAAAUAUGUGUAAUUAUUUUGCUUCCGCUACUUCGAACUUGUGUUGUAAUAACUUAAUGACUCCGAUGUGGUGCCGCUUCGACGGCAAUAACUGACUAUUUAACAUUCGCUGUGUUUAUGUUGAACUAUUACAAUCUUGGUUUGUUGCGAGUUGGUUUGAAGUCCUUCGUGAUUUCAGUUGACUACCGGGAUUAUAUGGGCUCAAGUUUGGAAACUUGAUUGCUUGUCGAUCGUUUCUACACUUGAACUCUUAUAAUUUGGUCGGUUCUGUGACACAUCAGCUCAAGGAGGUAGACAUGCUGUCUGCAAAGCUAUACCUGCUCAUGAAGAAGCUCGACGAUAGAGCUGGAGAUAAGAAGGAAGUCAUGCACAUAUACGACUCUCACAUCACUUGUGAGGAGUGUGGAGACACUGGACACUUAGGCAAUCACUGCCCUGAGAUUGUUGAGGAUGUGAACUGCAUCAACAACAACUACUACUACUACAACCGUCCUCAACAAAAUCAAGGUUGGAAUCAACAGAGGCCUAAGUACUCAGGGAAUUAUCAAGGUAAUAAUUCUUACAACAAUACUAAUAAUUUUCCACCCCUGAGAGAGUUAGUGUCUAAUCAAGGAAAGCUAAUGGAUAAUCUAUCUAAGAAAUUGGCAUCUAAUGAUAAAAUGCUAGAAAAUAUAAAUAAUAGAAUGGAUAAUUUCUCUACUGCCAUCAAGAAUCAAAUUAGCUUUAAUAAAAUGAUUGAAUCUUAGUUAAAUCAAAUAGUUGCUGCUGCUAACCCCGGUAUACCAUCACAACCGGAAGGAUUAGAAUCUGUAAAUCUUGUAGACAUUUUUGAUGCAGGUAAUUGGAGUAACCCCGUCACUGAAUUUACUACUGAUCUUCUGCCGGUCAAGAGAGGCGAUCCAGGACGCCCCGUCAUCCCGAUCUCCAUCGGCAUGGUGGACGUCCCAGAAGCACUCUGUGACUUUGGCUCUAGUGUCAACAUUAUACCCAGGGUACUCUAUGAAAAAUUCUUUACAUAUCCUUUAUUAGAGACAACCAUGUGUUUGCAGUUUGCAGAUCAGACGAUAAGUUUUCCAAAAGGAAUAUUGAAGAACCUUUGUGUCUGAGUUGGUACCUUGUAUGCCCCAGUAGACUUCGUAGUGGUAGAGACCGAUAAUGAUCAGAGAGCACCCAUCAUCUUAGGGAGGCCAUUCUUAAACACCUCGGGAGCUAUCAACUACGCUAGUGAAGCCAAGAUCAGUUUCUACAUCAAAGGGAGGAAGGAGACGUUUUUCUUCAAGAACAAGACUACCCAAAUCCCAGAUCAAUCCAGACGUGAAUCAAGGAAGAGGACCAACAGGAGGAAUAGGAACAAGCAAGUGUGGACCGAGUCAGCUAAGAUGGUCACUGUAGUUCAUGGAGGCCAAGAUCAUCAACUUAAGUCACUGUUUUUGACCAAGAAGGACGACCCAGGAAUGCCAAGCAUCUACUGCUCCAUAAAUGGAUACAGCUUCUACAAGACGACUUGCGACACCAGAUCGGGCGUCAAUGUAAUGGCCGCAGUCACCUAUCGGCUCUUGUUCGGAACCAUGCCACUAAGACCAACAUACAUUCAGCUCCAGAUAGCAGAUCAGACAUUUCGAGAAGUUAAAGGAACAGUAACUGAUGUCCCAGUCAAAAUAGACGAUCAUUUUGUCUACACAUAUUUUCAAGUUAUUGACAUGGGAGAAGACGAAUACGAUCCACCCAUCAUCCGUGGAAGACCGUUCCUCAGCACCGUUAAAGCAAUCAUCUACAUUGGAACUGGAGAAGUCCGUAUGCACUUCCCCUCAGAGAAGGUACGCCGUUAUUUUAUUGACCCUAACUAUAUUGUUGAAGAAUCUAAGCAGGUAAGAAAUCGACGCAACCGCAACCAGAGGAGGCAGAUCAUUAAGGACGGAUGGGCAGACUAUGAAGGAAAAGUGAUAAGAUCAGAAGACGUAGAGUUUAAACAGAAUUAUCCAGAGGAGACCGUAGCACCGAGUGAGGUAUGGAAAGAGAAGAUAACUAUACAUGAAGAGGGGACACCGCCAGAAGUACCGACUCCGCCACCCAACGAAUUCCAGGACAAUUGAGAAAAUGGAGAGUCCCGUUUGGAGGACUUAAAAACACCGAACGCCUUGCCAAGAGGUAAACUUGGUAGUUAUCCUUUCCCUUUCAAUUAUUUUAAAAUAGUAUACUCAGUUAAUCAUAUUCAUAUUAUCAUAAAAAUGUUAAAAAACAGUAAGCCCCAUGUGAGUAUACAAGUGGCAUAAAACCCAUAAGUACAUUCAUUGUGGUGGCAUAAGAAUAAAAUAAAUAUUUCUUUCUACUUUAUAAAAAUAAAAAUAUAAAAAAAGGGAGUAAUAAUUAUUAAGGAGUCUCAACAUGAUAAAGGCUAGAUAUUUAUACUAACACUUAAUCAGUUCCACAAGCUUUGUUGUCUAUUUGAUCUCCACAGGAUUUAAGAAUCAAGAAGACUAGCAGACGGAGGACAUUCAAAUCGCUGUCAGAAUGCUGCUGACUUUCAAAUACACCUCUGCCACCUGCUAGCUACAUCAAAAGAAAUUACGUCAAAAUUCAGCUUGGGGAAGAGCACCCCCAUUUUUCCCGAUAAGUAUUUCUAUCUAUCUAUCUAUCUUUAUACUUAUACUAUAUUAAAAUAUAAAUAUGCAUAAACCAAGAAAAACCAAAUAAAGAUUUUAUGCUUAUAUAUAUAUAUAUAUCUUUUGCUUAGUGUGUUUAAUAAAUAAAUAAAGUGGCUAUGCUAAUCUGUAUCUUAAUAAUAAAACUCAAGCAUGGAUAUGAUGAAUAGUUGCUCUACCUAAUUUGCACAUUUUAAGUUCUCUCUCAAGUUUAGACAUAACUGUUAAAAUUUAAAGCUUGCUCUAGACCUAAACUUGUGGGAUGAAAACUUGAAUUGAAGUCUAAGUUGUUAACGGAUACGACAUGGGAAGGUUGAGCUGUUGUUUAUCUGUUCCUAGAGAUGCUAGAAUUCUAGGGAAUUUUAUCUUUGAAAAUUUUUAAAAUGUUGCAUGAUGAGUUCCUGUAUGAUGAGAGUUUAAAUUCCUACCACAGCCAUAUCUACAUGCUUGCUAGACUUUGAGCCACAACAUUUACUACUGCUUAUGAGCAUUGAGUGUGGUCAAGCUGUGUAGACCCUUAGGAGCUUGUCAUGUAGUUAAAAUCAAGAUUCACUUGCACGUUCACUCAUAUAUACUACUUCUACUCUGGAAGUACCAUCCACAUAUAUCCAUCCAUUUCCAUCUCCAGAAUCACCUAAAAAUAUUCUACUCCUAAUCUGGGAGAGAAUAGCCAAAAACAUUUCUGUUUUUCCCUUGUGAAAUAAAUGCUCAAGUUAUCUUGUUACUACCACUUGCUAUAUUAUCUCAAGAGAUGAGUGCUCUGAAAAAAAAGAGAAUAAAAAAAUACGAGGAAAUAAAAAGGGGCAACUGCUCAGAACCUCGAAAGAAAAGAAAAAGUGAGACGAGAGGUAAAAAUGGACAAGUGUCCGACAGUAGAAUUAGGGGUACAAGAUACCCAACUGAGAGGAAAGAAAAAGAAGAGCAUCUCAUUCUCCUCAAAAUGUUUCAAAAAGCAAGGAAGGUAUGUAUCUCCUCAAAGAGCAAAAGUAGAAUUAGACUUCCACCAUUGUUAUCACCAUCAUCACCAUACACCAUUCAUUCGCCACACAUGCACAUCAUGAUUUGACUUAUUGAUUUGUUUCUUUAGAUCCAUGGUUUGACUAUACAAUAAAUGUCUUGUAAGUAUGUAUAUUUUAUCUCCCACCUAUGAGCUCCAGAUAUUAAAGCCUUAUUAGAGUAGGGUGAGAGAGAAGGCAAUGUCAUUAUGCUUUAUACCACAAAUACCACAUAUUUUGAGAGAAGGCAUAUACCAUCACUGCCUUGGUAAGGAUCCAGAAAUACUACAAAAGAGAGAUUUGAGAGAGUCAUGCAAGGAAUCUCUAAGUUUUAUUUGAAAAUCUACAAAAACUCCAGAGCUAUAGCUGAUCAAGAAUAAGAGACAUGGCCCUUGACUAGACUGUUCUAUCUUUGAACUACUCAAGACAGAAGUAACGGUUACAAGUCCCAUGGUGAAAGGUAAAGUAAGUAAGUUUUAAGUCUUGACAGUUUACUCUAACUCAGAGAUGAGAUCUUAUUUAAAAAGCAUGUGUACCGUCAAUUUUUAAGAUAUUGCAAUAACUUCUGAUCCAUUGCUGAGUCUAUCCUUGCUCAAGGACGAGCAAGAGGUAAGCUUGGGGAAGUUUGUUGACGGUCCUUAAGUAUCAAAUUUAAUUAUCAAAUAAAUAAAGAAAAGGAUCCAAAUGAAAUCAACAUCUAGACUUAGGGUUUUAUCUAACAGAAUUCCAUGAGUUUUGGUGUUUGUCUAUUUCUGCAGAGGGUUAUCAGGAAAUAUGGAAGAAAGGCCCACACGUCGAGAUUACAUAGAGAUAUUAACGUGCCGCACAAUUAUCUUACAUCUAGAAGACUCCAGAAGCCAAGAGACCGAAGCGGAGGCGAAACGGGGCCAGAGGCAGGGCGCCCACCCUCCUACCCUGGGCGCCCGCCCCCUCUGAGAGACCAAUCAGGACUCUACUUCGUGGGAGAUCUCCACCGACCUAAAGGAUCAAGGAUAACCGUUCAAUCUAAGUCGGUUUGAUCCAACGGCCCAUAUUCACUUGAAGGGACUAUAAAACCAGACCCCCUGACCCCUGGAGGAGAGAGCCUCUCAACCCUAAUUCAUUAUUCUUCAAGGGAGAAGAAGCCUUUGAUCAAGAUUAGAGCCACCACAUCAAUUAGAUAUCUAGAUUGGCAUAGCUACAUAGGAUUAGAACUAGAAGGAGUCAAUCUUCGAUUGGUUUCCGGAUCUGUCAAGAGGAUUCUUGGUAAUUCUCUAAUUGUGCUUCUAAUUGCUUUCUAAUUAUCUUUGUUCUUCAAUAUUAUGAAUAUGACUUUGUUCUACUUCAAUAUAUUGCUUAUGACUUUGCUCUACUUGCCUAUAUUCAAGAUUAUAUUGUUCUUAGUUUAUCAUAGUUAUAUACUUGGCUUAGUUAGAUUGGAUCUAUAUACAUGCUUAGGAUCGUAUAGCGUUUAUCCAUCGGAUCCAUGGGUAAAUGAUAGAUAUUGUGUAGGCGUGGUGCUUAUACCGUAUUUAUCUACGAUUGUACCCAAUAUGCCAGAUCGUGGGGUAGUUCGUGAUAGUGAUAGCUUCAUUGAUUCUUAUAUAGUCCCCCUCUCGUGUAUUGGGCUGGCAGAGCAAUAUUAUUACAGGGGAGUGAUUUCUAUGUUUCUCAUAUUCCUUGCUAAUAUCACUAUGCAUGGGCCUACCUUGUCUCGCAAUGAUUGCUAAGUAUGCUUGCCCUAAUUUUGAUAAUGCUAGACUGUAUAGUUGAGAAUAACUUAGGAAAUAUUCUUGUAGUUCAUUCUAAUUCCAUGCUAAUGACUUUCUAGUGUAUCUAAUUGAGGUGCUUAUCAUAUUUAUUAUGUGGCUAAGUUAUGAUCAGAAUAAUUAUCCUUGUCACUAUUCAUUAUUUCAUAUAUCUUUUAUGUGACACAUACCCCUGUAUGAAAGAGUUAGAUAAAUGUUCUCAAUUAUACAUGCAAUGAUAGAUACUCAAUCUCAUAUUCUAUUCUGUAAUCAAUAGUGAUGAUUGUUAAUCCCUUUCCAGUGGUAAAAAUAUAAAUAACGAUACCUAGAAUACUUCCCGGUUAAAAUGCUACAUCGGUAUUAAUCUGUGCGCUUGCAGAUCCCAUUCAUUAUUUAUUUAGAAGAGCAAUUGCAUAUUUCAAUACCGCGUCUCUCAUGUCUUGCUGGGGAUGACAACUUGGCUUAAGUGGUAUGAGGGAUAGGUUUGGCAUUUUUGGCACCGUUAUCAGAAUUAGAAAACUUAGUCUACUUUUGGUAAUGAUGUUAAGAAUACCCAACAAUGAGGCUGAUGACAACCGCUUCCAACUCAGUUUUGGUCGUCGAUGUCAUAGAAGAGGCAACCAUGAAGAAAGAUUUGGCAAACUGAAAUUUACCAUGCCAAAAUUUGCUGCUGAACCAUCCACGAGGAAUUUCUCUGGAGGAAGCAAAUCACACACAAAAUUUGCUGCUGAACCGUCCAUGGUGAAAAGCUGAAGUGGAGGCUCACAAUCUAAUUUUUAGGGUACUUUUAGUGGAAGGAAUACUGCUGUCCCAAGUUCAAAACCUGCAGCAUCAACCACUACUUCAGAGGGUUCUACUUCCAGGAGUAAUGGAAUUCAGAGCUUCAAGUGUGGAGACCUUGGGCAUAUAAGUAAGGAGUGCCCCAAUACUCAGGUGAUCAUUGUGAAUGAUGUUGGAGAAUUUGAAUCAGCUAGUGAAGAGGGAAUUGAGGAGGAAGCCCAUGGAGAUGAGGACCUUACUAGCUAUGAGUUUGAGCAAGGAGCUGCUCUUGAGGUGACUCAAAUCUUGAGUGUUCAGGCAAAUGAAGCUGAAAAUGGGCAGCGACACAAAUUAUUUCAAACUAGAGCAAAGGUGCAUGAUAAAGUGGUGAAGGUGAUUAUCGAUGGAGGGAGCUGCCAUAAUCUUGCUAGUUGUGAGAUGGGUGAUAAACUUGGCUUGAAGCUGCUACGACACCCUCAUCCAUAUCAUGUAUAGUGGCUGAAUGAUUCGGGAGAUAUCAAGAUUGGAUAUAAAGUAAACCUUCCAUUCCAGAUUGGUUAAUAUGUUGACACGGUAGAGUGUGAUGUGGCACCUAUGUUGGUGUGUCACUUGCUGCUUGGAAGGCCAUGGCAAUAUGAACGACAUAGCCAACAUUGUGGGAGAACAAAUCAGUUCAAUAUCAAUCUAAAGGGGAAGAAGUUUGUUCUCAAGCCUAUGACACCCCAACAAAUCAUGGCUGAACAUUUACAAAAGAAAUCUGAAAUUGUUCUAGUGAGUAAAGAGGAAGGAGAGCAAAAGAAAUUGAGUGCCAUCCACAAUUCGGUGAGUGAGUGCCACAAGCCAAAUUUGAGGGAGAAAAAGAAAGGAGAGGGGCUGCACUACCUAAUCGACCACCAUACUGAACCAAUCUAGAAGCAAAAGAGAUACAAAGGCAUGUGCAAGAACUUCUUGUUAAAGGUUUUGUUCGUGAAAGUUUAAGUCCUUGUGUUGUUCCUGUAAUUUUAGUGACUAAGAAAGAUGGUUCUUGGAGGAUGUGUGUUGAUUCUAGAGCUAUAAAUAACAUCACUGUUCGCUAUCGCCACCCUAUCCCACGUUUAGAUGACAUGCUUGAUGAAUUAAGUGGUUCCACCAUAUUCACUAAAAUUGAUUUGAGAAGUGGAUACCAUCAGAUAAGAAUGAAAACAGGGGAUGAAUGGAAAAGUGCAUUUAAAACAAAAUUUGGGCUGUAUGAAUGGUUAGUUAUGCCUUUUGGUUUGACUAAUGCUCCUAGUACUUUCAUGAGAUUAAUGAACCAUGUAUUGAGAGCUUUCAUUGGAAAAUUUGUUGUUGUCUACUUCGAUGAUAUCUUAAUUUACAGUAAGUCUUUUGAGGAACAUGUGAAUCAUAUUCGGCAAGUCUUGGAAGAGCUUAGAAAGGAGAAAUUAUUUGCUAAUCUUAAGAAGUGCAGUUUUUGCACAGACCAUGUUGUGUUUCUUGGCUUUGUUGUUUCAGGAAAGGGCAUAGAAGUGGAUGAAAGCAAGGUGAAAGCCAUCAAGGAUUGGCCAACUCCAACAAAUGUAAGUCAAGUAAGAAGUUUUCAUGGCCUUGCUGGUUUUUAUAGGAGGUUUGUAAGAGAUUUCAGUACCAUCACUGCUCCUUUGAAUGAAUUAACAAAGAAAGGUGUUGACUUUAAAUGGGAAAAAUCACAACAAAAUGCAUUUCAAGAAUUAAGAAACGUUUGACUGAAGCACCUGUACUUGUUCUUUCUGAUUUCACUAAAACUUUUGAAAUAGAAUGUGAUGCUAGUGGAAUUGGGAUAAGAGGAGUUUUAAUGCAACAAGGAAAACUUGUAGCAUCUUUUAGUGAAAAACUAGGAGGUGCUCAACUGAAUUAUUCUGUGUAUGAUAAAGAAUUAUAUUCUUUGGUGCGUGUGCUUGAAACAUGGCAGCACUACUUAUAGCCAAAAGAAUUUGUUAUUCACUCUGAUCAUGAAGCUUUGAAAUACUUGAAAGGACAAGCAAAACUGAAACGUCGUCAUGCCAAAUGGGUUGAUUUCAUCGAAACAUUUUCAUACAUUGUGAAAUAUAAGAAAGUGAAUCACACAUUGUCAAUGUUGCUGCGAACAGUGGUCAAAAAGAACCUGAAGGUUUGGGAAGAAUGUUUGCCACAUGUGGAGUUUGCAUAUAACAGGGAAGUACACUCUACCAAUAAUAUGUGUCCUUUUGAAAUUGUAUAUGGGUUCAAACCUAUUGCUCCGAUAGAUUUGUUGCCCCUUCUAUUGCUGGAAAGAACCAAUAUGGAAGCCUCCAAGCGUGCUGCAUACAUCAAGAAGGUACACGAGAAGACCAAUGAAGCAAUUGAACUCAUGGCAGGAUGCAAGGCUGCAAGUAUGAACAAACAUAGGAAGAAGGUGUUAUUUGAACCCGGGGACUUGGUGUGGAUACACAUGCGCAAGGAUUGCUUUCCUCAGCAGCGCAAAUCAAAAUUGCUCCCACGAGGAUAUGGUCCAUUUCGUGUUCUUAAGAAGAUCAAUAACAAUGCAUACAAAAUUGAUCUUCCUGCAAGUUAUGGCGUGAGCAACUCCUUCAAUGUUGCUGAUCUCCCACCAUUCACAAGCAAAGACACUUUAGAGUCGAGGACGACUCCUUUUCAAGGGGGGGAGGAUGAUAUGACCACGUCACCAAGCAAGAUGUCACAAGCUCCAAGUCAAGCCACAUCCACUCAAGUUUCACCUACGCCGACACCAGCCCAUGUCGUCAAUGGACCGAUUACACGUAGUCGUGCAAAGAAGCUACAACAAGAGGUCCACGCGCUACUUUGUGAGAUUCAUUUUAACAUUAAUGAGAAUUAUACACUACCUAAGUGUUGUACCAUGAUUGUACUCAGGUAUAUAGAAGAAGAGAAUGAUGAAUCGGACCCUGAAGAACGGACCAGUGCCAGUUCCAGAAGAAGUCAAAAACGGACUAGUGGAAGUCAAAAACGGACCAGUGAAAAGAAAUCUUCAUAACUUUUAACUCACAAAAGCUAUGAAGGUCCAUGAGCACUUGUUGGAAAGCAUGACGAGUCUACUUUCCAAUGAAUCUAGUGGCGACUAGUUUGGAUACUCCAUAUUGCCUGCAGACCAGAAUUAGUACAGACUGCUCAGAAGGUCAACAGUCUGUCGUGACAGAAUGUUGGUACAAAUUGCCAAGUAAAACUGUACCAAUCUACAAUGUUUCGUACUGGUUGGCAUACAUUGCUAGAAAGCCCUUUGAGUCUAGUUUGACACCCAAGAAACGGUUCAUCAUUUGGACUUCCCAAUCAAAAGUUAUGGUAAGCUUAUUUGAAACUGCUCUGGAGGCCAACAGUCACGCGAAGCCACUUCGGGAAUCCAUUUCGAGGGGACCUUUCACAUUGCCUUCCCACAGAAACUCUAUUUCAUUUUCAUACCUAUCUAGCAGGGUUGUUGCUAGUAUAAAUACCCCCUAAGACUCAUUGUAAUCUCAGACUUUUGAGAAUUGAAAUACAGAACCCCUUUUGUUUAGCUGUGUGCUAGCAAAUAUUCAAAGAGUGAUCUCUACCCCUUUGCUCUUGUGAUUUCCUCGCGGGAUUACAUAGGCGGCGGCUUCAUCCGCUCCCAAUUGGUGCUCCUACUCCCUUCGAGGUAUUCCUUGAUUGAUUAUAGGCUGUGUUGGUUGGUUCUUUGAGAGUGUGGUUGGGCGAAUCCUCGAUUCAGGUUGCCAGUUAAAGACGGUGGUUGGGUUCGAGUUUUAUUUGCCAGGUUGCACUAGUUAUCGCUGCUUGCAGCAUGUUAUCUGGCUGUUCUUUAGCUAGUUAUCGGUGUUCUUCCUAAGUCGUGAAGAUCGGGACAACGUGUCGCAUCAGUUAAGGUUAGUAAAAUUGCGGCGUACCUUCUCAGAGGGGAAGUGCAUGUGGACUUCUCCGGUUCCAAUGUAGAUGAUUGCUUUAACGGUGCUGAGGAAUGGUCUCCCAAGGAUGAUGGGUGGAUCGUGCUUGUCUUCUCCCAUAUCAAUAACCUGGGUCAUCCUUUUUUGGUUAGGAACAGUAACUUAAGUCUACGAUCUUGACUUCCUUGAGCUGCAGUGACCAUCUUAGCUGACUCGGUUCACAUUUGCUUGUUCAUGUUCCUCCUGUUGGUCCUCUUCCUUGGUUCAUGUCAGGAUUGCUCUGAAAUUUGUGUAGUCUUGUUCUUGAAGGAAAGUCUCCUUCUUCCUCUUGAUGUAGAAACUGAUCUUGGCAGCACUUGCGUAGAUGACAGCUCUCGAGGUGUUCAGGAAUGGCCUCCCUAGGAUGAUGGGUGCCCUCUCAUCAGUACUAACCUCUAUCACCAUGAAGUCUGCUGGAGCGUACAAGGUACCAACUCGGACACAGAGGUUCUUCAAUAUUUCAUUUGGAAAACUGAGUGUCCGAUCUGCAAGCUAAGUAGUUAGGCCUCUGUUGAUUCCAACCUUGAUUUUGUUGAGGAUGGGUGUAGUAGUAGUUGUUGUUGUUGAUGUUGACAGGAUCAAGAUGCCCAAGAGAGGGUGAAUUGGGCUUCUCUAAAAAUUUAAGCAACCUAUAAGCUCUAAUUCAACCCCUUGUGCCUAUUGUGACUAGAGAGCUACCGGAUAAAUGUUUUGCAACCUAGUUCCAAUCCUAUUCUAGCAUGGCAAUUCUAAGAAUGUAAAAACACAAAGUAAAUGCUAGAAUGUAAAGGAGUAGUGGAAGAAACUGCUCGGUGAUGUUUUACCGAGGUAUCGGAGAGUCACCACUCUCCACUAGUCCUCGUUGGAGCACCCGCACAAGGGUCUUGCUCCCCCUUGGUCCACGCAAGGACCAAGUGCUCUCUACGGGCUGAUUCUUCGACACUCCGUCGCGGUGAAUCGCCCAAAACCGCUCACAAGCUUGACACGAGCCACCCACAAGAACUCCGGGCGGUCUUCGUGCCUCCAAUCACCACCGAACCAUCUAGGUGAUGGCGAUCACCAAGAGUAACAAGCAAAGAACUCUCACUUGACCCAAACAAGGCUCUAGAGAGUGGUGGAUGCACACUUGACUCUUGGAAUUCACUAGAGAAGGAUUCUCUCAAGAAAUCACUCAAAUCUCAAUCUUCUCUAGGCUCUUGCUACUCUCUUGCUCCACAACAAGUUUCUCAAAUGUUCAAAUGGGGAAGAGACCUCUCAUGGACGAGGUGGAGGAGUAUAAAUACACCCCACGAAGUUCAAAGGUCAGCCAACCGUUUAGCACUGAAAACAAGGUCACCGGACGCUGUUAAUGUUGCACCGGACGCUCUGCACCGAACGUCCGGUGACACACAAUGGCUAACUGUACCUGCGUCUGACAGGUCACCGGACGCUACCUCUUAGCGUCCGAUGGCACCGUCCGGUACUCCGGGGAGUUUUACAAACUCCCUGAGUAUGGGACCGAACGCAACCCGGUGCGUCCGGUGCUAGCGUCCGGUGCACAGGGGAAGUUUACAACCUCCCUAGGUGUGGGACCUAACGCUGCCCGGUGAGUCCGAUGCCAGCGUCCGGUGCCUAACCCUAAGCAAACCUCCAACGGUUAAGGACCUCACCGGACGCACUCACAGAGCGUCCGGUGCAGCGUCUGGUGCCUACUUAGGCACCCAAACUUCGUCGAAACGUGAUCGUUCAAAAACGAAGUUGGUUCCUCUCGAUCUAAGGACUAUCUCUGAGCUGCCUAGUGCUAGGUUUACAAAGUGUGCACCACACCUAAAUCUAAAGCCUUGCCUAAGUCAAGUUACUAGAUCAAAGCCCCUCUUAAUAGUACGGUCAAAGGAAAAACAAAGUCCUAAACUACUCUAAGUGCCCUUCUUCACCAUAUGGCACUUAGACCUAGUCUAGUCUUGACGAUGUCCAUCCAUCCUUUGAAAACCGAAAUGAUUUUCACUAUUAAGUAGGCAUUUACGUCCCUGUCCAUCGAGUACCUAUUACCAUGACCUCACUGAUGACUUUGCCUCUGCAAAACACACGUUAGUCAUAGUAAUCAACAUUGUCAUUAAACACCGAAAUCACUAGGGGCCUAGAUGCUCUUUCAAUCUCCCCCUUUUUGGUGAUUGAUGACAAUAACCUCGAGUAUGAAAGGAGUUGAGGUUUUCAAAUGUCUUAGUUUCAAUAAGCAUGAUACAAUAAGAGCAAAGGGAUUAUGCAUGCUUAUGUCAACCAAGUCUAACAUCCUGCAUCCAAAUAUGUGAGAUGUGUACAACAGGAUAUAAACACAAAUGGCUCAUAAGUACAUCGGAGUAAAACGCGGAAGCAUAUAUAAUAUGAGCCAAACACAUGACAUAGAGAUAUCACAAAUAAGCAUAAGUCAUGUCUCACAACCAAAGAGUAUCUCACACAAGUGCAAUGCAUAAAGGUAAACGUGAUGCAUGAUGAAGUAGCACACAAAAGAGUAUAUCAAAAGAAUAAAAAACCUCUCUAGCUCUCUGGCUCCCCCUAACUCUCAUACUCACAACUCUCUCCCCCUUUGGCAUCAAGCGCCAAAAACCUACAAAGACGGAGGUGGAGGCGGAGCAGUGGAGUCCCUCGGCAUGGCCUCAAAACGAGCUGCACCGUCUGAUCCAUCGGCCGUCGAGGCGGACGAGGUGGAGUGACCCUCUGAAGCUGCAAGUGCUGGCAAACUGGUCUGGGUCUGCUCUGGAGGCGCUGAAGCUGUCACAGGCUGUGCAGGCUGCUCAAGUCCUGCUGACAAGGCUGGCACGGACUCGGUCGCUGUAGUAGACGUCUCCGGCACGGUAGAAGACGGUGCAAGCUGCUCAGACGAGGCUACUGAUGAUGACAGGCGCUCAGUUGUGGUGACUGGUACUGUAAAAGCUGCAGGAGCCUGCAGGGGUGGAGGCGUAGGGUCACCAGUCAGAGCACUGUAAGAGAAACUGAGGUGAUGGCCUGCUGAGAGUCCAACACAAGCUGUGACGCUGUCGCUGACUGUGGAGUGAAACCUGAGCGGAGAGGCGUAAACUGUGGCACCUGCUCAAAGCCAGACGAGAUAGAACCCUGGGAGACCUGGUGCUGAGGCAUCGAGAAUGGCUGACUCUGAGCAGGGAGCUGUAGUGGCUGCUGAGACUGACUCUAGGGAGCUAGAGUGGGAGGUCUGACCGACGAUGUGCCUAGGAGCUGAAUCUGUGGAAGCUGAAUCCCUGAGGCGGCCAUAAGAGCUGCAAUCAUCGCUGUCUGCUGAGCCUGGAACGCAAGCUGCUGCUCCUUGAAGGUUAGAAGCUGUCUCUGAAGCUCGUCCUGCCUAGCUUGCAUGGCUGCAUUGAUGGCAGGUGUUGACGGUCCUUAAUUACUAAAAUUAAUAAUCAAAUAAACAUGGAAAAGGAUCAAUAUGAAACAAACAUCUAGAAUUAGGGUUUUAUCUGACAGAAUUCCACGAGCUUUGGUGUUUAUCUAUUUCUGCAGGGGGUUAUCAGAGAAUAUGGAGAGAAGGCCCACAUGUCAUGUUUACAACGAGAUAAUUGCGUGUCGCGCAAUUUUCUUCAAUCUAGAAGACUCCAGAAGCCACAAGACCGAAGCGGAGGCGAAACAGGGCCAAAGGCUGUGCGGUGCCCCCUCUGUGAGUCCAAUCAGGACUCUGUUUCGUGGGAGAUCUCCACCGACCUAAAGGAUCACUCUAAACCAUACAAUCAAUGUCGGUUUGAUCUGACGGCCCAAAUUCACUUGAAAGGACUAUAUAACCAAGGCCUCUCCACCCCCAGGGAGAGAGGAGAAGAGAAGAAAUCAUUCAGAGGUAGUCAUCAAAGUUAGGGUUUAGAGCUUCUCUCCCACAAAGAAUUAGAAUUAGCUACUCCCUAAUCCUUCAAGUUUAGAGGUUUGGUUAGAUAGCAAUUAGAGAAGUAGAGCACUACGCUCUGGAUUCGGAACUACGGUAAUAAAGUUUGGUAUUAUUCAUAUCUUUCUCUAAUUCUAUUGUUCUAAUUGCAUUAUGUCUCUAAUUAUUAUGUUCUUAGUUUGCUCUAGUUCUAUAUUUGAUAUAGUUAUGAUUGAUAAUGAGUUUAUGUAUAAGUUUGCAAAGCGCUUAGCUCUUGACGCGAGGGAGUUAGGUGAUAGAUCACAUGUGAGCAUGGUGCUUAGAUGUUAUUUAUCUGCAAAUGUAUCCUAUUGGCCGGGUCGUGUGGUAGUUCGCGAUAGUGACAGCUUCAUUGAUUCUUAUAUAGUCCACCCUCCGUUGAUAGGACAGGCAGAACUGCUAUUGUGGAGUAAGUCUUGCGAUGCUCUGAUUUACUUUAGCAAUGUUCCUUAUACAUGAAUGAAGAGUCUUUUAUGCUAUAUAUGAUCUUGUAGAUAACUAGAGUAGAUUAUGACUUAAUAGAUAGUAGAUAACUUAGAAUCCAUUCUCUAGCUAAUCCGACAUCACCUACAUAUAUGAGGAGUAGUCUAUUUUCGAAUCGCUGUGUUAUUUAUCCCUUGAACUUAUAAUUCAUUAUCAUUAUCUUUAUGGUUUACCCCCUGCUAAAGUAAGUGACUGUGUGACGAGUUUCUCGUUAGUAAUCAUGUUGUUGCAAAUUUAUCUCUAGUCUAUGCCUUGAUAGAUUUUGCCCUUAAUUUAAUCUCCUUAGUUCUCUUGAGCAAAAUUAUAAAUAACGAUACCUGGAAUACUUAUCCUGGUGAAAUGCUACAAUGAGGUGUUUUAUCUGUGCGCUUGCGGAUAGAAUAGAUUAUUUUCUAGAGAGCCUUUACAUUUAUAAAUACCUUUGUACACUCUGGCACCAUGCUGGGGAUGACAACCUAGUAUCUAAGUGGUAUUAGCUAGUGUCAACAGCAGCCUAGUCUCUGUCCCUCCUUGCCUGCUCCUCAGCUACCCUGCGCUGAUCUGCCCUCAUCCCCUCUAGAUUUGCAAGUAGAGCAGGGUCUGACGCACUCGAGGAACCUCCUGCCUCGUGGUCGUGUGCCCUAGGAGGAAGGUCUGGUACUGGGAGACGAUAAUCAUUGUCUGAGCUGUCUGAAGCAAAGUCAACCUCCUCCUCUACCUCUGCAUCUGCAAACGCCCCAAUGGCGAUAUCCUGCUCCUCCUCAGUCUCUGGUACUGCUCCUGAACUGUGAGUGCCCCUAGGAGAUGGUGGGGACACCUGACCACGUGGUGCACAAGACCACGUGGUGCCCAAGGAGGUGGUGGAGCUCUAAGGUCGUGGUGUGCUCUCAACAUCUGCUGGGGGUCGUAGUGGGGGAACACCGUGUCGGAGUCUGACAGCUCUCUCUGUAGGUGCGCUGGAAGGGGUACUGGCCUAGCACGGAGUAUAAUCAUGGUGAUCCAGUGUGCAUACCGCAACUGACGCCGUCCCCUGAAGCUCUCUGAGAUAGUGUCCUCAAUCUCUGAGACUAUCAGAUCCCACAAAUAAAACAGAGUCUUCGAUAUGUGGUGGGCUACCAACCACUGCUGUAUCCUGGUGAAGCCAUCCCUGUAGACUGUCCUGGGGAAGAGUGUCUUCCUCAACACAAAGUCGAGUGUCGGUGUUUUUCCCCCGGGGGGUCACACCAACGAGUAAAUUUGUAUGCGUGCUCCCUAUCCCGGAUGGUGAUGCAAGAAGACACAGAGAUUUAUCCUGGUUCGGGCAAGAGAAGGCCCUACGUCCAGCGGGGGGAGAGAGUUUGUAUUAUCUUGCACCUAAGUGCUUGUACAGGGGCGAAUACAAGCGUGGUAUGAAGUGUGUAGCUUUACUACGUGUGUGUGUGGUCUUGUGUUGUGAUGUCCCCCUCUUCUAUUCCUGAGUCUCUCCUUUUAUAGCUCCAAGGAGAGACACAGGGUACAUGCGUAGAUGUUAGAGUAGGGAUCGAUAGCCGCAUGGAGCGCUGACCUACUCGAGGCUUCCGUACGGCAUGGCCUCGAGCCGUCCCAUCUUGAUAGCCCGGUGAUGAUUACGCGUGCUCCUGCGUUCUGCCCUGCCAGCCGCCUUGUGCUGGUUCUGAGGUCGCAUGCUUGUACGGUAUGGUGGCGGAUCCGGCGGGGUAGCUGUGGUGUUGUUAGUCGACGCCCAACUUGUCCCUAGGAAGGGACCCGGUUCGGUCGAGGGUCGGACGCCGUGUAAUAUGCUGAUAUCUGGAGCGCUGACCUUGGGUGUCUCGAGGGGGUCCCGAUUAGAUGUUCCAUCCUUGUUUCCUGCGUCCUGACACGCCCUGGGUCGUUCGGUGGGAAGGCUGCAAAAAGAACGAUGGGACAGAAGCUUGUUCCCUAUCACGCCUUCCGUGACCCGUGUGUUAGGUGGGGAAGCGUCAGGUGCAUUUAAUGCUCCGGCCCGCGUGCGCGCGUCAGGCGGCGGACAGUGUCCUUGCGCCCGACGCCUCUCGGUUCGCUCGAGCCCGCUUCCGUUUUCGACGGCAGUCGUCGCUCGAGCCCUGACCGAUUCGCUCGACGCUAUUUCCGUCUUCGAGGCUGCGACCGUCGAUGGCGGCGCAUACGUAAGAUUAGAGCGUCGAAUUGAGGGUCUCGACCUUCGUACGGGCAAUCUCAUAAUGCGCAUCGCUGAGGGUACCCCCUACCGAUACCCUCGACAGUAGCCCCCGAACCCUCGGAGGAGUUUUUGACUCCUUCGAGGGUUAUGUUGUCUAAUUCGCAGAAACGCUUUCGACACCAGUGGUGGAAGAUUCUGACUGGCUCGUUUUUGACCGGGGGUUUCGACGUACCCUCGAUAGAGCGAGCGUCCUCCAUCCCAAAUUGAGUUCCUAGCGGGUAGUCCAAGUGAGAACCUGUGCCCCUUUUCGAGGGGGUCAGCUGUAGCCCGGAGGCGUCCUCAUAAAGCAGGGUCGACGUGGUCGGGGAUACCAGUCUCAUUCGAUAGAGACCGGCGGCUCGAUGCCUCCCGUCGGGGGGAUUCCUCUCGACUGUCUCGACCCUACCUUGAACAUCGCCAGCGAGUCCUCGAGGCGGGCCUCGAUCUUCGACCGCUCGCUGGGGAUCCCUGACUCUGGCGCUCGAGAUCGGCUGUCGAACCCUUUUGGCGGGCCAGCCAUCGACCUCUCGAGACUUUUGUGGUUACGUCCCUUGGCUUACGAGGGAAGGAAACGGCCGUGGCGGUUCGCCUUUCUGCCCGUUGGGCGCGCCUUUUUAGGCGGAUGACGUUACGACACCGUAUCGGCGAGGAAUUCGGAGAGUCCGGCCUGUGAGGAGAGAGAGAGGACUGUCAGGCGGCGCAUUUAUGGGGGGAGUUACCUUACUUCUCGGAUCUGUCCGUUGGCGGACAGCUGCCUAUAGAUACGUCGUCGCGUCACCGCCGUUCCUCUCCCUUCCGCCUUCUCGCUCUUAUUCCUUCGCUGCCUUUGCUUUCUCGCCAUCUGACGCGCACACGCCCCCUCGAGCUGUAGCGAACCCACCGUCCCUUUAGCCGAGAUGCCUGUAAGACUCGUCGCCGCCGACGACUGGCGCCCGUCGUCGAUGACGGAGCGCCGGCUGUUAGAGCUUGAGAAGGAGGGACUGCUGCGCUGCCGCACCUCGCUGUCGUCGCCAGAGUGGAUCGCACCGCCGGCGAGUCACAGGGCGCCUCAACUGCCCGAGGGCUACGUGGUGUCGUUCGCCAAGUUUCACCGCCACGGUCUGGGCGCGCCCCCAAGCCGCUUCAUGCGGGCCCUCUGCUUCCAUUAUGGGGUGGAGCUCCAGCACUUCUCUCCGAACGCCAUCACCGUAGCGGCGGUCUUCGCCGCCGUGUGUGAGGGCUUCCUGGGGAUGAUGCCGCACUGGGAGCUGUGGCUCCACCUCUACAGGGGCGAGCUGUUUCACGCCUCCACCGGAACCACGGGCGUAAGGAAGCCCGUGCGGGCGGGUUGCCUCAAUCUGGUGCAGAAGACGGGGAAGACGGACCGGCCGCGGGAGUACAUCCCGGUAGGGUUGUCGACCAACCACGCCGGCUGGGACUCCCAAUGGUUCUACCUGCGGAACGACGACAACCUCCUGCCUUCCUACUCGGGCCGUCUGAUCUUGGAGCGUCCAGCGGACUGGACGUACGGCGUCGUCCAAGCUCAUCAGUCUCGGCUCGACCCUCUCCUCGACGCCCUGAAGAAGCUUCGCCAGGAAGGUUUGACCGCCGCCCUCGUCCUCUCGGCCGUCCAUCAUCGGAGAGUUCUCCCUCUGAUGUCACGACCGUUGAGGAUGGACGAGAUGGGCCCUGGCGUCUCAUCUCGGGACCUCGAGGCAUGUCGGAUGUCCAACGAGCCUCCGGCGGACGACGAAGUCGCGGCCCGAGUCAGGGCCGCAAUUGCCGGUGAUUUUCAGCCGGAGCAUGUCAACGGCUUCCCCAUGAGACCUGACGCAGGCUCGAUCGAUCUGGUACGCUUUCUUCUUACGCGCAUCCCCGAUUCUGGGUUUCCUUUCUCCCCACCUUUUUUCUAAGUCUACCUUAGUUUUGGCAGGGUCGGAUUGAUGUCCGGUCCUCGAGGCCUCCGGUAAAGGAGGACGAGGUCGAUCGCGACAAACGGCGCCAAUCCGCCGAAAAGCUGAAGUCUGCCAAGGACUCCGCAAAGAAGGGGGAGAAGAAGAAGAACCUCGACCGCCAAGCAUUAGAGGCGCGUCGAGCCAAAUCCAGGCAGAGGGGGGAGCCUGAGGAAGAAUCCCCCAAUGAUGACGACGAUGACGACGAGGACAGCGACGACUCCGAGGGGAUGGCGUCGCGCCUCGAUCGGAUUCUCGAGGGCCCGCCUCGAGGCGACGCCGACGCCCCCCGGACAGAGGCGCCAGAGGAGGGUCCGAGCGGAUCUCGUCAUCCCUGGGCCGACACCCCUCCCGCGCCCAAGGCGGGACAAGACGCACCGCGCCCUCCCCCGGUGCCCAGGGAGAGCGAUCCGGCUAGGUCCCAGGCGUCGGGGCCGCUAACCCGUGGUCGCGCCGCGGCCUCUGAGAGAGGAGACGCCGGCCGUAAGAGCGCGGGUCCCUCCGGAUGUGCUUUUUCUAUCAAUGCGGCACCUGGCAUAAUCCGAAUCGGAAUAGCCUACAAGUUGGAAUCUUGCACCUUUGGGAUACCGCAAACCUAGGCAAGGUGUGUAUUUUAGAUACCUAAGAAUUCUCUUGACAGCAAUCAAGUGAGAUUCCAUAGGCAUUCCUUGAUAUCUAGCACACAUACACACACUAAACAUGAUAUCGGGCCUAGAUGCGGUGAGGUAGAGUAGACUUCCUAUCAUGGAGCGAUAGAGACUCUUAUCAAUUGGGUUACCUCCCUCAUCCAAGUCGAGAUGCCCAUUUGAUGCCAUGGGAGUCUUGAUUGGCUUGCAAUCCAUCAUCUUGAACCUCUUGAGAAGAUCUUCUGUGUACUUCUCUUGAGAGAUGAAGACUCCUUCCUUCAUUUGCUUGACUUGAAAUCCUAGGAAGAAGGAUAGCUCACCAAUCAUGGACAUCUCAAACUCCUUGGACAUCAAAUCACCAAAUUCCUUGCAAAAAUCUUCAUUAGUAGAGCCAAAAAUAAUAUCAUCAACAUAAACUUGGCAAAUGAAGAUUUCCCCAUUCAGUUUAUUGGUGAAGAGUGUUGUGUCAACUUUCCCAAUCUUGAAGCCCUUCUCAAUGAGGAAGUCCCUAAGCCUCCCAUACCAAGCUCUAGGAGCUUGCUUGAGACCAUAGAGAGCCUUGGACAACCGGUAGACAUGCUUGGGGUACCUAGGGUCUUCAAAACCGGGGGGUUGCUCAACAUAGACAAGCUCAUUAAUAUAGCCAUUCAAAAAGGCACUUUUCACAUCCAUUUGAAAUAACUUGAUAUCAUGACUAGAUGCAUAUGCAAGUAGGAUACGGAUUGCUUCAAGUCCUGCCACCGGUGCAAAGGUUUCACCGAAGUCAAGACCUUCCACCUGUGAAAAGACUUUUGCGACAAGCCUUGCCUUGUUGCGCACUACUUUGCCUUGAUCAUCCUUCUUGUUCCGGAAGACCCACUUUGUUCCAAUCACUCUUGCAUCUUUGGGUCGCUCUUCAAGUGUCCAUACUUGGUUGCGAGAGAAGUUGUUCAACUCCUCUUGCAUGGCCAUGAUCCAAUCCGCAUCACAAAGAGCUUCCUCUAUAGUAUUUGGUUCAUCUUCAAGAGACACAAAAGCGUGAUGUUCAAUAAAUAAAGCAUGUCUAGAAUGUGUAGUUACACCACGUGAUGGACUCCCGAUGAUGAGAUCUUGAGAGUGAUCUUGGAGGAGAUGUGAUGUUCUUCUUGGCGCCACUUGAGGGGUUGGUUGGGGAGCAUCAACAUCUUGUGCUUGUACCACCGCUUGCUCAUGUGUGGCUUGGGUGUCUUCAUGAGCAUCUCUCACAUCCUUGUCUUCAUCUUGUGGUACAUGUGAGGUGGAUGGUGGAUCAAUGACUUGCACAUCAUCAUCUUCUUUUGGCUUGAUAUCUCCCACCGGCAUGUUCUUCAUAGCAUCCCUCAAUGGUUCACCACCUACAUCAUCAAGAUUAUCAUUUGCUCCUUGGGAGCCAUUAGUUUCAUCAAAUUCAACAUCAAAUGUUUCUUCAACCAUGUUUGUGGCAUGGUUAAAGACUCUAUAUGCCUUGGACUUUGAUGAAUAGCCAACCAAGUAGCCAAUGUCACAUCUUCUUUGGAACUUUCCCAAGUGUUGGCGCUUCUUGUAGAUGUAGCAUUUGCACCCAAACACUCUAAAGAAUGAGACAUUGGGCUUCUUCCCAUUGAGCAACUCAUAUGGUGUCUUCUCUAGGAACUUGUGAGGAAAGAGCCGGUUUGAUGCAUAGCAAGCGGUGUUGAUUGCCUCGGCCCACAUCUUCUCUGAAGUGUUGUAAUCAUCUAGCAUUGUUCUUGCCAAGGUGAUCAAUGUCCGGUUCUUGAGGAGUGUAUGUUGAGGAGAACUCAUGUUUGAUUCCCACUUCAUCACAAUGCUCUUCAAUGUUGGUGUUGUCAAACUCUUUGCCAUUGUCACUUCUAAUUUUCUUGAUCUUGACUUCAAAUUGAUUUUGGGCAUUCUUUGCAAAUUUCUUGAAUAUGGAUGCAACUUCGUCCUUGUCUUGCAAGAAGAAUGUCCAAGUGUACCGGGAGAAAUCAUCAACAAUGACCAAGCAAUAUUUGUUGCCUCCAAGACUAGCAUAUGUGGUUGGUCCAAAUAGAUCCAUGUGAAGUAGCUCAAGCACUCUUGAAGUUGAGAGGUAGGCCUUGGUUGGAUGAGUGUUUGCAACUUGCUUGCCCGCUUGACAUGCACUACAAAGCUUGUCUUUUUCAAAUGUCACAUCCUUCAAGCCUCUAAUCAAUUCUUUCUUCAUCAACUUCUUGAGUGUGCCAAUUCCAACAUGUGCUAACCUUCUAUGCCAUAACCAACCAAGUGAGGUCUUGGUGAAUAAGCAAGUCUUGACAUCAACUUCAUCAGAUGAGAAAUCAACUACAUAUAAGUUGUUGUGUCGGAAGCCUUUGAAUACCAUUUCAUUGUCAUCCUCCUUGGUCACAAUUACUUCUUUCUUCUUGAAUAAGCAUUCAAAACCAAGAUCACAUAGUUGUCCAACCGAGAGCAAAUUGAAACUCAAUGAUUGCACAUAGAGCACAUUGGUGAUGGAGUUGUCAUUUGAUAUAGCAACCUUUCCUAGUCCCUUGACCUUGCCUUCUGAAUUGUCACCAAAUGUGAUCUUCUCUUGGUUGUCAACAUCUUCAUCAAGAGAGGUGAACAUCCGGGGAUCUCCGGUCAUAUGUUGAGUGCAUCCACUAUCAAUUAUCCAAUGUGAUCCACCGGUCUUGUAGUUCACCUACACACAAGAGAUCAAGCUUGAGAUUUAGGGACCCACAUUUGGUUAGGGCCCUUGACCUUCUCUACUAGUUGCUUUGGCACCCAAAUCUUCUUUGGCCUUUGCUUGUUGGGCGGCCCCAUGAAGCUAACCUUGACCUUGCCACUCUUGUCUUUCCUUACAAUGUAGUGAGCAUUGAAGGCAAAUGGUCUUGCAUGCUUGGGCAAGGGUGGUGGUAGUGGUGCCUUACACUCAUGAGCAAAGUGUCCUUCUUGACCACACUCAAAGCAUCUCUUUGGCUUUGGCUUGCUUCGUUGAUCAUGGGUGGCUAGUGACUUGAUGAGAUUUGUUUGAUGAGCCUUGUAGGCAAUCCCACUCUUAUCCAUCUUCAUGACGGUGUUCAUGAGAAGCUCACUUUGAAGAUCCUUCCCUUUUGUGAACUUUGCUAACCCCAUGGUUAGAUGUUCCUUCUCUUUCUUGAGCUUGCUAUUCUCUUGAGUUAGCUUCUUGAUGAUUGGGUCAUUGUUGCUAGCUAACUCAUCCAAGAUGAAUGUCUCAUCUUCUUCUUGCUUGUCAUACAUCAAACCAAGCUUGAGAUAUUGGUUUUCUUCCUUGAGUAACUUGUUCUCAUAUGCAAGGUUCUUGUCUUCAUGAAGUGACUCAAUCACAAUAGUCUUGUGCUUGGCUUGCUCUUGCAACUCUUUCUUGAGCAUGACAAUUUCAUCCUUGAGUUUGAUAGUGUCCUUGUAGCUUUCAGUCACUACCACUUUCUUGCCCUUGCAAUCAAUACAUUUGCUUGUGCUCUCCACAAGUAAGUCAUCACAAGAUGUGGCUACAUCAAGCUUAGCAACAUGAUUAGUAGCAACAUGUGUUUCAUCAAUUGCAUGCUUAUAAGCAAUCUCAAGGUUGUCAUAGUUGGCUUUUAGAGUUGUUAGCUCUUCUUUCAUUGCUCUAUAUCUAGUGAUAAGCUCAUCAUGAACACUCUCAAGUUUAUCAUAUUUUUCUUUGAGCUCUUUUAAAGAGAGUUUGAGCUCCUUCAGCUUAGUGGUCAUGAUCUCAUUUUGAUCCCUAAGCUCAUCACUAGACUUAAGCUUUGCUAGAAGUGUUUCAUUUUCAAGUUCAAGCUUUUCAUUUUCACUUCUAGUCUUUCUUAUGACUUUUGUGUAUUUGUUUAGCAAUUUUACAAGUUUGUCAUAAGAGGGUGAUUCAUAUUCACUAUCACUUUCACUACUCCCAUCCUCACUUUGUACCUUCCGGUCACCCUUAGCCAUGAGGCAUAGAUGUGUAGAGGAUGUAGAUGGUGGUGAAGAUGAUGGUGAUGGAGCAUCAAUGGCAAUGGUGGCAACCUUCUCAUCAUCACUCUCAUUGCCGGAAGAGUCACCACUUGAGCUCUCAAUGUCGGUGAGCCAAUCACCAACAAUGUAAGCCUUGCCAUUCUUCUUCUUGUAGUGCUCCUUCUUCUUGCUACCUUUCUUCUUGUAUGGCUUCUUUUCAUUCUUCUCAUCAUCACUUGAAUCAUCUUGUUCUUUGUUCUUCUUCUUGUAUUUGUCCUUCUUGGGCUUUGGACAUUGAUGAGUAAGAUGACCAAGCUCACCACAAUUGUAGCAAUCCAUCUCGGAGAUGGGCUUUCUCUUGCUACUUGUGAAGAACUUCUUCUUCUUGGAGUCAAAGUUGACUCCAUUCUUGUUGAGCUUCUUCAACAUCUUGGUGGUUCUUCUCACCAAGUGGGCAAUGGAAGCAUCAUCAUCACUUGAAGUUGAUGACUCAACUUCAAUCUUCUUGGCUAUGCCCUUGUGAGAAGCUUUGAGGGCCAAGUCCUUCUUCUCCUUCUUGACUGAUGAGGAGCCAUCUUGGGGGUUCAUGUGCAUAUACAUCUCAUGAGCAUUGAUCUUCCCCAAUAUGGCGGUUGGUGUAGCGGUGCAAAGAUCGCCUUGAUGAAGCACCGUUACUAUGUGCCCAUAUUUCUCAAUGGGGAGCACACAUAGUAUCUUCCUUGCGACAUCCGCCGCACUCAUUUGAGUGAGCCCAAGUCCAUUAAGCUCCUCUACAAUGACAUUCAAGCGAGAAUACAUUUCAUUAGCAUUUUCUUUGGGAAGCAUUUCAAAUGUAUUAAGCUUGUUCAUCACUAAGUGAUAGCGUUCCUCGCGUACACUCUUUGAUCCCUCAUGGUGCGCACAAAGUUCCUUCCAUAGAGCAUGGGCGGUUUUGUGGCUCCGAACGCGGUUGAACACCUCUUUGCAAAGACCUCUAAAGAUGUGGUUUUUGGCCUUUGUAUUCCACUUCUCGUUUUCAUGCUCUUGUGGAGUAAGAGCGGUGUCCUUUUCUGGAGGGGUAAACCCUUCGGUCGCGGAUUUUAGGCACUUUAUAUCACAUGCCUCAAGGUAUGACUCCAUCUAUAUUUUCCAAUACGGGAAGUCAUCCGCAUCGAAUAUGGGUGGCGGUCCAUCCCCGUUAGACAUCUUUCUCUAGGUGGUGAAGCCUAAAUAAUGAGCACUAGGCUCCAAUACCAAUUGAAAGGAUCAAGAUGCCCAAGAGGGGGGUGAAUUGGGCAUCUCUAAAAAUUUAAGCAACCUAUAAGCUCCAAUUUAACCCCUUAUGCGUAGUGUGACUAGAGAGCUACCGGAUAAAAGUUUUGCAACCUAGUUCCAAUCCUAUUCUAGCAUGGCAAUUCUAAGAAUGUAAAAACACAAAGUAAAUGCGAGAAUGUAAAGGAGUAGUGGAAGAAAGUGCUCGGCGAUGUUUUGCCGAGGUAUCGGAGAGUCGGCACUCUCCACUAGUCCUCGUUGGAGCACCCGUGCAAGGGUCUUGCUCCCCCUUGGUCCGUGCAAGGACCAAGUGCUCUCUACAGGAUGAUUCUUCGACACUCCGUCGCGGUGAAUCACCCAAAACCGCUCACAAGCUUGACACGAGCCACCCACAAGAACUCCGUGCGGUCUUCGUGCCUCCAAUCACCACCGAACCGUCUAGGUGAUGGCGAUCACCAAGAGUAACAAGCAAAGAACUCUCACUUGACCCAAACAAGGCUCUAGAGAGUGGUGGAUGCACACUUGACUCAAUUCACUAGAGAAGGAUUCUCUUAAGAAAUCACUCAAAUCUCAAUCUUCUCUAGGCUCUUGCUACUCUCGUGCUCCACAACGAGUUUCUCAGAUGUUCAAAUGGGCAAGAGACCUCUCAUGGACGAGGUGGAGGAGUAUAAAUACACCCCACGAAGUCCAAAGGUCAGCCAACCGUUUUCCACUAAAAACGGGGUCACCGGACGCUGUUAAUGUUGCACUGGACGCUCUGCACCGAGCGUCCGGUGACACACAACGGCUAACUGUACAUGCGUCUGACAGGUCACCGGACGCUACCUCUUAGCGACCGGUGGCACCGUUCGGUGCUCCGGGGAGUUUUACAAACUCCGUGAGUAUGGGACCGGACCCUACCCGGUGCUUCUGGUGCUAGCGUCCGGUGCACAGGGGAAGUUUACAACCUCCCUGGGUGUGGGACCGGACGCUGCCCGGUGAGUCCAGUGCCAGCGUCCGGUGCCUAACCCUAAGCACCGAAAACCUCCAACGGUUAAGGACCUCACCGGACGCACUCACAGAGCGUCCAGUGCAGCGUCUGGUGCCUACUUAGGCACCCAAACUUCGUCGAAACGCGAUCGUUCAAAAACAAAGUUGGUUCCUCUCGAUCUAAGGACUAUCUCUGUGCUACCUAGUGCUAGGUUUACCAAGUGUGCACCACACGUAAACCUAAAGCCUUGCCUAAGUCAAGCUACUAGAUCAAAGCCCCUCUUAAUAGUACGGUCAAAGGAAAAACAAAGUCCUAAACUACUCUAAGUGCCCUUCUUCACCAUAUGGCACUUAGACCUAGUCUAGUCUUGACGAUGUCCAUCCAUCCUUUGAAAACCAAAACGAUUUUCACUAUUAAGUAGGCAUUUACGUCCCUGUCCAUCGAGUACCUAUUACCAUGACAUCACUGAUGACUUUGCCUCUGCAAAACACACGUUAGUCAUAGUAAUCAACAUUGUCAUUAAUCACUGAAAUCACUAGGGGCCUAGAUGCUCUUUCAGAUGUAAUUUAUGUCCUCAAGCAUCUUAGGGCAGUGAUUGCCUGAGUGUCCAGUAUCUCCAGUGUCUUUGUGCUCGUAGAUCUAGGUCCUUCACUUGGAAGAAUCUAGCAGUUGUAAAACUCCUUCAGAUUUUGCUCAAAGUGUACCUACUCAUAAAUACAAGGCAGAGAUCAAGUGCAUGGGCCCUGUUGGUGUAAAACACCAAUAGAACCAAAAGUGUAUUUGUUCUUCUCUAACCUUAAGCAUAGAGAGCAAGACAAAGUUGAUGGAUAAUAAGAUCAUGAGUGUAGCAUUUGAAACAUUUGUCAGAUCAGAUCGCUCGACCUAAUGGAAAGAUAAUCUAUCUAUAUUUAUGUUUUGUUUAUAUCUUCCAAAGAUUGAAUGUGCACAUUUUAGCUUAUAUGAUUAGGAGUGUGGGAUCACGAAGGUAGUACUAAGAACAAAGAUUAAAGGACUAAACAUGUUGAAUUAAUUGGGUUGGUUAAUUUGGAGUUACAAAUCAUACAUGUUUGUUUCUUUUAUUCAUGUGAACGCCAGAACCAAGGAGAAGCUUAUAAAAGCGAUAGUCAAGUACCUUAAGAUGUUACCUUACCUGAAGAGUGAUGGUACAGUAUUACCUAGUGGAAGCUUUCCUUUCCUAGCGGUUGUGCAUCGUGUUUGUGGCACCCUCCAUGCAUCAUCUCUUAUGAGCUAUGUCUUCCUUGUGUAAAUUGUUAAACUUCAUGUGUCUCUCUCUUUGUCUCCAAUGUGAGUUUAUCUUAGGACUUCCUAGGUCGAUAUUGAAAGUUUUCCUGUAGGGGUUGGUCCAACAAAAUAUCCCAUAUCUACUAUAGCAUACUAUCGGCUCAAAAAUCAACCUAGACACCAUGUCUAAUUUGAUUUAGGAGGGUGUUGACGGUCCUUAAUGCUCACAUUUAACCGUCAACUAAUCAUGGAAAAGGAUCUAAAUGGAACCAACACCUAGACUUAGGGUUUUACCUGACAGAAUUCCACGAGUUUUGGUGUUUGUCUAUUUCUGCAGGGGGUUAUCAGGAAAUACGGAAGAAAGGCCCACACGUCGGGUUUACAUAGAGAUAUUAACAUGCCGCGCAAUUUUCUAUCAUCUAGAAGACUCCAGAAGCCACGGGACCGAAGCGGAGGCCGAGGGGGCUCAGGGACAGGGCGCCCGCCCAAGUCCUGAGGGUGCCCGCCCACCUAUUCUGACCAAUCAGAGUACAACUCAGGGAUCAUGCUCCACCAACCUAAAGGAUCAAGGAUAACCGUUCAAUCAAAGUCGGUUUGAUCCAACGGCCCAUAUUCACUUGAAGGGACUAUAAAACCAGAUCCCCUGGCCCCUGGAGAUCAUACCUCUUCUACAGAAUCAAAGUUAGGAUUUCAAUUCUUCAUCCAAGUAGAGAGGAUCCCUCUAGUUCUUCUAGUUCUACCUCUAGUUCUUCUAGAUCUAGUUCUAGUUCUUCUAGUUCUAGUUCUAGUUAGUUCUAGUUGUAAUCUAAAAAAAUAGGUAGAGAUAAGAGGAGAGCGCAGGAGGAGCCGGAUCUGUCGGAUCUUCCUCAACAUUGUACUUUCGCAGCAACUGGUUCGUUCUUCAUCGUUCUCCAGGUUCUUCAACUCAUAAUUCCUGAGUUCUUUAAUUACUUUUAUUUACAUUCAAGUUAUUUAUUGGAUUCCCGCUUGCAUCAAGUGCUCUAAUCUUUGCAACAUUAGAGUAGUAAUUAAUAGAUUAGACGUGGUGUUUAGUCUUGCAAUUACCUAGAAUUGCACCCAAUCCUGCGGAUUGUUGUGGUAGCCUUAGGGUAGUGACAGCCCUAACGGUUGACGUAUUCCACCUCGUUCGGAUCGGUGUUUGUAGGACCGUAGUCAGACCUUCCUAGCCCCCUUCUCAUCUCUUUCUGUGGUUAGUGCUCUGAUGUCCCGAUAUAGAUAAUCUUGAAGUAAUUCUUGAUUCUUAGAUCAACUAGAGAACUCUCAGGAAACUUCCUCUCUUCCCACCAAAAAUAAUUAUAUAGUUAUCCUUGGGCGAUCUUGGAUCUUAAUUAGUACACUCACGUUCUCUGUGGAAAAUCGAUACUCUGGAAUACUCUCGGGUGAAAGCUACAUCGGUAUCCGUGCGCUUGUGGAUUUUUCUGUUUGCGUUUAAAAUACCCAACAAGCUUUCUGGCGCCGUUGCCGGGGAAUGGUAGCUGUGCUAGUUUCGAACCAAGUCGUCCGUGUAUCCUUUUUCUUUUCCUUUUUUACCACACUCACCUUACCAUUUUCAUCACACCACAUGGAUUUCACUCCAAGCAUUAAUGAGCAUGGAAUUUAUUUCAUAGCCACUUCAUUUACUCCAUACUCAUAUGCAACAUCUUCACAAUCCAUUGGUCUCUCCAACAUCACCACAUUCGAGAUCUCCAACCCCCUCAUCCUUUCUAUUUAUAAAAACUUUAAAAGGGCGGUUGUCGAUGCAUAUGUCUAUAAUAAAUUUUACAGAUCUCGUUGAGUUGAUCUUGAUAUAGGUUAGAGUUGGAGGGGAAACCACUUCGCUGACAUAAAUUAAUGGUUUCCCAAGGACAAGCUUAGUGUCCUAGAAUAAGCACUGAUCAGAUCGUAACAUGAGCUUUUAAUUAUUUGCAACAUUACCUUGUGUGUUGAGUAUAUAAGGAUAAUUGUAAAAAUAUUCCUUCGGGUAUUCUUGUCACUAACCUUUCCAGGAUUGGAGCGAGAAGAUCGGAUGAAUGACAAGCACAAGGUAUGUCCAAACAAUCAUCAUACAACAUUGAAUUAAAUUCAUCCAAACUUGAAUUUUGCAAAAUUCAAGCUUGGGGGAGUACUUUACAUAAAAACAUCCUUUGCCAUGUUGCUAUGUUGGUUGUUGCUACCUUUAAGACACGCUCAAUUUUGUUAAAUACUAAUCACACUACUUCAUCUCCACUUGAGUAGAUCUCUAUAAAUGCUUUCAUGCUACCUUUAUUUGCUUUAUUAUAUGUCUACGCUUGGAGUAGUUUUAUUUAUCUCUUAAUUAAGCAUGGUGCUUAGUUUAGGAAUGAUGAUCUUACUUAUAAGGGAGUUUAAAUUAAGCAUGAUGCUUAGGUUAAAAUGCCCUACUAAAUCAAACUAGACAUGGUGUCUAGGUUGAUUUUUGAGCCAAUAGUAUGCUAUAGUAGAUAUUGGAUAUUUUGUUGGACUAACCCCUGCAGGAAAACUUUUAAUAUUAACCUGGGAAGUCCUGAGAUAAACUCACAUUGGAGACAAAGAGAGAGACGCAUGAAGCUUAACAAUUUACACAAGGAAGGCAUACCUCUUUUUCUAUCCAACGGCCCAUAUUCACUUGAAGGGACUAUAAAACCAGACCCCCUGGCCCCUGGAGAUCAUACCUCUUCUACAGAAUCAAAGUUAGGGUUUCAAUUCUUCAUCCAAGUAGAGAGGAUCCCUCUAGUUCUUCUAGUUCUACCUUUAGUUCUUCUAGAUCUAAUUCUAGUUCAUCUAGUUCUAGUUCUAGUUCCUCUAGUUCUAGUUCUAGUUAGUGCUAGUUGUAAUCUAGAAAAUAGGGAGAGAGAAGAGGAGAGCGGAGGAGGAGCCGGAUCUGUCGGAUCAUCCUCAACAUUGUACUUUUGCAGCAACUGGUUCGUUCUUCAUCGUUCUCCAGGUUCUUCAACUCAUAAUUCCUGAGUUCUUUAAUUACUUUUAUUUACAUUCAAGUUAUUUAUUGGAUUCCCGCUUGCAUCAAGUGCUCCAGUAUUUAUAACGCUAGAGUAGUAAUUAAUAGAUUAGACGUGGUGUUUAGUCUUGCAAUUACCUAGAAUUGCACCCAAUCCUGCGGAUUGUUGUGGUAGCCUUAGGGUAGUGACAGCCCUAACGGUUGUCGACGGUCCUUAAGUAUCAAAUUUAAUUAUCAAAUAAACAAAGAAAAGGAUCCAAAUGAAAUCAACAUCUAGACUUAGGGUUUUAUCUGACAGAAUUCCACAAGUUUUGGUGUUUGUCUAUUUCUGCAGGGGGUUAUCAGGAAAUAUGGAAGAAAGGCGCACACGUCGGGAUUACAUAGAGAUAUUAACGUGCCGCGCAAUUAUCUUAGAUCUAGAAGACUCCUGAAGCCACGGGAAGAAAGCGGAGGCCGAACGGGGCCAGAGGCAGGGCGCCCGCCCUCCUGCCCUAGGCGCCCGCCCUGACUUGGAGCCCAAUCAGGACUCUUUCUCUCGGGAGAUCUCCACCGACCUAAAGUAUUAAGAAUAACCGUUCAAUCAAUGUUGGUUUGAUCCGACGGCCUAGGUUCACUUGAGGGGACUAUAUAACCAGACCCCCUGGCCCCUAGAGGAGGCAUCCCUUGAUCCCUAUUCAUUAUUCAUAGACAGAGCAAAAGCUAGGGUUUAGAGAUGAGAGCUCUCCUCUCUUCUCUAAACUAGAGUAGAUCUAGAUAGUAGCGAGAUGGAGAGCGAGGGAGGAUUGGAGGAGAGGCCGGCCUGUCGGUUCUUCCUUUGGUUGUACUUCGUCAUGAUCAAGCUCUAAUCAAGCUUGCUCAUGGGAUGACUCUGGUAAUCUACUUCUAAUUCAUUAUGCAAUUACUAAUUAUGUAUGUUCUGGUUCACAACUCUUUUGAGUAUUCUAAUCUAUAGGACGCUAUAGGUGAGAGUUGUAGUAUAGGUGUAAGCGAGGUGCUUAGAUCUAGAUUACUUGUGGAUAUCCCCUGUCUAGCUGGAUCGUGUGGUAGGCCGCGUAGGUGACAGUUACGUUGGUCCCCUGUAGUCCACCUCUUGUUAGCAGGACGGGUAGGGUUUAUCGGCGUAUGGAUAAGCAUCCUUUGUGGUGUACUCUUAUCACGUGGUUCGUCCCAGACAUAGACAUACCCCUUUGAAGUAGAGAAACCAUAGUUAUCCUCUCUAUUCUGCUACCAUCGCCCAUAUACUAGAAUUGCUCUAUUCUCUAUUCCCAUAUUAUCACUCACUGUUAUCUUACCUUUAAUAUUGUUCUUAUUCGAUUCUACCAUCUUUCCUAUUUACACCUAUUUACUUAUCUUGGUUAAGUUAGAGCGUAGAUCAGUUCUCCCGUUUCCCUGUGGAUACGAUAAAACCUUUGACCGGGUAAAAGCUUCAACGGUAUCUGUGCGCUUGCGGAUUGUCUGUGUGCGUAUAAAUACCAUAGUACACUCUAGUGCCAUGCUGGGGAUGACAACCUAGUAUUCAAGUGGUGUUAGCAAGUGUCAACAAGCAUUUUUGGCACCGUUGCCGGGGAAACGGUUGCUGAGUUGACUACGAACUAGCUUAAUCAUUUUCUAAACAAAAAUAUUUUGCUUUUAUCCUUUGCCUCAUCUCUGCUAAUCUUUCUUCUUAUCUAAUCCUUGAUCUCUAGUCUAUCGUGAAUUCAAGCAUGUCCAUCUAUGAAUUUCAUAGACCUACGGGCACACAUCUCGAACCACCAAAAUCUUCAAAUCCUAUCAUAGCAUCUAGUUUUGAGAUAGACCCCGAAUACAUAGAAUUUGUUCAAAAACAACCUUUCUCAGGAGAAGGUGAGGAAAACCCAUACACACACCUAAGGGAGUUUUAUCGAGUCUGUUGUUGGGUAUUUUAAACGCAAACAGAAAAAUCCGCAAGCGCACGGAUACCGAUGUAGCCUUCACCCGGGAGUAUUCCAGAGUAUCGAUUUUCCACAGGGAACGUGAGUGUACUAAUUAAGAUUCAAGAUCGCCCAGGGAUAACUAUAUAAUUGUUUUUGGUGGGAAGAGAGGAAGUUUCCUGAGAGUUCUCUAGUUGAUCUAAGAAUCAAGAAUUACUUCAAGAUUAUCUAUAUCGGGAGAUCAGAGCACUAACCACAGAAAGAGAUGAGAAGGGGGCUAGGAAGGUCUGACUACGGCCCUACAAACACCGAUCCAAAUGAGGUGGAAUACGUCGACCGUUAGGGCUGUCACUACCCUAAGGCUACCACAACAAUCCGCAGGAUUGGGUGCAAUUCUAGGUAAUUGCAAGACUAAACACCACGUCUAAUCUAUUAAUUACUACUCUAAUGUUGCAAAGAUUAGAGCACUUGAUGCAAGCGGGAAUCCAAUAAAUAACUUGAAUGUAAAUAAAAGUAAUUAAAGAACUCAGGACUAUGAAUUGAAGAACCUGGAGAACGAUGAAGAAUGAACCAGUUGCUGCAAAAGUACAAUGUUGAGGAAGAUCCGACAGAUCCGGCUCCUCCUCCGGUCUCCUCUUCUCUCUCCCUAUUUUCUAGAUUACAACUAGAACUAACUAGAACUAGAACUAGAGGAACUAGAACUAGAACUAGAUGAACUAGAACUAGAUCUAGAUGAACUAGAAGUAGAACUAGAAGAACUAGAGGGAUCCUCUCUACUUGGAUGAAGAAUUGAAACCCUAGCUUUAAUUCUGUAGAAGAGGUAUGGUCUCCAGGGGCCAGGGCGCCUUGCUUAUAUAGUCUUUUCAGAUGAAUCUAGGCCGUCAGAUCAAACCGACAUUAAUCGCACGGUUUUCCUUGGUCCCUUAGGUCGGUGGAGCACGAUCUGCGAAGUUGAAGCUGAUUGGUUACUGUAGCUGGGCGGGCACCCAAGGGACUUGGGCAGGCGCCCUGCCCCGGGCCCGAUCGGCCUCCCGUUCGUUCUCGUGGCUUGUGGAGUCUUCUAGAUGGUAGAAAAUUGCGCGCCACGUUAAUAUCUCUAUGUAAACCCGACGUGUGGGCCUUUCUUCCUUAUUUCCUGAUAACCCCCUGUAGAAAUAGACAAACACCAAAACUCGUGGAAUUCUGUCAGAUAAAACCCUAAGUCUAGGUGUUGGUUCCAUUUAGAUCCUUUUCCAUGAUUAGUUGAUGGUUAAAUGUGAGCAUUAAGGACCGUCAACAAGCUCCCCCAAGCUUAACCUUUGCUCGUCCCUGAGCAAAGCUAAAAUCAGCAAGAAAUCAGGGGUUACUUUUAUGCCUCUUACAACAGGGUUUUUAAGUUAUUACUAAGGUCUUAAGUGAUUGAAAAAUAGAACGAUCAAGUGAAGCACUAUGUCUCAAGUUCUUCUGUCUUACCUUUGUUCUGGAGUUUUUUAUAAGUCUGCAAAAUAAAACUGAGGCAUUUGCCUUCUUCUCGAAAGAUAUAUAAGUAGAGCUUUAAAAGUUUUAGCAUACUUACUUUGCAUUUUGCUAGGUCAACGCUUGGAGUAAGGGAGAGGAAUGUCAUACUCCUAGAUCAAGACUUUUGACCUUUUUGAAAAGUUUGUCAUCUCUUACUGGCAUAUUGCUUAUUAGAGGGACCAUGGGCUAUCAUUUUUUUUCUUUUUUUUCUCUUUUUUUCAGUCUCUUUUUUUUCAAGUGGGUAGCAAGUACCCCUAAUUCUACUGUCGAACACUUGUCCAUUUUUUCCACUCAGGUGGGUAUCUUUGUACCCCUAAUUCUACUUCGGACACUUGUCCAUUUUUACCUCUCGUCUCACUCCUUUUUUUGAAUCAAAUUUUUGCAUAGUCCCAUGCCUCUAACGCAAUAAUACUUCGGAAGAGUGAAUCUUUUAUAUUUUUAAAACAAAAAGAUCUUGAUCUUGGGAGCAUGAUAAUUCUCUCAACCAAAACUACAAGAAUUAACAAUGGCUUGAACAAAGCAAGUGCCCACAGUUUUAAUAUUUAUAUCUUAUAAGACUCUAAGUAUUAUGAUCUCAUAUUUUUUUUUAUGAAUUUUUUAGAUUUUCAAAAGAUAAAAUCUCGAGAACUCUAGCAAAACUUGGAACAAGUUAAAUAGUAGCUCAGACCUUAUCAUAUCAUGUUUGUCAAUUACCUAGACUUGAAUCAAACUUUCUUUUUAUUUUAUUUAAAACUUAGGAUUACACAAAACUACUGUAAAUUACUCAAAAGAAAAACAUUGUUUGGUUUCAUGGUUAUGCAUUUAUUUAUUUAUUUAUUUCUGAAUACUAGUAAAUAAAACCAAGAAAGAAAAGUAAUACUUAUCUAGAUACACGUGGGGGUGCCUCCCCCAAGCUGGAUGUUGACAUAGUCGUUCACUCUUGUAGCCUGCAUGUUUGGUCUCACUCUUCCUAAGCCUCAAAAUCCUGCACAACCCAAAUAGACAACAAAACUUGUGGAGCAUGUUAAGGGUUAGGUAAUUAUCUAGAGCUUAUGAGAGCUUAAUAUGAGAAUUCUAUGAACUCAAUCACAUCAAGUUCCUCUACCAGGUUGUUUUGUGGCUCAAGAUAGAUUUUCAAACGUUGACCAUUUACCUUAAAAGUGUUACCUAUGUCAUCUUGGAUGGUAAUGGCUCCAUGAGUUGAAGUGUCAAUAACCUUGUAUGGUCCAUCCCACUUACUUCGUAGUUUACCAUGCCCAAAGAGCUUAACUCUUGAAUUGAAUAGUAGAACCUUAUCUCCAGGCUUAAACUCCUUGUGCUUGAUUCUCUUAUCAUGCCAUCGUUUUGUUCUCUCUUUAUAGAUCCUUGAAUUGUGGUAGGCUUUCUCUCUCCAUUCUUCUAGCUCAGAUAGUUGCAUCAGACGAUUCUCGCUAGCGAGGUGGAGAUCCAUGUUCCAUUUCUUGAGUGCCCAAUCAGCCUUACACUCUACUUCCACAGGCAAGUGACAAGUUUUUCCAUAUACAAGUUGAUAAGGUGACAUGCCUAUGGGUGUUUUGAAUGCAGUUCUAUAUGCCCAAAGUGCAUCAGGAAGUUUGUCCUUCCACCCCUUACCCAUCGCAUUUAUGGUCUUUUGUAAAAUAUUUUUGAUUUGUUUGUUAGAUGUUUCGGCUUGACUGCUAGUCUGAGGAUGGUAUGGUGUUGUGACGUUGUGUCGAACUCCAUGAUCGGCUAGGUACUUCCGGAAGAUUUUGUCGAUGAAGUGGGAACCUCCAUCGCUUAUAACUAUCCGGGGUAUACCAAAACGAGGAAAGAUUACUUCAUGGAACAUUCUCGUGGCAUGUUUUGAAUCAGCUGAUCGACAAGGUAGGGCUUCUACCCAUUUGGACACGUAGUCCACAGCUACUAAGAUAUACUCGCAAUUCCCGGACAUAGGGAAUGGCCCCAUGAAAUCAAUGCCCCAUACAUCGAAAAGUUCUACUUGAAGAUUAUUUGUGAGAGGCAUUUCAUUUCGUGAGUUGAUAUUCCCAUGUUUUUGACAUCGGUGGCAUCUCCUGACAAAGUCCUAUGUAUCUUCAUACAUCGUUGGCCAGAAAAAGCCACUUUGCCAAAUUUUAGCAUGUGUCCAGAAUGCUCCAUAGUGUCCUCCAUAUGGCGAGGCAUGGCAUCUUUCCAUAAUUUGAGUAGCCUCAGCCAUAGGAACACACCUUCUCAAGAGUCCAUCAGCGCAGACUCGGAAAAAAUAUGGCUCAUCCCAAAGGUGGAAACGACUAUCGUGAAGCAACUUCCUUUUGUUUGCACCAGGUGGGACAUAGCCUUUUACUAUUAAGUUUACGAUGUCUGCGUACCAUGGAUCUGCAUGUGUUAUCUUAAGAAGGGUGUCAUCCCUUAGGUAGUCAUUUAUGGGAAGCUCAUCAUGUGUUUCCUUAUAUUGAAGCCUAGACAAGUGGUCGGCUACGGAAUUCUCAACUCCCUUCCUAUCUCGGAUUUCUAUGUCAAAGUCUUGGAGUAGAAGAAUCCAUCGAAUUAGACGAGGCUUAGCAUCUUUCUUAGUGAGGAGGUACUUGAGAGCAGCAUGGUCUGAAUAGAUGCUUAUCUUUGCCCCCACUAAGUAAGAUCUAAACUUGUCUAUAGCAAAGACAACAGCUAAAAGCUCUUUUUCAGUUGUAGUGUAAUUGAGCUGUGGUCCAGAUAAGGAUUUGCUAGCGUAGGAUAUGGCAUAAUGCAUUUUAUCCUUGGUUUGUCCUAAAACGGCACCAACCGCAAAAUCGCUAGCAUCACACAUGAUCUCAAAAGGAAGAUUCCAAUCAGGUGGUUGGAUCAUCGGGGUUGAGAUGAGUGCUUUCUUAAGAGUUUGAAAAGAUUCAUGACACUCAUCACUAAAGAUGAAAGGUGCGUCCUUAGCUAGGAGAUUAGUUAGGGGUCUAGCAAUUUGAGAGAAAUUCUUGAUAAAGCGUCUAUAGAACCCUGCAUGUCCCAAAAAGCUACGGAUUCCUUUCACAUUCGUGGGAGGUGGAAGUUUUUCAAUAACUUCAAUCUUUGCUUUGUCCACCUCUAUACCACGUUCGGACACUUUAUGUCCUAGCACUAUUCCUUCCUGAACCAUAAAAUGGCAUUUCUCCCAGUUCAGGGUUAAGUGCUUUUCUUCACAUCGCUGCAAGACUCUAUCUAAAUUCUCCAAACAAUGAUCGAAGGUUUUGCCAUAGAUGGUAAAAUCAUCUAUGAAAACCUCCAUGAUCUUCUCAAUCAUGUCUGAGAAAAUAGACAUCAUGCACCGUUGGAAAGAAGCUGGAGCAUUGCACAAUCCGAACGACAUUCGUCGGUAUGCAUAAGUUCCAUAUGGGCAUGUAAAGGUAGUCUUUUCUUGGUCAUCUGGGUGGAUUGGGAUUUGGUGAUAUCCAGAAUAACCAUCAAGGAAGCAAAAGAAAGAGUGGUUUGCAAGCCGUUCCAACAUUUCAUCAAUGAAGGGUAACGGAAAAUGAUCUUUCUUUGUAGCCUUAUUGAGUUUUCGAUAGUCAAUACACAUACGCCACCCAGUGACAAUUCGUUGAGGGAUGAGUUCAUUUUUCUCAUUCCUAACAACCGUCAUUCCUCCUUUCUUUGGCACUACUUGGACAGGGCUAACCCACUCACUAUGUGGCACAGGAUAAAUAAUCCCAGCACGAUAGAGUUUGAGGACCUCUUUCUUAACAACCUCUCACAUAGCAUUGUUAAGUCUCCGUUGUGGUUCCCUUGAAGGUGUAAAAUUAGGAUCAAUAGGGAUACAAUGAGUGUAGAGAAUGGGACUAAUGCCUGUGAGAUCCUCGAGAGAGUAGCCAAAUGCUGAUCUAUGUCUUUCAAGAACAGUGACAAGUUGUUGUGUUUCAUAAUCGGAAAGCUUGUCACUGAUAAUUACUGGAGUUUUUGAGUUGUUGUGCAAAAAGACAUAUCUAAGGCCAGAAGGAAGAGGUUUUAAUUCUAUCGAAGGAGGUGAAGGUAGUUCAUUUUUGUCUAGCUCAACGGGUUCUACCAACUCUUCUUCUUCUUGAACAAAGUGUUCAUGAUUAAAGAAUGGUUGGGUCAUCUCCUCUUCAGUCACCAUUAAGACCUCCUCAAUAGGAUCUGGGUCAAGUUUGGGUUCCACUAUCGUGUUAAUUGAUCUAGCAAGAGGAACAACAAUAGUGGAAUUCCCAACCUUGAAGUCUAAAUGACCUCGUUGUGGUUGUUCCUGUAGAAGUUUCAUGAUUGGUCUGCCAAUCAAGAGAGGAAUCUCUGGUAUGUCAAAAAUGUGAAAGUCUAGACAUAUUCUAGAGUCCUUGAUUCUAACAGAAACUGCCCUUAAUACCCCAUGGCUUUCUAGAAUUAAUCCAGAUGGACUGUGUAAAAGUUUUUGAGAUGGGGUUAUGGACUCGUUGGGAUAAAGAGUGUCAGCUAACUCCUUGGAAAUAACAUUUAUCCCAACAUAUGGAUUGUAGUGGACCUUCCUAACGGACCGUCUAAUUUGGCACAGAAGAAUGGUUGAAGGAGUGAUGAUCCGAGCUACCUCUGGAGACAGCUCUGCUUCUGUUAGCCAUUCAUAACUCAGAAUAGCCGAAAGGCUUUUGAUGUGUUCUAUGUCAACAUAUUCUACUCUUAGAACAGAUUGAGUGGUCCUUGCUAGAGGUCGUGUUUGGAUAGGAAAAUUCGAGGUGUUUCCAUAAUCUUCAAAAAGAUGUUCCUCGAAUUCAAAGGGAUGCUCUAUAGGUGGUGGUUCAUCAUCCUUUAGUUGGUUUUGCAUUCCCUUAUCAGGAGGUUUCUCUACAACCAAAUUAAUAGGUGGGUCAGGUGGAAUUUCUAACUCGGUUGCAAGUUCCUCAUCUUUUGGUUUUGGAUCAGGCUCGACUUCUUUUUCUUCUUCAGGAAACUCAUCAUAAAUGCCUGUGUAACGGGUAUUUUCAAGGAUUCUCUCUAGGAUAGCUCUCCCCUCAUCUGUGAGUUUGUGUGUGAAUGAGCCUCCUGAAGCAAUGUCGAGGUGAAGAGCAGCCUCCUUGCUUAGACCACGAUAAAAGUGGUAGUACAGUACAUGGUCAGGCAGGGAAAGGUUUGGACCGGAAUUGGUAAGGCUUGUGAACCUAGCCCAAGCUGCUCCUAAAGUUUCCUUCUCUCUUUGUUUGAAUGUAAGAAUUUCGAUUAUAAGGUCAGCGAUUCGAAAGAGUGGGAAGAAAGCGAAACAAAAGUUGUCCCGAAGUUCGUCCCAAUUUCCAUUAACGCCUUCUACAGAAUGAGCAUACCACUUCUUUGCUCUUCGCAAAAGGGAGAACAGAAAUAAUUUCCAUUUAAGGGUUUCUUGUGUCAUGCCAGAAAUAGAUCGGCAAGAGCACAACUGCUCGAAUUAUCUAAGGUGGGUGUAUGGAUCUUCAUCUACUUGCCCAGAGAAGGGUUGCUCCUGAAUCAUGUCUAUUAGAUCAGGGCCGAGGUCGUAGCCAUCUGUAAGAAUUGGAUGUGAUGAUGGUGGUGGCUCUAAUAACUCACCCUUUGGAGCAAAGAAUUUAUAGAUAGGAGUGAAAUCCAUCUGGUGUGGUGAAAAUGGUAAGGUGAGUGUGGUAAAAAGGAAAAGAAAAAGGAUACACGGACGACUUGGUUCGAAACUAGCACAGCUACCGUUCCCCGGCAACGACGCCAGAAAGCUUGUUGGGUAUUUUAAACGCAAACAGAAAAAUCCGCAAGCGCACGGAUACCGAUGUAGCCUUCACCCGGGAGUAUUCCAGAGUAUCGAUUUUCCACAGGGAACGUGAGUGUACUAAUUAAGAUUCAAGAUCGCCCAAGGAUAACUAUAUAAUUGUUUUUGGUGGGAAGAGAGGAAGUUUCCUGAGAGUUCUCUAGUUGAUCUACGAAUCAAGAAUUACUUCAAGAUUAUCUAUAUCGGGACAUCAGAGCACUAACCACAGAAAGAGAUGAGAAGGGGGCUAGGAAGGUCUGACUACGGUCCUACAAACACCGAUCCGAACGAGGUGGAAUACGUCGACCGUUAGAGCUGUCACUACCCUAGGGCUACCACAACAAUCCGCAGGAUUGGGUGCAAUUCCAAGUAAUUGCAAGACUAAACACCACGUCCAAUCUAUUAAUUACUACUCUAAUGUUGCAAAGAUUAGAGCACUUGAUGCAAGCGGGAAUCCAAUAAAUAACUUGAAUGUAAAUAAAAGUAAUUAAAGAACACAGGAUUAUGAAUUGAAGAACCUGGAGAACGAUGAAGAACGAACCAAUUGCUGCAAAAGUACAAUGUUGAGGAAGAUCCGACAGAUCCGGCUCCUCCUCCGCUCUCCUCUUCUCUCUCCCUAUUUUCUAGAUUACAACUAGAACUAACUAGAACUAGAACUAGAGGAACUAGAACUAGAACUAGAUGAACUAGAACUAGAUCUAGAUGAACUAGAUGUAGAACUAGAAGAACUAGAGGGAUCCUCUCUACUUGGAUGAAGAAUUGAAACCCUAGCUUUGAUUCUGUAGAAGAGGUAUGGUCUCCAUGGGCCAGGGGGCCUUGCUUAUAUAGUCUUUUCAGAUGAAUCUAGGCCGUCGGAUCAAACCGACAUUAAUCGCACGGUUUUCCUUGGUCCCUUAGGUCGGUGGAGCACGAUCCGCGAAGUUGAAGCUGAUUGGUUACUGUAGCUGGGCGGGCACCCUGCCCCCGGGCCCGAUCGGCCUCCCGUUCGUUCCCGUGGCUUCUGGAGUCUUCUAGAUGGUAGAAAAUUGCGCGGCACGUUAAUAUCUCUAUGUAAACCCGACGUGUGGGCCUUUCUUCCUUAUUUCCUGAUAACCCCCUGCAGAAAUAGACAAACACCAAAACUCGUGGAAUUCUGUCAGAUAAAACCCUAAGUCUAGGUGUUGGUUCCAUUUAGAACCUUUUCCAUGAUUAGUUGAUGGUUAAAUGUGAGCAUUAAGGACCGUCAACAUCUGUGACCUCCUUCGCAUAGAAGGAAGGUCCGAUGAGACCCUUAAAUGGAAGCUCUUUCCGUUCUCUUUAACAGGAAAAGGUAGACAUUGGUACAAACUCAAAAUAGGAAGUGUUCAUGGAGAUUGGAAGGAGUUAUAUAGUAGUUUUCUUUCUAAAUAUUUUCCAAUUUCCAAAGUGGCGGAACUUCGGCAUGAGAUUAUUUCUUUUAGAUAACUGGAAGAAGAAUCUCUUAGGAAAUCAUGGGACCGCUUUAUUAACCUUACUCUCACUGGCCCAAAGCUUUCUAUUCCAUAAGAAGUUCUUCUAAUUCACUUUUUUGAGGGCCUUAGUGGGGAAAAUAAGCAAACCUUGAAUACAGCCUCUGGAGGAUCCUUCUAUCACCUACCUACUAGUGAAGCUUGGAAUUUGAUUGAUUUAUUAAGUGGAAAGUCUCCUAGCUUUUAUAUCCCUGAGAAAGAGACAGGACCAGUUCCUAGACAAGAAGAAGAAGUUUCGAUAGCCAGAUCACAACCACUUCAAUUCCAAACUUUAGCUAUCGAUCCUAAACCAUCAAUACCCCAAAAUUCUCCAAGGGAGGAAGGAAUUCCGACCUUAAGUCUUUCAGAUGCUGAUGGUUUAGACUUCUAGCUCCAUAAGAGACCUUCAAGCAGGGAUAAUUCAAAUCCUCGCAAUAAUGGUUCUCUUAGAGAAUGUCCUGGUUCCUGUUAUGAAGAAGUCGAGGAUGACACAUCAAGUAAAGGAGAGCUAAGCCAUAUUGAAAAUUCUAACACCUCCUCUUUCCUGAUCACAAGUUCUAAAUGGCUAGAAUGUGUAGAAUGGAUGGAUAAGGAAGAAGCCUUAAUGAAUUCUGACUUUGGUUCAAUUUCAAAUGGUGAGUUCUUGACUCCCUUUGAAGAUGGGAUUCAUCCAACUAUAGAAGAGGACAUAAGUGAGACCAAUCCAAGAGGAACUCUAAACAUUCAGAUUGGAGACGAAGAUAACACUAAUGAGCAUGGAAUUUAUUUCAUAGCCACUUUGUUUACUCCAUGCUCAUAUGCAACAUCUUCCCAAUCUAUUGGUCUCUCCAACAUCACCACAUUUGAGAUCUUCAUCCCCCUCUUCCUUUCUAUUUAUAAAAACUUCUAAAGGGCGGUUGUCGAUGCAUAUGUCUAUAAUAAAUAUUGCAGAUCUCGUUGAGUUGAUCUUGAUUUAGGUCAGCGUUGGAAGGGAAACCACUUCACCGACAUAAAUUGAUGGUUUCCCAAGGACAAGCUUAGUGCCCUAAAAUAAGCACUGAUUAGAUCGUAACAUGAGUUUUUAAUUAUUUGCAACAUUACCUUGUGUAUUGAGCAUAUAAGGAUAAUUGUAAAAAUAUUCCUUCAGGUAUUCUUGUCACUAACCUUUACAGGAUUGGAGCAAGAAGAUCGGAUGAAUGACAAGCACAAGGUAUGUCCAACCAAUCAUCAUACAACAUUGAAUUAAGUUCAUCUAAACUUGAAUUCUGCAAAAUUCAAGCUUGGGGGAGUACUUUACAUAAAAACAUCCUUUGCCAUGUUGCUAUGUUGGUUGUCCCUACCUUUAAGACAUGCUCAAUUUGUUAAAUACUAAUCACACUACUUCAUCUCUGUUGGGUAUUUUAAACGCAAACAGAAAAAUCCGCAAGCGCACGGAUACCGAUGUAGCUUUCACCCGGGAGUAUUCCAGAGUAUCGAUUUUCCACAGGGAACGUGAGUGUACUAAUUAAGAUCCAAGAUCGCCCAAGGAUAACUAUAUAAUUAUUUUUGGUGGGAAGAGAGGAAGUUUCCUGAGAGUUCUCUAGUUGAUCUAAGAAUCAAGAAUUACUUCAAAGAUUAUUUAUAUCGGGACAUCAGAGCACUAACCACAGAAAGAGAUGAGAAGGGGGCUAGGAAGGUCUGACUACGGUCCUACAAACACCGAUCCGAACGAGGUGGAAUACGUCGACCGUUAGGGCUGUCACUACCCUAGGGCUACCACAACAAUCCGCAGGAUUGGGUGCAAUUCCAAGUAAUUGCAAGACUAAACACCACGUCCAAUCUAUUAAUUACUACUCUAAUGUUGCAAAGAUUAGAGCACUUGAUGCAAGCGGGAAUCCAAUAAAUAACUUGAAUGUAAAUAAAAGUAAUUAAAGAACUCAGGAUUAUGAAUUGAAGAACCUGGAGAACGAUGAAGAACGAACCAGUUGUUGCAAAAGUACAAUGUUGAGGAAGAUCCGACAGAUCCGGCUCCUCCUCCUCCGCUCUCCUCUUCUCUCUCCCUAUUUUCUAGAUUACAACUAGAACUAACUAGAACUAGAACAAGAGGGACUAGAACUAGAACUAGAUGAACUAGAACUAGAUCUAGAUGAACUAGAGGUAGAACUAGAAGAACUAGAGGGAUCCUCUCUACUUGGAUGAAGAAUUGAAACCCUAGCUUUGAUUCUGUAGAAGAGGUAUGAUCUCCAGGGGGCAGGGGGUCUGGUUUUAUAGUCCCUUCAAGUGAAUCUGGGCCGUCGGAUCAAACCGACAUUGAUCGCACAGUUUUCCUUGAUCCUUUAGGUCGGUGGAGCAUAAUCCGCGAAACGUGUCCUGAUUGGGCACUGUAGCUGGGCGGGCGCCCAGGAGAGUUGGGCGGGCGCCCUGCCUCCGAGCCCGAUUUCCUUCCCGUUCGUUCCCGUGGCUUCUGGAGUCUUCUAGAUGAUAGAAAAUUGCGCGACACAUUAAUAUCUCUAUGUAGACCCGACGUGUGGGCCUUUCUUUCAUAUUUCCUGAUAACCCCCUGCAGAAAUAGACAAACACCAAAACUCGUGGAAUUCUGUCAGAUAAAGCCCUAAGUCUAGGUGUUGGUUGCAUUUGGAUCCUUUUCCAUGAUUAGUUGAUGGUUAAAUGUGAGCAUUAAGGACCGUCAACAAGCUCCCCCAAGCUUAAGCUUUGCUCGUCCCUGAGCAAAACUAAAAUCAGCAAGAAAACAGGGGUUACUUUUAUGCCUCUUACUAUAGGGUUUUUAAGGUCUUAAGUGAUUGAAAACAAAACGAUCAAGUCAAGCACUAUGUUUCAAGUUCUUUUGUCUUACCUUUGCUCUGGAGUUUUUUUAUAAGUCUGCAAAAUAAAACCGAGGCAUUUGCCUUCUUCUCGAAAGAUAUAUAUAAGUAGAGCUUUAAAAGUUUUAGCAUACUUACUUUGCAUUUUGCUAUGUCAACGCUCGGAGUAAGGGAGAGGAAUGUCAUACUCCUAGAUCAAGACCUUUGACCUUUUUGAGAAGUUUGUCAUCUCUUACUGGCAUAUUGCUUAUUAGAGGGACCAUGGGCUAUCAUUUUUUUCAUUUUUUUUCUUUUUUUCUCUCUUUUUUUUCAAGUGGGCAGCAAGUACCCCUAAUUCUACUGUCGGACACAUGUCCAUUUUUUCCACUCAGGAGGGUAUCUUUGUACCCCUAAUUCUACUUCGGACACUUGUCAAUUUUUACCUCUCGUCUCACUCUCUCUUUUUUUCAAGUCACAUUUUUGCAUAGUCCCAUGCCUCUAACGCAAUGAUACUUCGGAAGAGUGAAUCUUUUAUAUUUUUAAAACAAAAAGAUCUUGAUCUUGGGAGCAUGAUAAUUCUCUCAACCAAAACUACAAGAAUUAACAAUGGCUUGAACAAAGCAAGUGCCCAUUGUUUUAAUAUUUAUAUCUUAUAAGACUCUAGGUAUUAUGAUCUCAUAUAUUUUUUUAUGAAUUUUUAGAUUUUCAAAAGAUAAAAUCUCCAGAACUCUAGCAAAACUUGGAACAAGUUAAAUAGUAGCUCAGACCUUCUCAUAUCAUGUUUGUCAAUUACCUAGACUUGAAUCAAACUUUUUUUUUAUUUAAAACUUAGGAUUACACAAAACUAUUGUAUAUUACUCAAAAGAAAAACUUUGUUUGGUUUCAUGGUUAUGCAUUUUUAUUUAUUUAUUUAUUUCCGAAUACUAGAAAAUAAAACCAAUGGAAGAAAAGCAAUACUUAUCUAGAUACACGUGGGGGUGCCUCCCCCAAGCUAGAUGUUGACAUAGUCGUUCACUCUGGUGGCCUACAUGUUCGGUCUCACUCUUCUUAAGCCUCAAAAUCCUGCACAACCCAAAUAGACAACAAAACUUGUGGAACAUGUUAAGGGUUAGGUAAUUGCCUAGAGCUUAUGAGAGCUUAAUGUGAGAAUUCUAUGAACUCAAUCACAUCAAGUUCCUCUACCAGGUUGUUUUGUGGCUCGAGAUAGAUUUUCAAGCGUUGACCAUUUACCUUAAAAGUGUUACCUAUGUCGUCUUGGAUGGUAAUGGCUCCAUGAGUUGAAGUGUCAAUAACCUUGUAUGGUCCAUCCCACUUACUUCGUAGCUUACCAUGCCCAAAGAGCUUAACUCUUGAAUUGAAUAGUAGAACCUUAUCUCCAGGCUUAAACUCCUUGUGCUUGAUUCUCUUAUCAUGCCAUUGUUUUGUUCUUUCUUUAUAGAUCCUUGAAUUGUGGAAGGCUUUCUCUCUCCAUUCUUCUAGCUCAGAUAGUUGCAUCACACGAUUCUCACUAGCAAGGUGGUGAUCCAUGUUCCAUUUCUUGAGUGCCCAAUGAGCCUUAAACUCUACUUCCACAGGCAAAUGACAAGUUUUUCCAUAUACAAGUUGAUAAGGUGACAUGCCUAUGGGUGUUUUGAAUGCAGUUCUAUAUGCCCAAAGUGCAUCAGGAAGUUUGUCCUUCCACCCCUUACCCAUCUCAUCUACGGUCUUUUGUAAAAUAUUUUUGAUUUGUUUGUUAGAUGUUUCGGCUUGACCGCUAGUCUGAGGAUGGUAUGGUGUUGCGACGUUGUGUCGAACUCCAUGAACGGCUAGGUACUUGCGGAAGAUUUUAUCGAUGAAGUGGGAACCUCCAUCGCAUAUAACUAUCCGGGGUAUACCAAAGCGAGGAAAGAUUACUUCAUGGAACAUUCUCUUGGCAUGUUUUGAAUCAGCUGAUCGACAAGGUAGGGCUUCUACCCAUUUAGACACAUAGUCCACAGCUACUAAGAUAUACUCGCAAUUCCCGGACAUAGGGAAUGGCCCCAUGAAAUCAAUGCCCCAAACAUCGAAAAGUUCUACAUGAAGAUUAUUUGUGAGAGGCAUUUCAUUUUGUGAGUUAAUGUUCCCAUGUUUUUGACACCGGUGGCAUCUCCUGACAAAGUCCUUUGUAUCUUCAUACAUCGUUGGCCAGAAAAAACCACUUUGCCAAAUUUUAGCAUGUGUCCGAAAUGCUCCAUAGUGUCCUCCAUAUGGCGAGGCAUGGCAUCUUUCCAUAAUUUGAGUAGCCUCAGCCAUAGGAACACACCUUCUCAAGAGUCCAUCAGUGCAGACUCGGAAAAGAUAUGGCUCAUCCCAAAGGUGGAAACGACUAUCGUGAAGCAACUUCCUUUUGAUUGCACCAGGUGGGACAUGUCUACGUACCAUGGAUCUGCAUGUGUUAUCUUAAGUAGGGUGUCAUCCCUUAGGUAGUCAUUUAUGGGAAGUUCAUCAUGUGUUUCCUUAUAUUGAAGCCUAGACAAGUGGUCGGCUACGGAAUUCUCAACUCCCUUCCUAUCUCGGAUUUCUAUGUCAAAGUCUUGGAGUAGAAGAAUCCAUCGAAUUAGACGAGGCUUAGCAUCUUUCUUAGUGAGGAGGUACUUGAGAGCAGCAUGGUCUGAAUAGAUGAUUAUCUUUGCCCCCACUAUGUAAGAUCUAAACUUGUCUAUAGCAAAGACAACAGCCAAAAGCUCUUUUUCAGUUGUAGUUUAAUUGAGCUGUGGUCCAGACAAGGUUUUGCUAGCGUAGGAUAUGGCAUAAUGCUUUCUAUCCUUGGUUUGUCCUAAAACGGCACCAACCGCAAAAUCGCUAGCAUCACACAUGAUCUCAAAAGGAAGAUUCCAAUCAGGUGGUUGGAUAAUCGGGGCUAAGAUGAGUGCUUUCUUAAGAGUUUGAAAAGAUUCAUGACACUCAUCACUAAAGAUGAAAGGUGCGUCCUUAGCUAGUGAUGAGGACAUCCCAACCAAGCAUGCUCCCUCUAAUUCCACGCAAACCUCUACACCGACUACACCGGCACCAGCCCAAGCCAUUGAUGGAGCAAUUACACGUAGCCGAGCCAAAAGCUACAACAAGAGGUGAACGCGCUACUUUGUGAGAGUUCUAUUAAUGUUAAUGAGAAUAUUAUACUACCUAAGUGUUCUACUUUGGUUGUGCUUAGGUAUACACAUGAGGAGGGAGGUGACCUGGAUCGCAAGGAUUGGAACAACACGGUGCAGAACGGACCAGUUGAAAGAAGGGCAGAUCGGACCAGUGCGGUGCAGAACGGACCAGUUGAAAGAAAAGAUCAUAACUUUCACUUUCGAGAUGCUAUUAAGGCCCAUGAGCACUUGUUGGAAAGCUCUUCGAGUCUGCUUUCCAAUGAAUCAAGUGGUGACCAGUUUGAUUACUCCAUACUGCCUGCAGACCAGAAUUAGUACAGACUGCUCAGAAGGUCAACAGUCUGUCGUGACAGAAUGUUGGUACAACUUGCCAAGUAAAACUGUACCAAUCUACAGCGUUUCGUGGUGCAUGGCAUACGUUGCUGGAAAGCUCUUGGAGUCUAGUUUCACACCCAAGAAACAGUUCAUCAUUUGGACUUCCCAGUAAAAAGUUAUGGUCAGUUUAUUGGAAACUGCUCUGGAGGCCAACAGUCACACGAAGCCACUUCGGGAAUCCAUUUCGAGGGGACCUUUCACAUUGCCUUCCCUCAGAAACUCUAUUUCGUUUUCAUACCUAUCUAGCAGGGCUGUUGCUAGUAUAAAUACCCUCUAAGACUCAUUGUAAUCCAAGACUUUGAGAAUUGAAAUACAGAACCCCUUUGUUCAGCUGCGUGCUAACAAAUUCAGAGAGUGAUCUCUACCCCUUUGCUCUUGUGUUUUCCUUCGCGGAGAUUACAGAAGCGGCCGCGUCAUCGGCACCCAAUCCGUGCUCCUGAUCCUCAAGUUCAGGUUGCGUAGGUUGGUUCUUUGAGAGUGUGGUUGGGCGAAUCCUUGGUUCAGGCUGCCGUAUAGAGACGGUGGUUGGCUCCUUGUGCGUGUCGUCAGGUUGCACUAGUUAUCCUCGCUGCUUGCAGCAAGUUAUCGGCUGAUCUUCAGCUAGUUAUCCAUCCUACGUCGUGAAGAUCGGGACAACGACCUCACCAUUUGGUAUCAAAGCUCAAGUUUCCACGGUAGGAUUUUUACCCUUAGCUAUAUAUAUAUAUUGUUCGUCCUAUCCACCAAAAAGCCAUAAAAAAAAUUUGCAUUAGCCCUUUGUUUCAGUCUGUUUUUCUUGUGAGUUUGGUUAAGUUUCAGUCCAUUAGAGUUUUGUUUAGUUGCUGAUUAUCAUAUCCUUUGUGUGUCCUUUGUGCCUCUUUUAUAUCUACAAAUCCCUAAAGAAAAUCUAAAACCGGUAUCAUCCUUCGCGUAAACUUUGAGCCUAUCAAGUUAGAACGCUGACGGUUGUGUCUUGUUUCAAAAAAAAGUGUGUUUAAGUGUUAUAUCUGCUCUUGUUCUUAGUUAUAAAAAAACAGAGUAUCAAAAAAAAGGAAACUGAAAAAAAAGGAGAGUUGAGGAAGAAAAGUUGUGAAGAAAGAGUAGAAAAUUCACUCUGUUUAUGUGCUCAAGUUCUGAAUUUUAUAUCAAGUCACACAAUCAGUCAUUAUCCUUCUUUGGUGCAAAAUUUUGCUUGGGUUUGAUUGCAACACUUGCAUCCUAGGCAUACUCCUUGUUUGCAUCAAAUCUGAAUUAUCUUUGCGCGUGUGUUUGAUCUAUUUACAUCACUCAUAUCUUGUGGUCAGCACUAGGCAUUGAACUUCUAGUUUGGAUUGUGGUUUAACUUUAUAAUAUCAAGAAUUCAGACUGCAUUCCUUGUGAAAUAUAUCCCCACCAAGCUCCACAAAUAACCCACCAUCAUAGGAAAAUACUGAUCUUGGAUUCUCCCAACCAUCAUUCUCGGUUACCACCUCGCAUUGGCCGUUGUAAUCUGCAGGGAACUCACAUGAGCUUUGGUUGGUAAGAGAGGUGAGAUUGUGAGAUUCCACAUAUAAUUCCCUAUUCUACAUAUAUUGUUGCUUUGCCUUCACUAAUUUUUUAUAGCAAGAUGACUGAGCAUCCGGAGAUUGAUGAUUGUGUCACCAUGGCACAAUUCACUGAGAUGAAACAAAGCAUGGAGACGCUAACAAACAAUGUUCAAGCACUCAUAAACUAGUUGCAAAUCCAUCCUCAUGAUAAUGCAAAUGGCAAUCACCAUGAAGAUUGUUGAUAUUUGAUAACGCAAUUAGAAAAUGAUCCGCAAGCGCACGGAUAUCGGUGAGCAUUUCACCCGGGAGGUUUUCCAGAGUAUCGUAUUUAUAUUUUUACCACUAGGAGAAAGGGUGCAUCUGACUAACCAAAUCUAUUGCUACUAUCCCUUUAGGCUACAAAGAAUGUCUCUCGAUGUGAGUGAUGUAUAGAGAAGACUGCAACCUUAGUCUCGUUCUAACCUUGGUAAGGAUGAUCUACUGUUCUAUUGGGGAGGCUCACGGAAUCUAGACAACACAAAGGAUGUUCGACCCGCACCUAUAAACCUACCCGUCCUGCUAACGAGAUGUGAUCUGCAAAGUUAACUCGGAAAUGUCACGUUCCUCGCUACUACCACGGUCCAGCUAGUCAGGGGAUAUCUAUGAGUACCCUAGCCUAAACACCACGUUUACGCUAACAAGUGAUUACUCUAAUACUCAACCGGAAGAGGAUUAAAGUAAACUCAUAAACCAAAGAACAUUAAAACAAGAACUUACUAGUAUUAGAAGUCGAAUUACUGAAGAAUCUUAGAAGCAAGCCUCGGGUUAGGAGACUUGAUCCCGUAGGUACAACUCGGAGUAGACACCGACAGGCCGGCCUUCCUCCGAUCCACACCUCCACUCUAUCUCUCUCAAUCUAGUAGAAACUAGAAGAUCUAUUUCUACUUUACAUUGGUUGCUAAGCCUAAAAAGAAAUAUUAUUUAGAGAAGAGGUUUUCCUUCGAGGGCACCCCUCAAUCUCUAUGAUAAUUCCUUGUCUUCUCCAGGGCCAGGGGGGCCUUGCUUAUAUAGUCCUCCCCUUCUAUGCGUUUUUGGGUCGAUAGGCGAGGAGGUACUAUGUUUUCCUUGAUCCAAUAGGUCGGUGGAACAUCCCGAGCGAAAGAGUCCUGAUUUGGCUCCAACAGGGGGGCGGGCGCCCAGGCUACCAGGGCGGGCGCCCUGGGCCUGGCCCAGUUUCGCCUCCGCUUCGGUCUCGUGGCUUCUGGAGUCUUCUAGAUGAUGUAAAAUCGUGUGGUGCGUUGAUAUCUCUAUGUAAUCCCGACAUGUGGGCCUUUCUUCCUUAUUUCCUGAUAACCCCCUGCAGAAAUAGACAAACACCAAAACUCAUGGAAUUCUGUCAGAUAAAACCCUAAGUCUAGAUGUUGAUUUCAUUUGGAUCCUUUUCUUUGUUUAUUUGAUAAUUAAAUUUGAUACUUAAGGACCGUCAACAAACUCCCCCAAGCUUACCUCUUGCUCGUCCCUGAGCAAGGAUAGAUUCAGCUAUGGAUCAUAAAUUUUUGCAAUAUUUUUAAAAAUUGAUGUACACAUGCUUUUUAAAUAAGAUCUCAUCUCUGAGUUAGAGUAAACUGUCAAGACUUAAAACUUACUUACUUUACCUUUACCAUGGGACUUGUAACUGUCACUUCUGUCUUGAGUGGUUAAAAGAUAGAACAGUCUAGCCAAGUGCCAUGUCUCUUAUUCUUGAUCAGCUAUAGCUCUGGGGUUUUUGCAGAUUUUCAAAUAAAACUCAGAGAUUCCUUGUAUGAUUCUCUCAGAUCUCUCUUUUGUGGUAUUUUUGGAUCCUUACCAAGGCAGUGAUGGUAUAUGCCUUCUCCCAAGAUAUGUAGUAUUUGUGGUAUAAGGCAUAGUGACAUUGCCUUCUCUCUCACCCUACUCUAAUAAGGCUUUAAUAUCUGGAGCUCAUAGGUGGGAGAUAAAAUAUACAUACUUACAAGACAUUUAUUGCAUAGUCAAACCAUGGAUCCAAAGAAACAAAUCAAUAAGCCAAAUCAAGAUGUGCAUGUGUGGCGAAUGAAUGGUGUAUGGUGAUGAUGGUGAUAACAAUGGUGAAAACAAUGGUGGUGGAAGUCUAAUUCUACUUUUGCUCUUUGAGGGGAUACAUACCUUCCUUGCUUUUGAAACUUUAUGAGGAGAAUGAGAUGCUCUUCUUUUUCUUUUCUCUCAGGUGGGUAUCUUGCACCCCUAAUUCUAUUGUCGGACACUUGUCCAUUUUUACCUCUCGUCUCACUUUUUCUUUUUCUUUCGAGGUUCCGAGCACUUGCUCUCUUUUUAUUUCCUCGUAUUUAUUAUUUUUUUCUUUCUUUUUUUUAGAGCACUCAUCUCUUGAGAUAAUAUAGCAAGUGGUAGUAACCAAAAUAACUGGAGCAUUUAUUUCACAGGGAAUAACAGGGAUAGGAAAAUGUUUUUGGCUAUUCUCUCCCGGAUUAGGAGUAGAAUAAUUUUGGGUAAAACUGGAGAUGGAAAUGAGUGGAUAUAUGUGGAUGGUACUUCCGGAGUAGAAGUAGCAUGUAUGAGUAAUCGUGCAAGUGAAUCUUGAUUUUAACCACAUGACAAGCUCCUAAGGGUCUACACAGCUUGACCACACUCAAUGCUCAUAAGCAGUAAAAAGUAAAUGUGUGGCUCAAAGUCUAAUAAGCAUGUAUAUAUGGCUGUGGUAGGAAUUUAAACUCUCAUCAUACAGGAACUCAUCAUGUGUUAUUUUAAAGAUUUUUCAAAGAUAAAAUUCUCCAGAAUUCUAGCAUCUCUAGGAACAGAUAAACAGCAGCUCAACCUUCCCAUAUUGUAUCCGUUAACAACUUAGACUUCAGAUCAAGUUUUCAUCCCACAAGUUUAGGUCUAGAGCAAGCCUUAAAUUAUAACAGUUAUAUCUAAACUUGAGAGAGAACUUCAAAUUUGCAAAUUAGGCAGAGCAACUAUUCAUCAUAUCCAUGCUUAAGUUUUAUUAUUAAGAUUCAGAUUAGCAUAGCCACUUUAUUAAACACACUAAGCAAAAGACAAAUAAGCAUGAAAUCUUUUUUUGGUUUUUCAUAGUUUAUGUAUUUUAAUAUUCUAAUAUAAUAUAAGUAUAAAGAUAGAUAGAUAGAAAUACUUAUCGAGAUAAAUGGGGGUGCUCUUCCCCAAGCUGAAUUUUGACGUAAUUUCUCUUGAUGUAGCUAGCAGGUGGCAGAGGUGUUUUUGAAAGUCAGCAGCAUUCUGACAGCGAUUAGAAUGUCCUCCGUCUGCUAGUCUUCUUGAUUCUUAAAUUCUGUGGAGCUCAAAUAGACAACAAAGCUUGUGGAACUGAUUAAGUGUUAGCAUAAAUAUCUAGCCUUUAUCAUCUUGAGACUCCUUAAUAAUUAUUACUCCCUGUUUUUUUUAUAUUUUCAUUUUAUAAAGCAGAAAAAUAUUUAUUUUAUUUUUAUGCCACCACAGUGAAUGUACUUAUGGGUUUUAUGCCACUCGUAUACUCACAUGGGGCUUACUGUUUUUCACAUUUUUAUUUUCUUUUAUUUUUAAGAUAGUAUGAAUAUGAUUAACUAAGUAAACUAUUUAAAAUAAUUGAAAGGGAAAGGAUAACUACCAAGUUUACCUCUUGGCAAGGCGUUCGGUAUUUUUAAGUCCUCCGAACGGGACUCUCCGUUUUCUUAGUCGUCCUGGGAUUUGCUGGGUGGCGUAUUCGGUGGUUCCGGCGGCGCCUCCUCUUCGUGUAUAACUAUCUUCUCUUUCCACACCUGACUCGGUGCUACGGUCUCCUCAGGACAGUUCUGUUCAAGUUGUAUGUCUUCAGUCCUUAUCACUUCUCCUUCGUAGUCUACCCAUCCGUCCGAUUUGCCUCCUCUGGUUGCGGUUGCGUUGUCUUCUUCUUGUCCUGACCUGCUUAGAAUCUUCAACUAUAUAGUUAGAAUCAUUAAAGUAGUGGCGUACCUUCUUAGAGGGGAGUGCAUGUGGACUUCUCCGGUUCCAAUAUAGAUAAUGGCUUUGAUAGUGCUGAGGAACGGUCUUCUAAGGAUGGUGGAUGGAUCAUACUCGUCUUCUCCCAUGUCAAUGACCUGAAAAUUGUCUGAAGCUGAAUGUAGGGGCAUGGUUUCAUGCAGGAGCUGAUAAGUGACUACGGCCAUUAUGUUGACGUCAGAUCCAGUGUCGUAGAGUGUCUUCUGAAAAGAGUAUCUGUUGAUUGUGCAUUCGAUGCUUGGAACACCAGGGUCGUCCUUCUUGAUUAGGAAAGGCGACUUGAGUCGACGAUCUUGACCUCCUUGAGCUGCAGUGACCAUCUUAGCUGACUCGGUCCACAUUUGCUUGUUCCUGUUCCUCCUGUUGGUCCUCUCCCUUGGUUCAUGUCGGGAUUGCUCUGAAGUUUGUGUAGUCUUGUUCUUGAAGGAAAAUCUCCUUCUUCCCCUUGAUGUAGAGACUGAUCUUGGCAGCAUUAGCGUAGAUGACACUUCUGGUGUUUAGGAAUGGCCUCCCUAAGAUGAUGGGUGCCCUCUCCUCAGUAUCAGUCUCUAUCACCAUGAAGUUUGCUGAAGCGUACAAGGUACCAACUCGGACACAGAGGUUCUUCAAUAUUUCCUUUGGGAAACUAAGUGUCUGAUCUCCAUUGUGUUUGUGCUCGUAGAUCCCGGUUCUUCACUUGAUGGAAUCUGGGAGUUGUAAAACACCUUCACGUUUCUCAAAAUAUGUCCUAAUCAUAGAGACAAGGCAGAGAUCAAGUGCAUGGGCUCUGUUGGUGGAAAACACCAACAGAACCAAAAGUGUAUUUGUUCUUUUCUAACCUUAAGCAUAGUGAGCAAGACAAAGUUGAUGGAUCAUGAGUGUAGCAUUUAAAACAUUUGUUAGAUCAGAUGGCUCAACCUAAUGGAAAGAUAAUCUAUCUAUAUUUAUGUUUUGUUUAUAUCUUCCAAAGAUUGAAUGUGCAAUACUUUAGCUUAUAUGAUUAGGAGUGUGGGAUCACGAAGGUAGUACUAAGAACAAAGAUUAAAGGACUAAACAUGCUGAAUUAAUUGAGUUGGUUAAUUUGGAGUUACAAAUCAUACAUGUUUGUCUCUUUAUUUUAUGUGAACGCUAGAACCAAGGAGAAGCUUAUAAAAGUGAUAGUCAAGUACCUUAAAAUGUUACCUUACUUGAAGAGUGACGGUACAGUAUCACCUUGUAGAAGCUUUCCUUUCUUAGCGGUUGUGCAUCGUGUUUGUGGCACCCUCCAUGGAUCAUCUCUUUAUGAUGAAUGAGCUAUGUCCUUCUUGUUCAAAUUGUUAAACUUCAUGUGUCUCCUUUAUCUCCAAUAAGUUUGUAUCUAUGGACUUCCCAGGUUGAUAUUGAAUGUUUUCCUGCAGGGGUUAGUCCAAGAAAAUAUCCCAUAUCUACUAUAGCAUACUAUCGGCUCAAAAAUCAACCUAGACACCAUGUCUAAUUUGAUUUAGGAGGGCAUUUUAACCUAAGCAUCAUGCUUAAUUUAAAAAUCCUUUGAAAGUAAGAUCAUCAUUCCUAAACUAAGCACCAUGCUUGAUUUAAGAGAUAAAUUAAACUACUCCAAACCUAGACAUAUACUAAAGCAAAUAAAGGUAGCAUGAGAGCAUUUAUAGCGAUCUACUCAAGUGGAGGUGAAGUAGUGUAAUUAGUAUUUAACAAAUUGAGCAUGUCUCAAAGGUAAGGGCAACCAACGUAGCAACAUGGCAAAGGAUGUUUUUAUGUAAAGUACUCCCCUAAGCUUGAAUUUUGCAAAAUUCAAGUUUGGAUGAAUUUAAUUCAAUGUUGUGUGAUGGUUGGUUGGACAUACCUUGUGCUUGUCAUUCAUCCGAUCUUCUUGCUCCAAUCCUGGAAAGGUUAGUGACAAGAAUACCCGAAGGAAUAUUUCUACAAUUAUCUUUAUAUGCUCAAUACACAAGGCAAUGUUGCAAAUAAUUAGAAGUGCUUGUUUUAGGACACUAAGCUUGUCCUUGGAAAACCAUCAAUUAACUCAACGAGAUCUGCAAUAUUUAUUAUAGACAUAUGCAUCGACAACCGCUCUUUUAAAGUUUUUAUAAAUAGAAAAGAAGAGAGGGUUGGAGAUCUCAAGUGUGAUAAGCAUGGAGAGAUUAAUUGAUUGGAGAGAUGUUUUAUAUGAGCAAGGACUGGGUAAGGUAUUUAUGAAAUAACUUCCAUGCUCACUGUUGUUUCUCUCAUUCUCAAACUCCAAGGAUGAUUCUUCAUGAAUGCUAAAAAUUCCUCUAGGAUUGUCUCUCAAGUUUGUUUUAUCUAUCCAUUCAAUGGUGAUAGCACAUGGAUUUUUAAUGCCCUCUAGCCAUUGAUGUUGCUCUUCUCGAUCCUCCUUCUUAUGCAUGGGAUGUCUAGAGAGAUUCAUAGGAUUAUCGGGAGGUUUAAGAGAAAGAGCAUAGUAGAAUUUAUUAAGCUCAAGGAUGGGAUGGAUAGCCGAAUCAUGGGAUUGAAAUGUUUGGAAAUCGGCUAUUGAAACAUCCUUUCCUCAUCUGGGAGAUGAUUCCUUCUCUAUUUCUAAGAUUUUUCUAUGAAGACUAGUACAAGAAGGAUGUCCACAAAUGAAGACAUACCUUCCUUUACUAAUAGAUAAAGAAAAAAGGACUCUACCAAAGGUUAUAUGAUUAAGACCAAUGUGAAAAUAUCUAGGAAAAACAUGGUCUUGUAGGGCUAGGUCUAAACCAGAAUUUAUAAAAAGAUUAAUAGAUUCCCUAGGUGUAGCUAAAAGUGCAUUAUCUUCAUGAUUAAAAGAUAGGACCUCAGCUAUAGAAAAGGGUUGGUUUUGACCUAUUGCAAUCAACUCCAGACAUAGAUCAUAAUUAGGGGCAAGACGUGUUGACUCCCAUGGUCUAUGGCUGGUCUCCGAAGGAGCAAAGAAUUCAAUAAUAGGUAUGGAAUUUGAAUUAUCCAUAAAGAUAAAAAUAAAAAGAUAAAAGAAUAAAAGUAUAAAAGUAUAAUACAAGAUAAUAGCAAGACUUAAAGUUAUCUCAGCAAACCGUCUUUCUCCCCGGCAACGGCGCCAGAAAUGCUUGUUGAUAUUUGGUAACGCAAUUAGAAAAUGAUCCGCAAGCGCACGGAUAUCGGUGAGCAUUUCACCCGGGAGGUUUUCCAGAGUAUCGUAUUUAUAUUUUUACCACUGGGAGAAAGGGUGCAUCUGACUAACCAAAUCUAUUGCUACUAUCCCUUUAGGCUACAAAGAAUGUCUCUCGAUGUGAGUGAUGUAUAGAGAAGACUGCAACCUUAGUCUCGUUCUAACCUUGGUAAGGAUGAUCUACUGCUCUAUUGGGGAGGCUCACGGAAUCUAGACAACACAAAGGAUGUUCGACCCGCACCUAUAAACCUACCCGUCCUGCUAACGAGAUGUGAUCUGCAAAGGUAACUCGGAAAUGUCACGUUCCUCGCUACUACCACGGUCCAGCUAGUCAGGGGAUAUCUAUGAGUACCCUAGCCUAAACACCACGUUUACGCUAACAAGUGAUUACUCUAAUACUCAACCGGAAGAGGAUUAAAGUAAACUCAUAAACCAAAGAACAAUAAAACAAGAACUUACUAGUAUUAGAAGUCGAAUUACUGAAGAAUCUUAGAAGCAAGCCUCGGGUUAGGAGACUUGAUACAGUAGGUACAACUCGGAGUAGACACCGACAGGCCGGCCUUCCUCGGAUCCACACCUCCACUCUAUCUCUCUCAAUCUAGUAGAAACUAGAAGAUCUAUUUCUACUUUACAUUGGUUGCUAAGCCUAAAAAGAAAUAUUAUUUAGAGAAGAGGUUUUCCUUCGAGGGCACCCCUCAAUCUCUAUGAUAAUUCCUUGUCUUCUCCAGGGCCAGGGGGGCCUUGCUUAUAUAGUCCUCCCCUUCUAUGCGUUUUUGGGUCGAUAGGCGAGGUGGUACUAUGUUUUCCUUGAUCCAAUAGGUCGGUGGAACAUCCCGAGCGAAAGAGUCCUGAUUUGGCUCCAACAGGGGGGCGGGCGCCCAGGCUACCAGGGCGGGCGCCCUGGGCCUGGCCCAGUUUCGCCUCCGCUUCGGUCUCGUGGCUUCUGGAGUCUUCUAGAUGAUGUAAAAUCGUGCGGUGCGUUGAUAUCUCUAUGUAAUCCCGACAUGUGGGCCUUUCUACCUUAUUUCCUGAUAACCCCCUGCAGAAAUAGACAAACACCAAAACUCGUGGAAUUCUGUCAGAUAAAACCCUAAGUCUAGAUGUUGAUUUCAUUGGAUCCUUUUCUUUGUUUAUUUGAUAAUUAAAUUUGAUACUUAAGGACCGUCAACAAAGAUGAAGAUGAAGAAAGCGAAGGAGAAGCUGCUCGUCGUGCAAGAGAACGACGUAGAGAGCGAGCUGCUGCCAAUGCAAGAAGACCUCCUUUUCCACGACGUGAUCAUGGUGGUAGAGGUGCUGGUCAUGGACAUGGGAGAGAUAUUGGAUUGGAAGAAAGUGAAACUGAAGAAGAGGAUGAACAGCCCCAUUAUGAUGAUCGUCGUCACCGAAGAAAUCGUAGGCGUAAUCAGCACAAUGAAGAGAGGUUUGGCAAGUUAAAAUUCACCAUGCCCCAGUUUGAAGGAGGAUCUGAUCCUGAAGCAUAUCUUACAUGGGAGUUGAAGGUGGAUAAAAUUUUUCGUGUGCAUAAUUAUUCUGAGAGAAAGAAGGUUGCCAUGGCUGCUCUUGAGUUCGAUGGGUAUGCUCUAAUCUGGUGGGAGCAAAUGUUGAAUGAAAGAGAAGAAGCUGGUCAAGGUGAUGUUCGUUCAUGGGCUGAAAUGAAGAGAGAAUUGAGAGCAAGAUUUGUCCCCAAACAUUAUCGCCGUGAUUUAUUUGACAAGCUACAGAAUCUGAAGCAAGGAAGCCUCAGUGUUGAUGAGUAUUAUAAAGAGAUGGAGAAGGCGAUGAUUAGAGCCAAUGUAAUUGAAGAUGAAGAGCAAACAAUUGCAAGAUUUAUGUCAGGGCUGCAUCGGAAUAUUCAGCGCAUUGUUGAAUUUCAGCAAUAUCGUAAUCUUGUUGAAUUGGUGCAUCAAGCUAGCAAAGCUGAGCGGCAAUUGCAGCAGGAUAUGAAGUCCACUAGAGGAGUAUCUUUCAGCACAAAGAGUGCAGCAAGUGGAAGUAAAUUUGCACCCAAAGGAAGUGGAAGUAAAGGUACAUUUUCCAGCACAAACGGUGGUGCACGAUCUAGCAACCUUGGUUCUUCUAGUAGCAAAGAGUUGGCUGCUCAAAAUGAGAAAUUGAAAUCAGCAAACUCAGUGGGUUCUUCCAGCAAGAGUAGUGGAAUUCAGUGCUUCAAGUGUGGUGGUCGUGGUCAUGUUGCAAGAGAGUGUCCAAACGCUAGAACCAUCAUUGUGAAUGAUCAAGGGGAGUAUGAAUCUGCUAGUGAGGAAGAACAAGAAGAUAGUGGAAGUGAGAGUAAUCUUGAGAAGGACAUCUGUGAAUUUGAAUCUGGUGCUGCUCUUGUUGUAACUCAGAUUUUGAGUGUACAAAUGAGCGAUGCUGAAAAUGGACAGCGGCACAAUCUUUUUCAGACUAGAGCUAAAGUGCAAGAUAAGGUUGUCAAAGUGAUCAUUGAUGGUGGCAGUUGCCACAAUCUUGCAAGCAAAGAAAUGGUUGAAAAGCUUGGGUUGAAGCUGCUGAAACAUCCCCAUCCAUAUCAUGUGCAUUGGCUUAAUAAUUCAGGUUCUAUUAAGAUUGCACAAAGAGUGAAAGUUCCAUUCAAGAUUGGUGAAUAUAUUGACACUAUAGAGUGUGAUGUGGCGCCUAUGACAGUGUGCCACAUGCUGUUGGGAAGACCAUGGCAAUAUGAUCGAUCGACUCUACAUUGUGGUAGAACCAAUCAAUACACCAUCCACCAUCAAGUGGAAGAACAAGGAGUUGAUUCUUAAACCCAUGACACCGCAGCAAAUCCUAGGUGAGCACUUGCAAAAGAGCUCCGAAGUGAGGAAUGAGAGUGCAAAAGAAAGAGAGAAAAAUAAUUUGAGUGCCCUCCACAAAUCAGUGAGUGAGAGCCACAAGCCAAACAUGAGAGAUGACAGAAAAAAAGAGGGAGAGAACUUCGUGAUGAUAGCCACCAAAUCUGAAAUGAGAGAUGUGAGGAAAAACCCAGAUCAAGUACUAUUUGUACUUGUGUGCAAGGACACAUUGCUUUCAGCUAAUGACUUAACAUCUGUCCCUAGUGUUGUUGCACGUGUUUUGUAGGACUAUGACGAUGUUUUUCCAAAGGAAACACCUGCUGGACUUCCUCCUUUGCGCGGUAUUGAACAUCAAAUUGAUCUCAUCCCUGGAGCUGCACUUCCAAACCGUCCGGCGUAUCGCACCAAUCCGGAAGAAACCAAGGAGAUUCAAAGGCAAGUACAAGAACUUUUAGAUAAAGGAUAUGUGCGAGAAAGUUUAAGUCCUUGUGCUGUUCCUGUGAUUUUGGUGCCAAAGAAAGAUGGUUCUUGGAGGAUGUGUGUAGAUUGUAGAGCCAUAAACAACAUCACUGUUCGUUAUCGUCAUCCUAUUCCUAGGCUAGAUGAUAUGCUUGAUGAAUUGAGUGGUUCUAUGAUGUUUUCUAAAAUUGAUUUGAGAAGUGGUUACCAUCAAAUUAGAAUGAAGAUUGGAGAUGAAUGGAAAACUGCUUUUAAAACAAAGUUUGGGCUGUAUGAAUGGUUAGUUAUGCCUUUUGGUUUGACCAAUGCCCCUAGUACGUUCAUGAGAUUGAUGAACCAUGUCUUGCGAGCAUUCAUUGGAAAGUUUGUUGUUGUUUACUUUGAUGAUAUUCUAAUUUACAGCAAGACAUUGGAGGAACAUGUUGAUCAUAUUAAACAAGUUUUGGAUGUGCUGAGAAAAGAAAAAUUAUUUGCUAACCUUGAGAAGUGCACAUUUUGUACAGAUCAGGUUGUGUUUCUUGGUUUUGUUGUUUCAGGUUCAGGAAUUCAGGUUGAUGAAUGAAAGGUGAAAGCAAUCAAGGAUUGGCCAACUCCUGAAAAUGUGAGUCAGGUGAGAAGUUUUCAUGGACUUGCUGGUUUUUACAGGAGAUUUGUGAGAGAUUUCAGCACCAUAGCUGCUCCGUUGAAUGAGUUAACAAAGAAAGGUGUUGCCUUCCAAUGGGGUGAACCACAAGAGAGAGUAUUCCAAGAAUUGAAGAAGAGGCUAUCCGAAGCCCCCUUGCUGGUGUUACCGGAUUUCACUAAAACCUUUGAGGUUGAAUGUGAUGCAAGUGGGAUCGGAAUCGGUGGUGUCCUAAUGCAAAAUGGACAGCCGGUUGCAUACUUCAGUGAGAAGUUAGGAGGUGCGCAACUGAACUACUCGGUGUAUGACAAAGAAUUGUAUGCUUUGGUAAGAGCUCUUGAGACUUGGCAACAUUAUUUAUGGCCAAAAGAGUUUGUUAUUCAUUCAGAUCAUGAGGCUUUGAAAUAUUUAAAGGGGCAAGCAAAACUGAAUCGUAGACAUGCCAAAUGGGUUGAAUUCAUUGAAACUUUUCCAUAUGUUGUGAAAUAUAAGAAAGGUAAAGAAAACAUUGUUGCUGAUGCUUUGUCACGUAAAAAUGUUUUGUUGAAUCAACUAGAUGUCAAGGUUCCAGGACUUGAAAGCAUAAAAGAAUUGUACCCUAGAUCAUGAAUUUUCAGAACCAUUUGCAAACUGUACAACUAGAAAAGGGUGGGAAAAAUAUCAUAUACAUGAUGGAUUUUUGUUUCGAGCUAACAAAUUGUGUGUACCCCACUGCUCUGUUAGGCUUUUGUUGCUAUAGGAAACACAUGCAGGUGGAUUGAUGGGUCACUUUGGAUGGAGAAAGACAUAUGAGAUGCUAGCUGAUCACUUCUACUGGCCAAAGAUUAGAAGAGACGUCCAACGACUUGUGCAAAGAUGCAUCACAUGUCACAAAGCUAAGUCAAAACUGAACCCUCAUGGAUUAUAUACUCCCUUGCCUGUUCUUAGUACCCCUUGGGAAGAUAUUAGCAUGGAUUUUGUUUUAGGUUUACCUAGGACAAAGAGGGGAAUGGAUUCAAUUUUUGUUGUUGUUGAUCGGUUCUCUAAAAUGGCACAUUUUAUACCUUGUCAUAAAAGUGAUGAUGCUUCCCACGUAGCCUCUCUAUUUUUCAGGGAUAUUGUAAAGAUUACACGGCGUGCCCAAAACAAUUGUUUCAGACCGUGACACCAAGUUUUUGAGCUACUUUUGGAAGACAUUGUGGGCAAAGCUUGGAACAAGGCUGCUGUUUUCCACCACUUGUCAUCCUCAAACGGAUGGACAAACUGAAGUUGUGAAUAGAACACUUUCUAUGCUGCUACGAGCCUUGAUAAAGAAGAACCUGAAGGAGUGGGAAGAGUGCUUGCCACAUGUGGAAUUCGCUUACAACAGGGCAGUACAUUCUACAACUAAUAUGUGUCCUUUUGAAGUUGUGUAUGGAUUCAAACCCCUUGCUCCGAUCGAUUUGUUGCCUCUACCAUUGCAGGAAAGGAUUAACAUGGAAGCAUCCAAGCGUGCAUCAUAUGUCAAGAAGAUUCAUGAGAAGACCAAAGAAGCAAUCGAAAGAAGGUCCAAGUACUAUGCUGAUUGGGCAAACAAGCAACGCAAGAAGGUGAUAUUUGAGCCCGGAGAUUUAGUGUGGGUACAUCUUCGCAAAGACCGCUUUCUUGAGAAGCGUAAAUCCAAGUUGAUGCCACGGGGAGAUGGUCCAUUCAGAGUGCUGUCCAGGAUCAAUGAUAAUGCCUACAAGAUUGAGCUUCCUGAAGAUUAUGGUGUUAGCACAACCUUCAAUGUUGCUGACUUGACAUCAUUCUUCGGAUUAGAAGAAUCAGAGUCGAGGUCGACUCCUUUUCAAGAGGGGGAGGAUGAUGAGGACAUCCCAACCAAGCAUGCUCCCUCCAAUUCCACGCCAACCUCUACACCGACUACACCGGCACCAGCCCAUGCCAUUGAUGGAGCAAUUACACGUAGCCGAGCCAAGAAGCUACAACAAGAGGUGAAUGCGCUACUUUGUGAGAGUUCUAUUAAUGUUAAUGAGAAUAUUAUACUACCUAAGUAUUCUACUUUGGUUGUGCUUAGGUAUACACAUGAGGAGGGAGGUGACCUGGAUCGCAAGGAUUGGAACAACACGGUGCAGAACGGACCAGUUGAAAGAAGGGCAGAUCGGACCAGUGCGGUGCAGAACGGACCACUUGAAAGAAAAGACCAUAACUUUCACUUUCGAGAUGCUAUGAAGGCCCAUGAGCACUUGUUGGAAAUCUCUUCGAGUCUGCUUUCCAAUGAAUUAAGUGGCGACCAGUUUGGAUACUCCAUAUUGCCUGCAGACCAGAAUUAGUACAGACUGCUCAGAAGGUCAACAGUCUGUCGUGACAGAAUGUUGGUACAACUUGUCAAGUAAAACUGUACCAAUCUACAGCGUUUCGUGGUGCAUGGCAUACGUUGCUGGAAAGCUCUUGGAGUCUAGUUCCACACCCAAGAAACGGUUCAUCAUUUGGACUUCCCAAUAAAAAGUUAUGGUCAGUUUAUUGGAAACUGCUAUGAAGGCCAACAGUCACGCGAAGCCACUUCGGGAAUCCAUUUCGAGGGGACCUUUCACAUUGCCUUCCCUCAGAAACUCUAUUUCGUUUUCAUACCUAUCUAGCAGGGCUGUUGCUAGUAUAAAUACCCCCUAAGACUCAUUGUAAUCCAAGACUUUGAGAAUUGAAAUACAGAACCCCUUUGUUCAGCUGCGUGCUAACAAAUUCAGAGAGUGAUCUCUACCCCUUUGCUCUUGUGUUUUCCUUCGCGGAGAUUACAGAAGCGGCCGCGUCAACGGCACCCAAUCCGUGCUCCUGAUCCUCAAGUUCAGGUUGUGUAGGUUGGUUCUUUGAGAGUGUGGUUGGGCGAAUCCUUGGUUCAGGCUGCCGUAUAGAGACGGUGGUUGGCUCCUUGUGCGUGUCGUCAGGUUGCACUAGUUAUCCUCGCUGCUUGCAGCAAGUUAUCGGCUGAUCUUCAGCUAGUUAUCCAUCCUACGUCAUGAAGAUCGGAACAACGACCUCACCAGCUAGGAGAUUAGUUAGGGGUCUAGCAAUUGGAGAGAAAUUCUUGAUAAAGCGUCUAUAGAACCCUGCAUGUCCCAAAAAGCUACGGAUUCCUUUCACAUUCGAGGGAGGUGGAAGUUUUUCAAUAACAUCAAUCUUUGCUUUGUCCACCUCUAUACCACGUUCGGACACUUUAUGUCCUAGCACUAUUCCUUCCUGAACCAUAAAAUGGCAUUUCUCCCAGUUCAGGAUUAAGUGUUUUUCUUCACAUCGCUGCAAGACUCUAUCUAAAUUCUCCAAACAAUGAUCAAAGGUUUUGCCAUAGACGGUAAAAUCAUCCAUGAAAAUCUCCAUGAUUUUCUCAAUCAUGUCCGAGAAAAUAGACAUCAUGCACCGUUGGAAAGAAGCUGGAGCAUUGCACAAUCCGAACGACAUUCGUCGGUAUGCAUAAGUUCGAUACGGGCAUGUAAAGGUAGUCUUUUCUUGGUCAUCUGGGUGGAUUGGGAUUUGGUGAUAUCCAGAAUAACCAUCAAGGAAACAAAAGAAAGAGUGGUUUGCAAGCCGUUCUAACAUUUCAUCAAUGAAGGGUAACGGAAAACGAUCUUUCUUUGUAGCCUUAUUGAGUUUUCGAUAGUCAAUACACAUACGCCACCCAGUGACAAUUCGUUGAGGGAUGAGUUCAUUCUUCUCAUUCCUAACGACCGUCAUUCCUCCUUUCUUUGGCACUACUUGGACAGGGCUAAUCCACUAACUAUGUGCAACAGGAUAAAUAAUCCCAGCACGAUAGAGUUUGAGGACCUCUUCCUUAACAACCUCUCGCAUAGCAUUGUUAAGUCUCCGUUGUGGUUACCUUGAAGGUGUAGAAUUGGGAUCAAUAGGGAUACGAUGAGUACAGAGAAUGGGACUAAUGCCCGUGAGAUCUUCGAGAGAGUAGCCAAAUGCUGAUCUAUGCCUUUCAAGAACAGUGAUAAGUUGUUGUGUUUCAUAAUCGGUAAGCUUGUCACUGAUAAUUACUGGAGUUUUUGGGUUGUUGUGCAAAAAGACAUAUCUAAGGCCAGAAGGAAGAGGCUUUAGCUCUAUUGAAGGAGGUGAAGGUUGUUCAUUUUUGUCUAGCUCAACGGGUUCUACCAACUCUUCUUCUUCUUGAACAAAGUGUUCAUGAUUAAAGAAUGGUUGGGCCAUCUCCUCUUGAGUCAGCAUUAAGAUCUCCUCAAUAGGAUCUGGUUCGAGUUUGGGUUCCACUAUCGUGUUAAUUGUUCUAGCAAGAGAAACAACAAUAGUGGAAUUCCCAAUCUUGAUGUCUAAAUGACCUCGUUGUGGUUGUUCUUGUAUAAGUUUCAUGAUUGGUCUGCCAAUCAAGAGAGGAAUCUCCAGUAUGUCGUAAAUGUGAAAAUCUAGACAUAUUCCAGAGUCCUUGAUUCUAACAGGAACUGCCCUUAAUACCCCAUGGCUUUCUAGAAUUAAUCUAGAUGGCCUUUGUAAAAGUUUUUGAGAUGGGGUUAUGGACUUGUUGGGAUAAAGGGUGUCAGCUAACUCCUUGGAAAUAACAUUUAUCCCAACAUAUGGAUUGUAGUGGACCUUCCUAGUGGACCGUCUAAUUUGGCAUAGAAGAAUGGUUGAAGGAGUGAUGAUCCGAGCUACCUCAGGAGACAGCUCUGCUUCUGUUAGCCAUUCAUAACUCAGAAUAGCCGAAAGGCUUUUGAUGUGUUCUAUAUCAACAGAUUCUACUCUUAGAAUGGAUUGAGUGGUCCUUGCUAGAGGUCGUGUUUGGAUAGGAAAAUUCGAGGUGUUUCCAUAAUCUUCAAAAAGAUCUUCCUCGAAUUCAAAGGGAUGCUCUAAAGGUGGUGGUUCAUCAUCCCUUAGUUGGUUUUGCAUUCCUUUAUCAGGAGGUUUCUCUACAAACAAAUUAAUGGAUGGGUCAGGUGGAAUUUCUAACUCGGUUGCAAGUUCCUCAUCUUUUAGUUUAGGGUCAGGCUCGACUUCUUUCUCUUCUUCAGGAAACUCAUCAUAAAUGCCUGUGUAAGGGGUAUUUUCAAGGAUUCUCUCUAGGAUAGCUCUCCCCUCAUCUGUGAGUUUGUGUGUGAAUGAGCCUCCUGAAGCAAUGUCGAGGUGAAGAGCAGCCUCCUUACUUAGACCACGAUAAAAGUGGUAGUACAGUACAUGGUCAGGCAGGGAAAGGUUUGGACCGGAAUUGGUAAGGCUUGUGAACCUAGCCCAAGCUGCCAGAAAGCUUGUUGGGUAUUUUAAACGCAAACAGAAAAAUCCGCAAGCGCACGGAUACCGAUGUAGCUUUCACCCGGGAGUAUUCCAGAGUAUCGAUUUUCCACAGAGAACGUGAGUGUACUAAUUAAGAUCCAAGAUCGCCCAAGGAUAACUAUAUAAUUAUUUUUGGUGGGAAGAGAGGAAGUUUCCUGAGAGUUCGCUAGUGAUCUAAGAAUCAGGAAUUACUUCAAAGAUUAUUUAUAUCGGGACAUCAGAGCACUAACCACAGAAAUAGAUGAGAAGGGGGCUAGGAAGCUCCGACUACAGUCCUACAAACACCGAUCCGAACGAGGUGGAAUACGUCGACCGUUAGGGCUGUCACUACCCUAAGGCUACCACAACAAUCCGCAGGAUUGGGUGCAAUUCCAGGUAAUUGCAAGACUAAACACCACGUCUAAUCUAUUAAUUACUACUCUAGCGUUUCAAAGACUAGAGCACUUGAUGCAAGCGGGAAUCCAAUAAAUAACUUGAAUGUAAAUAAAAGUAAUUAGAGAACUCAGGAAUUAUGAAUUGAAGAACCUGGAGAACGAUGAAGGACGAACCAGUUGCUGCAAAAGUACAAUGUUGAGGAAGAUCCGACAGCCCCGGCUCCUCCUCCGCUCUCCUCUUCUCUCUCCCUAUUUUCUAGAUUACAACUAGAACUAACUAGAACUAGAACUAGAGGAACUAGAACUAGAACUAGAAGAACUAGAGGGAUCCUCUCUACUUGGAUGAAGAAUUGAAACCCUAACUUUGAUUCUGUAGAAGAGGUAUGAUCUCCAGGGGCCAGGGAGCUUGCUUAUAUAGUCUUUUUAGAUGAAUCUGGGCCGUGGGAUCAAACCGACAUUAAUCGCACGGUUUUCCUUGGUCCUUUAGGUCGGUGGAGCACGAUCCGCGAAGUUGAAGCUGAUUGGUUACUGUAGCUGGGCGGGCACUGAAGGGUCGAGAUGGCGGACUAGAGGGGGGGGUGAAUAGUCCUUUCUAAAACUUAUCGCGUCGGCUAACCGAAAACAAAUGCAGAAUUAGAUAUAUCGGCCUAGCCAAGACUACACCCCUCUAUCUAAGUUCUCUAGCACCUUGAAAAGAUCCUAAACAAGCAAGCAAGGUGCUACCUUAGCAAGAGCUCACCUAAUCAAUUCUAGGAGCAAGGUCACACAAACCUAUGCAACUAGUACUUUGCAAACUGGGGGAGCUCCUACACAAACUAGUGAGGCAAAGCGCACAAAGCCUAAGCUCACUAGCAAGCUCAAUAACAAGGCAACUAAUGCCAAAUUAGAGAGCGCAACUUACUUAGCUACACAAACUAAGCAAUGUGACUAGCAAGGUUACACAAACCAAAAAAGUCAUGCAAGGGAACUACUUCUAGCUACACAAGCAAGAAGGUAACUAGCAAGCUACACAAGCUAACUAAUUACAAGAGCAACUACACAAGCACAAGUAUAUGAAUGUAAGAACAAGCUUGUGUUAGGGACUUGCAAACCAACGGGAAGAACAAUGUUGACACGAUGAUUUUUUCCCGAGGUUCACUUGGUUGCCACCAAGCUACGUCCCCGUUGAGACAAGCUCCAAGGUUGCCGCCGGUCCUCUUGCUAGUGGUGACCCGCAAGUCACACUCUCCCACGUGGAGUGCUUACCACAAGCUCUAGCACUUGACCCGGCCGAACCACUUGUUGCUCUUCACGUCUCGCUCAACUAGAGUUGCUCUUCGCGAUCCCCGCGGGGUGAGCACCGUACCCCUCACAACCUCUUCUCCGGAGCACCGCACAAUCUCCUUGCGUGCUUCGACGGAGUCACAAGCCACCAAGCCGUCUAGGAGGUGGCAACCUCCAAGAGUAACAAGCACCACCGGCUUGCAACACGAACACCUAGUGCCACUCGAUGCAGUCUCUCAAUGCAACGCACUAGAAUCGCUCACUCACACAAUCGAAUGAUCACUAUGAAGUAUAUGUGAGUUAGAGGCUUCACUAGCACUCCCCAAGCAUGGACACUAACUCCCAAGGGUGCUCAGCACCGGCCAAGGCCGGCCACCACUUCUAUUUAUAGCCCCAAGGGCUAAACUAGCCGUUGCCCCUUCACUGGGCAAAACACGUGGGCACCGGACGCUCACAGGGAGCCACCGGACGCUCAACUCCCAGCGUCCGGUGCUCAGGCGUCGGCCACGUGUCACUAGCCGUUUGGACUCAACCGUUGCCGCCAAUGGCUACUGCGCACGCGCGCCUGCACAGCACCACCGGACGCUCUACUGCAUCACACCAGACGCGUCCGGUGCACACCGGACCCGUGCGCAGAGAGCUCCGCAAACUCGCACGGUCACCGGACGCAAGCCACCGGACGCACCCUGAGCGUCCUGUGCUCACGGGACUCAUGCGCAGAGAGGGUCGCCAAACGGCCCGCACACCGGACGCUGAGCACCGGACUCUCUCUGGUGCGUCCGGUGCCCUCUGUUGCACCCGACAGCACACCGGACGCUAAAGGCCAGCGUCCGAUGCCUCCGCACAGAGCGUCCGGUGAGUGUUUCCUACUGAGAAACACUCCCGCGACUUCUCCAAAUUUCCCACCGGCGCAAUAGAAAAUAUGCACUUAAUUUUCUCAAAACCCACACCUCUCUCAACCCGAGGAACACCACCUCCUUUGUAAAGUGUGCCAACACCAACAAGUGUACACCACCAUGUGCAAGUGUGUUAGCUUUUCAUAAACAUUUUCCCAAAGGAGUUAGCCUCUCAAACUUGCCACGCCACUCGAUCCUAACACGUAUGCAAAGUUACAUCGCUCAAGUGGCAUUAGAUGACCGAUAUGCAAACAAGUUUGCCCCUCUUGAUAGUACGGCCAUCUAUCCUAAAUCCGGUUAUAAACUUCGCUACACACCUAUGACCGGUGAAAUGGAAAUGCCCUAGGUUAUACCUUUGCCUUGCGCAUUCCAUUCCAUCUCCUCCGAUGUUGAUGCAACACAUGCACCGACCAAUCACCAAAUGAUAUGAUCCACUUCAUAUCAUCACGUGACCGUAUUGGUUCAUCGAUCUUGACCUCACUUGCUCUUCACCGUUGCCUCGGUCCAUCGGCGCCAAGUCUUGCUCAAGCUUCACCGUCACACGCGGUCCCUCGCUUCAAAGCCUCCGACUUGCCCUUCACUCUUGCAACCGGUCCAUCAAGCCAAGCCUCAUCUUGAUCUUCUCCACCUUGGUCACAUGACUCCAUGUCAUGUCUCAUGUGCAAUGAGCUCCUCCAUCAUCAUAUAAUCACCUGUGGACUAAUCUCCUGUGUAUCUCACAUAAACACUAUUAGUCCACCUAAGUUGUCACUCAAUUACCAAAACCAAACAAGGACCUUUCAAUCUCCCCCUUUUUGGUAAUUGAUGACAACUCUACAAAGAUAUGUAAAAAAAAACUUUUUCAAGCUAGCACUUCACACAAGUGUAAAUUGCUAACUUGGUUUGGAUUUUAUGCUACUUAUCCAACAUUUAAGCUCUAUGUCAAGAAUUGGAUAAGCACCAUAAAACCCUACUAAGUGCUAAGGUGUAUAGAAUAAACCUUUGUAGCUCGAUACCAAAAUCGAUAGCAUUUGAAGCAUUCAAUUGUACACCAUCCUUAGCACCAUGUGUAGCUAGACAACAAAAACACUAGAAACCCCGUGAGAUCAACAUUAUAAGCAAGGGUCUAGUUUUUACUUGAAAAACAGAAGUCUAGCUACCAACCUAUGCAUGCUAGUUAUCAUAUCAUCAUUCAAGUUCUAAAGCUAGCAUACACCACACAAGCAUGCAUAUUGAAUUUAGAACUUAUGCAAUGCAAGCAAGCACAUGAAUAUGCACAAAUCAAGUUGGAACAAACAAUGUUCAUGAGCUUGCUCCCCCUACUUGUGUGCUUCUCAUGUUCAAGAAUUUUGAUCCUUCUUGAUCUUUUCUUUUAAUGUUGCUCCCUUUUCCAUGUCCAUCUUUGAUCUCUCCCCUUUGAAACAUAUCUUUUGUUGUCCAACUUAUCCCAUGAUCAUAUCUUUGUUCCAACUUCUCCCCCUUUGUCACCAAUUUCCAUAAAAGGUAUGUGAUACAAAUUAAAUCACUUCAUACCAAUUGAAAGAAUGUUUAUCUUAUUGUGACAAAGGAUUGCAUUGGGAUAGAUGGUUGAGGCUUGAAUCUUGUAUUUUUGAUGGACAUCACCAUGUGUUGGAAUGACAUUACUUGAAUUGCUCUUGAGAUACCACAUAGGAUCUUUGACCUUGAUACCAUUUGGUGGGGCAACUCCCCUAUGUCAUAGCAUGGGUCAUUCACUUGUCAAUCUUGUUGGUGAGGGAACUUUCUUCACUUGAUGAUCACUUAAAGUUGAGGAUCACUUGUGGAACCACCUUCUUGUAUGAUAGACACCAUAUGUAUAAAUGUCAUAUCAUUUGAAAGAUCUUGUCCGAUACCAUAUAGAAAUCUUCUUCCAAUUGAAUGUCUUCUAGUAUGGAACCACUUGUUUCCUUUCUUGAACAUUUGCUAUCACGAGUACCAAUUGUUUGAUACCAAUUGAAGAAACAUUUGAAUUUAGAUAUCCAUUUGCAUUGUUGUCUUGUUCUUGUACUCUAAUCUUCAUGAGCUUCUAAUUGUUGACUUGAACUAGGUUGAUUUGCCUAAGCUUCCAAGUCCGGUUUGAACCAAUGACAAGCUUCUUCACACCUCUCAUUAAGGGUUAUCUUGCCAAUGUUGUACUUGUCACUUGUUAACAAACCAAAAUAGAUCAAGUACUUGGGUUUACUAGCUCACGAAUAAACUCAUAUACAUACCACUAGAUCAACUAAUCAUUCAAGCAAUAGUGGUAGGUUAUGAAUUGAAAACUUUUCAUUUGUUAUGCAUGAUCCUAUUGAGCAUGUACUAUAUGCACUAACCGCAUACUAGUAAGGGAUGAAAUGAUCAUGCACAUUACAAUGGUACCUUUGCUAUCUUGGAGUAGAGGAUAGUCAAUAAGACUCCAAUUUAGCUCCAAAUAGCAAUGUGAAGUCCAACUAUAAGCUUGGUGAAGACCAAUUAUAAAUACCAAUUGAUAGAUCAAAUCUUCACCCAUGUGAAAUGAGAACCACUUAUUGAUCAAGUGCACUAUCUUGUUGUGGAUGGCUUGCUUUUUCUUUUGACCAUUGCUUGCAUGAGAGAACUAAUAAGAAUAUCACUUGAACAUCAUGACUAGCUCUCUUUUGGGUGUUGCUUGCUCUCUUGAUCAAUCCUUUUGAUUGCUUCAACUAAGCAUCUCAAAUGUCCUUUAGAUCAUCACUUCCAUGUUAGCCUUCCAAGCACCACACUUGGAUUACCCACUCCUCGGGCGGCACGCCCCUCACUUAGGGAGAAGUGACCUCUCUCUAAAGAACCAUCCUUGAUACUUACUUGAAUUACUUUGAUUGAUUGAAUCAAGUGAUGGACUUAAUAUGAUGAGUAACCAUGAAUCCUUCUUUAAGUCCUUUUCUUUGUACCAAAUGAUUUCCAAUAGCCACUAGAACUUAAACUUCAUCUUCAUCUUGAUUUUGAUCUUGAUCUUCGGUUUUGAGUACUAAAAGUGUACACCAAGUACAUUCCACAAUCAAAUGACCUUGUACUCAUUACUUGUCAUGCUUCUAGAUCAAUUCAAAACCAAACUUAGGUGCCUCAAAUACUUAUAAUCAUGUUUCCAACUUGAGGACCUUUCAAUUUAAGUGACUCUAGAUCAAUCCAAUAUUUGUCACUUUUCUGACAGAUUAUGUACCCUUUAAAGAAAUAUCCAUAUCUCACAAUGUACAGAUCCAAAUGCCACGAAAUUUGGUGGAGAUGUGAUUUACUGAGUCAUCUAGCAGCUGUAGAAAUUUGAGCUUCAUUUGACUUCUAGAUUGCUACCAGAUUUCAAUUCUUCCACCACUGUUACAUGCUGAAAACUGCUGCACUAUAGCUGAUAAGAUCCACUCCAAAACCGAAGUAUCCCUCAUCCAAUUCUCAUGAGAUUUUUACAGCAUCUUGUAUGAUAAUUGCACAGCAUGCAUACCAAAUUUCAAGCCAUUCCAAAUAGUUUUGUUCACUCAAAAGCAGACUUGAUCUCAGCUAGCUCAGAUUCUCAAUGUUGGACAGAUUUCAAGCAAUUGAGCUAUAUUUGUUCAAAUUGAAUCAAACUUGAAAUCAACUUGAUUGAAUACUUUCACAAGACAUAUAUCCAUUCAAUCCACUCAGUAAAAGUCAUCUUAUGAACUUAUCCAACUCAAAUCAAUCCAAACUUGAUUACUAAGCAUUUAAUCCAUUCAAUCAUCUUAUAGCAAGCAACAUUGCAUAUUUAUCCAAUUCAAUCAACUCAUAUGCACCCAAAUGAAUGUGAUCAACAAAGAUAUACCAUGGUUAGCUUAUGAUCAUCUAAUUUGCAAGCUUCAACUCAUGUAUUUGCAAGCCAUCAAAUAAUCCAAUAAAUCACCACAACUUGAAUAUUUGCACUUGUAUGUUGUAGCACUUGGACUUCACUAUCUUGUCAUGGCAUUGGGUUUGGAUGUGCACUAGGCUUCAAUAAUUCACUCAAUCAUAUGAUGAAUAAUAUAAGAUCAAUUGAAUCAAGUCUCCAAUGCCGAUGGUACCUACACACAAUCAUCCACUUUUUGAUGGUACCCAAACUAGUUUGGGUCCUCUCAAGUUAGGUGCAACAUACUUAGGCGAUGCCUUAGUAUGAGUAGCGGGAUGUUUUGCAAUAGUAACCAUAGAGGUACCAUCACCAUCCUUUUUAAGCAUAUUAUGAUUGUCAAAUGAAAAAGGCCUAGAAUUAUUACCUAGGGGACAUGAAUGAGCCAUGUGUCCCCUUUCCCGGCAUAAGUAGCAACUUCUCUUUGAUUGAGCCUUUUCUUCCUUGCUCAUGUGUUGCUUCUUAUUGCCUUGCCUCUUGAGGGUUGCUUGAGCCUUCUUCUCAAGCUUGGUAGGACACUUCGAGGCAAAGUGUCCAUCAUUCUUGCUCAUCAUCUUGGCAUCUUGGAUUUGCAUUGGAUGCCUUGCUCUUCCACCCCUUCUUGUUUUCUUCUUCAUCAUCAUCAAGUCAUCGUGAUGGUUGAACUUGACUUGAGCUUGGGGCUCCUUUUAUUGCUCAACUUGUGGCUUAGGUUGAGGCUCUUCUUGUUGCUUCACCAAUUGCUUGGUUGGGCACAUUGAGGUGAGAUGACCCCAAGUGCGGCACUUGAAGCCCUUGACAUGCUUUAGCCUCUCUUCUUCCUUCAUCUUCUUGAGCUUCUCAAUGUUUGGGCAACCACUUGCAAGAUGUCCCACUUCAUGGCACCGAUAGCACAUGAAAUGAGAAAGCUUCCUCUUUUCUUGCUUUCUUUUGCCCUUUGUCAUCUUCUUCUUGAAGCCAAGGCCACAUUUGUUACCAUAAUUUCUUUGAGUCUUCAAUAUAUGCUCAAAGGUGACUUUUGAGUUGUAGCACCUCUCCAACUUGUUGCUCAAAUUCUUCACUUCACUUUUGAGCUUAUUGUUCUCCUUCAAAAGGUUAGUCUCACAAGACAUAGAAGUAGAACAAGCAUCUAAUUGUGAAGAACAUGGCAUAGAUAAUAAAUCAUCACAAGAGGUGGAUACAUGCUUCUUGCCUACAUCACAAGGGUUAGUAACAAUAUGUGAUUGAUCAUUUGAUCCAAAUGAUGAGCUCUCACUAGUUUUAAUUUCUUCAUUAGAAAUCUUCUUAGUGAGAAAAGCAUGAUCUUUUACCAAGUUAUCAUGAGUAACACAAAGUUCCUCAUGAACCAAUUUUAGCUCCUCAUGUGAACAAGUAGUAACAUAAAGUAGAUGAUUCUGUUGUUCACAUGUGGUUUUUGGAAAUGAGUUUUCAUUUUUCAAUUUACUUGUUUUAGCAAUCUCAUUUCUUAAAGCUUUGGUGAGUCUACAUACAAGCUCAAAAUUUGGAUCAUCACAAUCAACAAUCACACCUCCAAUAGAUACCUUGCCGUCGCCAUGAGACAUGGAGGAAUGUGAUGAAGUGGAUGAGCUUGUAGAAGCAUCACUCUCAUAGCCAUCAUCUUCAUCUUCACUUGACCAUGAGGUGGAGCAAUCCUCCACAACCACCUUGUUGUGGUUAUGCUCAACAUCCUCAUGUAUCUCCACCUUUGGUUCCUCCUUUUUGAACUUGCCAUCAUCCCAUGUGGAAGAAUCACCGAAGGUGUGUUUGAUAGACUCCCACAUUUCAUAUGCGGUUCCUUUGGAGUUUAUCCUAUCAAACAACUCAAAGCUCAAGGAUUUCAUUAGAUAACAAUAAGCUUCACAAUCAAGUUCAAAGAGAACCUUUUGAGCUUUGGUGAGAUUCUUAUGGUCCAAGUUGUGUGUGAGACCAUUAGUGACAAUCCACCAAAAUUUAGGUCCCUUUGCACGAAAAUGAUCAAGCAUGUGAUUUUUCCAAAGUGCAAAGUUUGUACCAUCAAAAAUGUGUGGACACUCAACAUCUAGCCCAUAAGCCGCAAUCCUCUCGGGUCGGUGAAGACCACAAAUGAGAGACCUAGCUCUGAUACCACUUGAAGGGUCGAGAUGGCGGACUAGAGGGGGGUGAAUAGUCCUUUCUAAAACUUAUCGCGUCGGCUAACCGAAAACAAAUGCGGAAUUAGAUCUAUCAGUCUAGCCAAGACUACACCCCUCUAUCUAAGUUCUCUAGCACCUUGAAAAGAUCCUAAACAAGCAAGCAAGGUGCUACCUUAGCAAGAGCUCACCUAAUCAAUUCUAGGAGCAAGGUCACACAAACCUAUGCAACAAGUACUUUGCAAAACGGGGGAUCUCCUACACAAACUAGUGAGGCAAAGCGCACAAAGCCUAAGCUCACUAGCAAGCUCAAUAACAAGGCAACUAAUGCCAAAUUAGAGAGCGCAACUUACUUAGCUACACAAACUAAGCAAUGUGACUAGCAAGGUUACACAAACCAAAAAAGUCACGCAAGGGAACUACUUCUAGCUACACAAGCAAGAAGGUAACUAGCAAGCUACACAAGCUAACUAAUUACAAGAGCAACUACACAAGCACAAGUAUAUGAAUGUAAGAACAAGCUUGUGUUAGGGACUUGCAAACCAAGGGGAAGAACAAUGUUGACACGAUGAUUUUCUCCCGAGGUUCACUUGGUUGUCACCAAGCUACGUCCCCGUUGAGACAAGCUCCAAGGUUGCCGCCGGUCCUCUUGCUAGUGGUGACCCGCAAGUCACACUCUCCCACGUGGAGUGCUUACCACAAGCUCUAGCACUUGACCCGGCCGGACCACUUGUUGCUCUUCACGUCUCGCUCAACUAGAGUUGCUCUUCGCGAUCCCCGCGGGGUGAGCACCGUACCCCUCACAAUCUCUUCUCCGGAGCACCGCACAAUCUCCUUGUGUGCUUCGACGGAGUCACAAGCCACCAAGCCAUCUAGGAGGUGGCAACCUCCAAGAGUAACAAGCACCAUCGGCUUGCAACACGAACACCUAGUGCCACUCGAUGCAGUCUCUCAAUGCAACGCACUAGAAUCGCUCACUCACACAAUCGAAUGAUCACUAUCAAGUAUAUGUGAGUUAGAGGCUUCACUAGCACUCCCCAAGCAUGGACACUAAGUCCCAAGGGUGCUCAGCACCGGCCAAGGCCGGCCACCACUUCUAUUUAUAGCCCCAAGGGCUAAACUAGCCGUUGCCCCUUCACUGGGCAAAACACGUGGGCACCGGACGCUCACAGGGAGCCACCGGACGCUCAACUCCCAGUGUCCGAUGCUCAGGCGUCGGCCACGUGUCACUAGCCGUUUGAACUCGACCGUUGCCGCCAACGGCUACUGCGCACGCGCGCCUGCACAGCACCACCGGACGCUCUACUGCAUCACACCGGACGCGUCCGGUGCACACCGGACCCGUGCGCAGAGAGCUCCGCAAACUCGCACGGUCUCCGGACGCAAGCCACUGGACGCACCCUGAGCGUCCCGUGCUCAUAGGACUCAUGCGAAGAGAGGGUCGCCAAAUGGCCCGCACACCGGACGCUGAGCACGGACUCUCUCCGGUGCGUCCGGUGCACUCUGCUGCACCCGACAGCACACCGGACGAUAAAGGCCAGCGUCCGGUGCCUCCGCACAGAGCGUCCGGUGAGUGUUUCCUACUAAGAAACACUCCCGCGACUUCUCCAAAUUUCCCACCGGCGCAAUAGAAAAUAUGCACUUAAUUUUCUCAAAAGCGCCGAAUGCCGCCUCGCAAGCUUUUCAUAAACAUUUUCCCAAAGGAGUUAGCCUCUCAAACUUGCCACGCCACUCGAUCCUAACACGUAUGCAAAGUUAGAUCGCUCAAGUGGCAUUAGAUGACCGAUAUGCAAACAAGUUUGCCCCUCUUGAUAGUACGGCCAUCUAUCCUAAAUCCGGUCAUAAACUUCUCUACACACCUAUGACCGGUGAAAUGGAAAUGCCCUAGGUUAUACCUUUGCCUUGCGCAUUCCAUUCCAUCUCCUCCGAUGUUGAUGCAACACAUGCACCGACCAAUCACCAAAUGAUAUGAUCCACUUCAUAUCAUCACGUGACCGUAUUGGUUCAUCGAUCUUGACCUCACUUGCUCUUCACCAUUGCCUCGGUCCAUCGGCGCCAAGUCUUGCUCAAGCUUCACCGUCACACGCGGUCCCUCGCUUCAAAGCCUCCGACUUGCCCUUCACUCUUGCAACCGGUCCAUCAAGCCAAGCCUCAUCUUGAUCUUCUCCACCUUGGUCCCAUGACUCCAUGUCAUGUCUCAUGUGCAAUGAGCUCCUCCAUCAUCAUAUAAUCACCUAUGGACUAAUCUCCUGUGUAUCUCACAUAAACACUAUUAGUCCACCCAAGUUGUCACUCAAUUACCAAAACCAAACAAGGACCUUUCAGGCACCCAAGGGACUUGGGCGGGCGCCCUGCCCCCGGGCCCGAUCGGCCUCCCGUUCGUUCCCGUGGCUUCUGGAGUCUUCUAGAUGGUAGAAAAUUGCACGGCACGUUAAUAUCUCUAUGUAAACCCGACGUGUGGGCCUUUCUUCCUUAUUUCCUGAUAACCCCCUGCAGAAAUAGACAAACACCAAAACUCGUGGAAUUCUGUCAGAUAAAACCCUAAGUCUAGGUGUUGGUUCCAUUUAGAUCCUUUUCCAUGAGAUGCCACCGGUGUCAAAAACAUGGGAAUAUUAACUCACGAAAUGAAAUGCCUCUCACAAAUAAUCUUCAAGUAGAACUUUUCGAUGUUUGGGGCAUUGAUUUCAUGGGGCCAUUCCCUAUGUCCGGGAAUUACGAGUAUAUCUUAGUAGCUGUGGACUAUGUGUCCAAAUGGGUAGAAGCCCUACCUUGUCGAUCAGCUGAUUCAAAACAUGCCAAGAGAAUGUUCCAUGAAGUAAUCUUUCCUCGCUUUGGUAUACCCCGGAUAGUUAUAAGCGAUGGAGGUUCCCACUUCAUCGAUAAAAUCUUCCUGAAGUACCUAGCCGAUCAUGGAGUUCGACACAACGUCGCAACACCAUACCAUCCUCAGACUAGCGGUCAAGCCGAAACAGCUAACAAACAAAUCAAAAAUAUUUUACAGAAGACCGUAGAUGAGAUGGGUAAGGGGUGGAAGGACAAACUUCCUGAUGCACUUUGGGCAUAUAGAACUGCAUUCAAAACACCCAUAGGCAUGUCACCUUAUCAACUUGUAUAUGGAAAAACUUGUCAUUUGCCUGUGGAGGUAGAGUUUAAGGCUCAUUGGGCACUCAAGAAAUGGAACAUGGAUCACCACCUUGCUAGCGAGAAUCGUCUCAUGCAACUAUCUGAGCUAGAAGAAUGGAGAGAGAAAGCCUACCACAAUUCAAGGAUCUAUAAAGAAAGAACAAAAGGAUGGCAUGAUAAGAGAAUCAAGCACAAGGAGUUUAAGCCUGGAGAUAAGGUUCUACUAUUCAAUUCAAGAGUUAAGCUCUUUGGGCAUGGUAAGCUACGAAGUAAGUGGGAUGGACCAUACAAGGUUAUUGACACUUCAACUCAUGGAGCCAUUACCAUCCAAGACGACAUAGGUAACACUUUUAAGGUAAAUGGUCAACGCUUGAAAAUCUAUCUCGAGCCACAAAACAACCUGGUAGAGGAACUUGAUGUGAUUGAGUUCAUAGAAUUCUCACAUUAAGCUCUCAUAAGCUCUAGGCAAUUACCUAACCCUUAACAUGUUGUCUAUUUGGGUUGUGCAGGAUUUUGAGGCUUAAGAAGAGUGAGACCGAACAUGCAGGCCACCAGAGUGAACGACUAUGUCAACAUCCAGCUUGGGGGAGGCACCCCCACGUGUAUCAAGAUAAGUAUUACUUUUCUUCCUUUGGUUUUAUUUUCUAGUAUUCGGAAAUAAAUAAAUAAAUAAAAAUGCAUAACCAUGAAACCAAACAAAGUUUUUCUUUUGAGUAAUAUACAAUAGUUUUGUGUAAACCUAAGUUUUAAAUAAAAAUAAAAAAAGUUUGAUUCAAGUCUAGGUAAUUGACAAACAUGAUAUGAGAAGGUCUGAGCUACUAUUUAACUUGUUCCAAGUUUUGCUAGAGUUCUGGAGAUUUUAUCUUUUGAAAAUCUAAAAAUUCAUAAAAAAAUAUAUGAGAUCAUAAUACCUAGAGUCUUAUAAGAUAUAAAUAUUAAAACUAUGGGCACUUGCUUUGUUCAAGCCAUUGUUAAUUCUUGUAGUUUUGGUUGAGAGAAUUAACAUGCUCCCAAGAUCAAGAUCUUUUUGUUUUAAAAAUAUAAAAGAUUCACUCUUCCGAAGUAUCAUUGCGUUAGAGGCAUGGGACUAUGCAAAAAUGUGACUCGAAAAAAAAAGAGAGUGAGACGAGAGGUAAAAAUGGACAAGUGUCCGUAGUAGAAUUAGGGGUACAAAGAUACCCUCCUGAGUGGAAAAAAUGGACAUGUGUCCGACAGUAAAAUUAGGGGUACUUGCUGCCCACUUGAAAAAAAAAGAGAGAAAAAAAGAAAAAAAUGAAAAAAAAAUGAUAGCCCAUGGUCCCUCUAAUAAGCAAUAUGCCAGUAAGAGAUGACAAACUUCUCAAAAAGGUCAAAGGUCUUGAUCUAGGACUAUGACAUUCCUCUCCCUUACUCCGAGCGUUGACAUAGCAAAAUGCAAAGUAAGUAUGCUAAAACUUUUAAAGCUCUACUUAUAUAUAUCUUUCGAGAAGAAGGCAAAUGCCUCGGUUUUAUUUUGCAGACUUAUAAAAAAAACUCCAGAGCAAAGGUAAGACAAAAGAACUUGAAACAUAGUGCUUGACUGGAUCGUUCUGUUUUUCAAUCACUUAAGACCUUAAAAACCCUAUAGUAAGAGGCAUAAAAGUAACCCCUGUUUUCUUGCUGAUUUUAGUUUUGCUCAUUGACGAGCAAAGGUUAAGCUUGGGGGAGCUUGUUGACGGUCCUUAAUGCUCACAUUUAACCAUCAACUAAUCAUGGAAAAGGAUCCAAAUGCAACCAACACCUAGACUUAGGGUUUUAUCUGACAGAAUUCCACGAGUUUUGGUGUUUGUCUAUUUCUACAGGGGGUUAUCAGGAAAUAUGAAAGAAAGGCCCACACAUCAGGUUUACAUAGAGAUAUUAACGUGUCGCGCAAUUUUCUAUCAUCUAGAAGACUCCAGAAGCCACGGGAACGAACGGGAAGGAAAUCGGGCUCGGAGGUAGGGCACCCGCCCAACUCUCCUGGGCGCCCGCCCAGCUACAGUGCCCAAUCAGGACACGUUUCGCGGAUUAUGCUCCACCGACCUAAAGGAUCAAGGAAAACCGUGCGAUCAAUGUCGGUUUGAUCCGACGGCCCAGAUUCACUUGAAGGGACUAUAAAACCAGACCCCCUGGCCCCUGGAGAUCAUACCUCUUCUACAGAAUCAAAGUUGGGGUUUCAAGUCUUCAUCCAAGUAGAGAGGAUCCCUCUAGUUCUUCUAGUUUUACCUCUAGUUCAUCUAGAUCUAGUUAUACUUCAUCUAGUUCUAGUUCUAGUCCCUCUAGUUCUAGUUCUAGUUAGUUAUAGUUGUAAUCUAGAAAAUAGGGAGAGAGAAGAGGAGAGCGGAGGAGGAGGAGCCGGAUCUGUCGGAUCUUCCUCAACAUUGUACUUUUGCACCAAUUGGUUCGUUCUUCAUCGUUCUCCAGGUUCUUCAAUUCGUAAUCCUGAGUUCUUUAAUUACUUUUAUUUACAUUCAAGUUAUUUAUUGGAUUCCCGCUUGCAUCAAGUGCUCUAAUCUUUGCAACAUUAGAGUAGUAAUUAAUAGAUUAGACGUGGUGUUUAGUCUUGCAAUUACCUGGAAUUGCACCCAAUCCUGCGGAUUGUUGUGGUAGCCCUAGGGUAGUGACAGCCCUAACGGUCGACGUAUUCCACCUCGUUCGGAUCGGUGUUUGUAAGACCAUAGUCAGACCUUCCUAGCCCCCAUCUCAUCUCUUUCUGUGGUUAGUGCUCUGAUGUCCCGAUAUAAAUAAUCUUUGAAGUAAUUCUUGAUUCUUAGAUCAAUUAGAGAACUCUCAGGAAACUUCCUCUCUUCCCACCAAAAAUAAUUAUAUAGUUAUCCUUGGGCUAUCUUGGAUCUUAAUUAGUACACUCACGUUCCCUGUGGAAAAUCGAUACUCUGGAAUACUCCCGGGUGAAAGCUACAUCGGUAUCCGUGCGCUUGCGGAUUUUUCUGUUUGCGUUUAAAAUACCCAACAAGCUUUCUGGCGCCGUUGCCGAGGAACGGUAGCUGUGCUUGUUUCGAACCAAGUCGUCCGUGUAUCUGUUGACGGUCCUUAAUGCUCAUAUUUAACCAUCAACUAAUCAUGGAAAAGGAUCCAAAUGCAACCAACACCUAGACUUAGGGUAUUAUCUGACAGAAUUCCACAAGUUUUGGUGUUUGUCUAUUUCUGUAGGGGGUUAUCAGGAAAUAUGGAAGAAAGGCCCACACGUCGGGUUUACAUAGAGAUAUUAACGUGCCGUGCAAUUUUCUGCCAUCUAGAAGACUCCAGAAGCCACGGGAACGAACGGGAGGCCGAUCGGGCCCGAGGGUAGGGCGCCCGCCCUCCCCCUUGGGUGCCCGCCCAGCUACAGUGCCCAAUCAGGACACGUUUCGCGGAUUAUGCUCCACCGACCUAAAGGAUCAAGGAAAACCGUGCGAUUAAUGUCGGUUUGAUCCGAGGGCCCAGAUUCAUCUGAAAAGACUAUAUAAGCAAGGCCCCUGUCCCCUGGAGAUCAUACCUCUUCGACAGAAUCAAAGCUAGGGUUUCAAUUCUUCAUCCAAGUAGAGAGGAACCCUCUAGUUCUUCUAGUUCUACCUCUAGUUCAUCUAGAUCUAGUUCUAGUUCAUCUAGUUCUAGUUCUAGUUCCUCUAGUUCUAGUUCUAGUUAGUUCUAGUUGUAAUCUAGAAAAUAGGGAGAGAGAAGAGGAGAGCGGAGGACGAGCCGGAUCUGUCAGAUCUUCCGCAACAUUGUACUUUUGCAGCAUCUGGUUCGUUCUUCAUCGUUCUCCAGGUUCUUCAAUUCAUAACUCCUGAGUUCUCUAAUUACUUUUAUUUACAUUCAAGUUAUUUAUUGGAUUCCCGCUUGCAUCAAGUGCUCUAAUCUUUGAAACAUUAGAGUAGUAAUUAAUAGAUUAGACGUGGUGUUUAAUCUUGCAAUUACCUGGAAUUGCACCCAAUCCUGCGGAUUGUUGUGGUAGCCUUAGGGUAGUGACAGCCCUAACGGUCGACGUAUUCCACCUCGUUCGGAUCGGUGUUUGUAGGACCGUAGUCGGAGCUUCCUAGCCCCCUUCUCAUCUCUUUCUGUGGUUAGUGUUCUGAUGUCCCGAUAUAGAUAAUCUUGAAGUAAUUCUUGAUUCUUAGAUCAACUAGAGAACUCUCAGGAAACUUCCUCUCUUCCCACCAAAAAUAAUCAUAUAGUUAUCCUUGGGCGAUCUUGGAUCUUAAUUAGUACACUCACGUUCCCUGUGGAAAUCGAUACUCUGGAAUACUCCCGGGUGAAGGCUACAUCGGUAUCCGUGCGCUUCGGAUUUUUCUGUUUGCGUUUAAAUUUCCCAACAAGCUUUCUGGCGCCGUUGCUGGGGAACGAUAGCUGUGCUAGUUUCAAACCAAGUCGUCCGUGUAUCCUUUUCUUUUUCCUUUUUACCACACUCACCUUACCAUUUUCACCAUACCGCAUGGAUUUCACUCUAAGCAUUAAUGAGCAUGGAAUUUAUUUCAUAGCCACUUCAUUUACUCCAUGCUCAUAUGCAACAUCUUCACAAUCCAUUGGUCUCUCCAACAUCACCACAUUCGAGAUCUCCAACCCUCACUUCCUUUCUAUUUAUAAAAACUUUAAAAGGGCAGUUGUCGAUGCAUAUGUCUAUAUUAAAUAUUGCACAUCUCGUUGAGUUGAUCUUGAUAUAGGUCAGCGUUGGAGGGGAAACCACUUCGCUGACAUAAAUUGAUGGUUUCCCAAGGACAAGCUUAGUGUCCUAAAGUAAGCACUGAUCAGAUUGUAACAUGAGCUUUUAAUUAUUUGCAACGUUACCUUGUGUGUUGAGCAUAUAAGGAUAAUUGUAAAAAUAUUCCUUCGGGUAUUCUUGUCACUAACCUUUCCAGGAUUGGAGCAAGAAGAUCGGAUGAAUGACAAGCACAAGGUAUGUCCAACCAAUCAUCAUGCAACAUUGAAUUAAAUUCAUCCAAACUCGAAUUUUGCAAAAUUCAAGCUUGGGGGAGUACUUCACAUAAAAACAUCCUUUGCCAUGUUGCUAUGUUGGUUGUCCCUACCUUUGAGACAUGCUCAAUUUGUUAAAUACUAAUCACACUACUUCAUCUCCACUUGAGUAUAUCUCUAUCAAUGCUCUCAUAAAUCAAAUUAGACAUGGUGUCUAGGUUGAUCUUUGAGCCGAUAGUAUGCUAUAGUAGAUAUUGGAUAUUUUAUUGGACUAACCCCUGCAGGAAAACUUUCAAUAUCAACCUGGAAAGUCCUGAGAUAACUCACAUNNNNNNNNNNNNNNNNNNNNNNNNNNNNNNNNNNNNNNNNNNNNNNNNNNNNNNNNNNNNNNNNNNNNNNNNNNNNNNNNNNNNNNNNNNNNNNNNNNNNAGAUUAACCAACACAAUUGAUUCAAUAUGUUUAGUCCUUCCACCUUUGUAAUCCCACACUCCUAAUCUUAUGAACUAAAAUGUUGCACACUCAAUCUUUGGAAAAUGAUAGUCAUGUAAAGAAAAAAAACAUUUACUUAGAUAGAUUAUCUUUCCAUAAGGUUGAGUGAUCUGAUCUGACAAAUGUUUUAAAUGUUACACUCAUGGUCUUAUUAUCCAUCAACUUUGUCUUGCUCACUAUGCUUAAGGUUAGAGAGAACAAAUACACCUUUGGUUCUGUUGGUGUUUUCCACCAACAGGGCCCAUGCACUUGAUCUCUGCCUUGUCUCUAUGAGUAGGUACACUUCAAGCAAAAUAUGAAGGAGUUUUACAACUCCCAGACUCCACCAAGUGAAGAACCUAGAUCUACGAGCACAAACACACUGGAGAUACUGGACACUCAGGUAAUCACUGCCCUAAGAUGCUUAAGGACGUUACUACUGGAGUAACCCCGUUGUGGAAGUAAUUACUGACCUUCUACCGGUCAAGAGAGACAAUCUAGGACGCCCCGUCAUCCCGAUCUCCAUCGGCAUGGUAGACUUCCCAGAAGCACUCUGCGACUUUGGCUCCAGCGUCAACAUUAUGCCCAGGGUACUCUAUGAAAAAUUCUUUACACAUCCUUUUUUAGAAACAACCAUGUGUUUGCAGCUUGCAGAUCGUACGCUAUGUUUCCCAAAGAGAAUAUUGAAGAACCUCUACGUCUGAGUUGGUACCUUAUACGCUCCAGCAGGCUUCGUGGUGAUAGAGACUGAUACUAAUGAGAGGGCACCCAUCAUCUUAGGGAGGCCAUUCCUAAACACCUCAGGAGCUGUCAUCUACGCUAGUGCUGCCAAGAUCAGUUUCUACAUCAAGGGGACGAAGGAGACGUUUUCCUUCAAGAACAAGACUACACAAAUCUCAGAGCAAUCCCGACAUGAACCAAGGAAGAGGACCAACAGGAGGAAUAGGAACAAGCAAAUGUGGACCAAGUCAGCUAAGAUGGUCACUGCAGCUCAAGGAGGUCAAGAUCGUCAACUCAGGUCGCCUUUCUUGAUCAAGAAGGACGACCCUGGUGUUCCAAGCAUCCAGUGCUCUAUUAAUGGAUACAACUUCCAGAAGACGCUUUGCGACACUGGGUCAGGCGUCAACAUAAUGGUCGCAGUCACCUAUCAACUCCUGUUCGGAACCAUGCCACUAAAACCGACAUACAUUUAGCUCUAGAUGAUUUUAAGGUUAUUGACAUGGGAGAAGACGAGUACAAUCCACCCAUCACCCUUGGAAGACCGUUCUUUAGCACCGUUAAAGCAAUCAUAUACAUUGGAACCAGAGAAGUCCACAUGCAUUUCCCCUCUGAGAAGAAGACGACGCAACCGCAACCAGAGGAGGCAAAUCAUCAAGGACGGAUGGGCAGACUAUGAAGGAGAAGUUAUAAGGUCUGAAAACAUACAGCUUGAACAGAACUGUCCUGAGGAGACCGUAGCACCAAGUCAGGUGUGGAGAAAGAAGAUAGUUAUACAUGAAGAGCAGGCGCCGCCGGAACCACCGACUACGCCAUCCAGCGAAUCCAAGGACGAUUGAGAAAACGGAGAGUCCCGUUCGGAGGACUUAAAAACACCGAACGCCUUGCCAAGAGGUAAACUUGGUAGUUAUCUUUUUCCUUUCAAUUAUUUUAAAAUAGUUUGCUUAGUUAAUCAGGUUCAUAUCAUCCUGAAAAGAAAAUAAAAAUGUUUAAAAUAGUAAGCCCCAUGUGGGUAUGCUCAUGGCAUAAAACCCAUAAGUACAUUCACUGUGGUGGCAUAGAAAUAAAAUAAAUAUAUUCCUGUUCUAUAAAAAUAAAAUUAUAAAAAUAAAUUUAUGAUCCUACUAAAGAGAGUAACAUUUAUUGAGGAGGCUCAACAUGAUAAAGGCUAGAUAUUUAUGCUAACACUUAACUAGUUCCACAAAGCUUUGUUGUCUAUUUGAGCUCCACAGAAUUCAAGGUUCAAAGAAGACUAGCAGACGGAGGACAUCCUACUCGCUGUCAGGGCGCUGCCGACAUUCAAAUACACCUCUGCCACGUGCUAGCUACAUCAGAAGGAAUUACGUCAAAAUCCAGCUUGGGCGAGAGCAUUCCCAUUUAUCCAGCUAAGUGUUUCUACUCGCGUUUAUACUUUACUCAAAUAAUAAAAAUAUGCAUAAUCAUAAAAAACCAAAUAAAGAUUUUGUGCUUAUAUAUAUAUAUAUAUAUCUUUGCUCAGUUUGCUAAAUAAAUAAAUAAAGUUUGCUAUGAACCCUCAUGAUAAGCUCUCACAUGGAAAUGAUGAGUAGUUGCUCUACCAUGACUAGUUCUCAAAAUUGAAAUCUCUCUCAAGUUUAGGCAUGACCGUUAUUAAUUAAGAUUUGCUCUAAACCUAAACUUGUGGGAAGAGUACUUGAUCUGAAGUCUAAGUCGUUAACUGAUAUGAUAUGGGAAGGUUGAGCUGCUGUUUAUCUGUUCCUAGAGAUGCUAGAAUUCUGGAGAAUUUUAUCUUUGAAAAUCUUUAAAAUGUUGCAUGAUGAGUUCCUGUAUGAUGAGAGUUUAAAUUCCUACCACAGCCAUAUAUACAUGCUUGUUAGACUAUGAACCACACAUUUACUUUUUAAUGCUUAUGAGCAUUGAGUGUGGUCAAGCUGUGUAGACCCUUAGGAGCUUGUCAGGUGGUUAAAUCAAGAUUCACUUGCACGUUCACUCACACAUGCUACUUCUACUCCAGAAGUACCAUCCACAUAUAUCCAUCCAUUUCCAUCUCCAGAACCACCCAAAAAUAUUCUACUCCUAAUCCGGGAGAGAAUAGCCAAAAACAUUCUCCUAUUUCUGUUUUUCCCUGUGAAAAAAAAAUGCUCAAGUUAUCUUGGUUACUACCACUUGCUAUAUUAUUUCAGGAGAUGAGUGCUCUAAAAAAAGAAAGAAAAAAGAAAGAAUGCGAGGAAAUAAAAGGGGCAAGUGCCCGGAACCUCGAAAGAAAAGAAAAAGUGAGACGAGAGGUAAAAAUGGACAAGUGUCCGACAGUAGAAUUAGGGGUACAAGAUACCCACCUGAGAGAAAAGAAAAAUAAAAUAUAGAGCAUCUCAUUCUCCUCAAAAAGUUUCAAAAGAGCAAGAAAGGUAUGUAUCCCCUCAAAAGAGCAUAAGUAGAAUUAGACUUCCACCAUUGUUAUCACCAUCAUCACCAUACACCAUUCAUUCGCCACACAUGCACAUCUUGAUUUGACUUAUUGACUUGUUCUUCUGGAUCCAUGGUUUGACUAUGCAAUAAAUGUCUUGUAAGUAUGUAUUAGCUGUCUCCCACCUAUGAGCUCCAGAUAUCAAAACCUUAUUAGAGUAGGGUGUGAGAGAAGGCAAUGCCACUAUGCCUCAUACCAAAAAUACCACAUACUUUGAGAGAAGGCAUACACCAUUACUGCCUUGGUAAGGAUCCAAAAAUACCACAAAAGAGAGACUAGAGAAAGUCAUACAAGGAAUCUCUGAGUUUUAUUUGAAAAUCUACAAAAACUCCAGUGCUAUAGUUAAUCGAAGAACAAGAGACAUGGCGCUUGACUAAACCGUUCUAUCCUUUAACUGCUCAAGACAAAAGUGACGGUUGCAAGCCCCAUGGUGAAAGGUAAUAUGAGUAAGUUUAAAUCUUAAUAGUUACCCUAACCCAAAGAUGAGAUCUUGUUUGAAUGCAUGUAUAACUUUAAGGCAUGAAACCACUGCAGAAACUCUUGAGUUCAUCUUUGCUCAGGGACGAGCAAAGGUUAAGCUUGGGGGAGCUUGUUGACGGUCCUUAAUGCUCAUAUUUAACCAUCAACUAAUCAUGGAAAAGGAUCCAAAUGCAACCAACACCUAGACUUAGGGUUUUAUCUGACAGAAUUCCACGAGUUUUGGUGUUUGUCUAUUUCUGUAGGGGGUUAUCAGGAAAUACAGAAGAAAUGCCCACACGUCGGGUUUACAUAGAGAUAUUAACGUGCCGUGCAAUUUUCUACCAUCUAGAAGACUCCAGAAGCCACAGAAACGAACGGGAGGCCGAUCGGGCCCGAGGGCAGGGCGCCCGCCCUCCCCCCUUGGGUGCCCGCCCAGCUACAGUGCCCAAUCAGGACACGUUUCGCGGAUUAUGCUCCACCGACCUAAAGGAUCAAGGAAAACUGUGCGAUUAAUGUCGGUUUGAUCCGAGGGCCCAGAUUCAUCUGAAAAGACUAUAUAUGCAAGGCCCCUAGCCCCUGGAGAUCAUACCUCUUCUACAGAAUCAAAGCUAGGGUUUCAAGUCUUCAUCCAAGUAGAGAGGAUCCCUCUAGUUCUUCUAGUUCUACCUCUAGUUCAUCUAGAUCUAGUUCUAGUUCAUCUAGUUCUAGUUCUAGUUCCUCUAGUUCUAGUUCUAGUUAGUUCUAGUUGUAAUCUAGAAAAUAGGGAGAGAGAAGAGGAGAGCGGAUGAGGAGCCGGAUCUGUUGGAUCUUCCUCAACAUUGUACUUUUGAAGCAUCUGGUUCGUUCUUCAUCAUUCUCCAGGUUCUUCAAUUCAUAAUCCUGAGUUCUUUAUUUACUUUUAUUUACAUUCAAGUCAUUUAUUGGAUUCCCGCUUGCAUCAAGUGCUCUAAUCUUUGCAACAUUAGAGUAGUAAUUAAUAGAUUAGACGUGGUGUUUAGUCUUGCAAUUACCUGGAAUUGCACCCAAUCCUGCGGAUUGUUGUGGUUGCCCUAGGGUAGUGACAGCCCUAACGGUCGACGUAUUCCACCUCGUUCCGGAUCGGUGUUUGUAGGACCGUAGUCAGACCUUCUUAGCCCCCUUCUCAUCUCUUUCUGUGGUUAGUGCUCUGAUGUCCCGAUAUAAAUAAUCUUUGAAGUAAUUCUUGAUUCUUAGAUCAAUUAGAGAACUCUCAGGAAACUUCCUCUCUUCCCACCAAAAAUAAUUAUAUAGUUAUCCUUGGGCGAUCUUGGAUCUUAAUUAGUACACUCACGUUCCCUGUGGAAAAUCGAUACUCUGGAAUACUCCCGGGUGAAAGCUACAUCGGUAUCCGUGCGCUUGCGGAUUUUUCUGUUUGCGUUUAAAAUACCCAANNNNNNNNNNNNNNNNNNNNNNNNNNNNNNNNNNNNNNNNNNNNNNNNNNNNNNNNNNNNNNNNNNNNNNNNNNNNNNNNNNNNNNNNNNNNNNNNNNNNNNNNNNNNNNNNNNNNNNNNNNNNNNNNNNNNNNNNNNNNNNNNNNNNNNNNNNNNNNNNNNNNNNNNNNNNNNNNNNNNNNNNNNNNNNNNNNNNNNNNNNNNNNNNNNNNNNNNNNNNNNNNNNNNNNNNNNNNNNNNNNNNNNNNNNNNNNNNNNNNNNNNNNNNNNNNNNNNNNNNNNNNNNNNNNNNNNNNNNNNNNNNNNNNNNNNNNNNNNNNNNNNNNNNNNNNNNNNNNNNNNNNNNNNNNNNNNNNNNNNNNNNNNNNNNNNNNNNNNNNNNNNNNNNNNNNNNNNNNNNNNNNNNNNNNNNNNNNNNNNNNNNNNNNNNNNNNNNNNNNNNNNNNNNNNNNNNNNNNNNNNNNNNNNNNNNNNNNNNNNNNNNNNNNNNNNNNNNNNNNNNNNNNNNNNNNNNNNNNNNNNNNNNNNNNNNNNNNNNNNNNNNNNNNNNAUUUGGAUCCUUUUCCAUGAUGAGUUGAUGGUUAAAUUAUGAGCAUUAAGGUCCGUCAACAAGCUCCCCCAAGCUUAACCUUUGCUCGUCCGUGAGCAAAGAUGAACUCAAGAGUUUCCGCAGUGGUUUCAUGCUUUAAAGUUAUACAUGCAUUCAAACAAGAUCUCAUCUCUGGGUUAGGGUAACUGUUAAGAUUUAAACUUACUCAUAUUACCUUUCACCAUGGGGCUUGCAACUGUCACUUUUGUCUUGAGCAGUUAAAGGAUAGAACGGUUUAGUCAAGCGCCAUGUCUCUUGUUCUUUGAUUAACUAUAGCACUGGAGUUUUUGUAGAUUUUCAAAUAAAACUCAGAGAUUCCUUGUAUGACUCUCUCUAGUCUCUCUUUUAUGGUAUUUCUGGAUCCUUACCAAGGCAGUAAUGGUGUAUGCCUUCUCUCAAAGUAUGUGGUAUUUUUGGUAUGAGGCAUAGUGAUAUUGCCUUCUCUCUCUCCCUACUCUAAUAAGGUUUUCGAUAACUGGAGCUCAUAGGUGGGAGACAGCAAAUACAUACUUACAAGACAUUUAUUGCAUAGUCAAACCAUGGAUCCAGAAGAACAAGUCAAUAAGUCAAAUCAAGAUGUGCAUGUGUGGCGAAUGAAUGGUGUAUGGUAAUGAUGGUGAUAACAAUGGUGAAAGUCUAAUUCUACUUGUGCUCUUUUGAGGGGAUACAUACCUUUCUUGCUCUUUUGAAACUUUUUGAGGAGAAUGAGAUGCUCUAUAUUUUCUUUUUCUUUCCUCUCAGGUGGGUAUCUUGUAUCCCUAAUUCUACUGUCGGACACUUGUCCAUUUUUACCUCUCGUGUCACUUUUUCUUUUCUUUCGAGGUUCCAGGCACUUGCCCCUUUUUAUUUCCUCGUAUACUUUUUUUUUCUUUUUUUAGAGCACUCAUCUCAUGAGAUAAUAUAGCAAGUGGUAGUAACCAAGAUAACUUGAGCAUUUAUUUCACAGGGAAAAAUAGAAAUGUUUUUGGCUAUUCUCUCUCGGAUUAAGAGUAGAAUAUUUUUGGGUGGUUCUGGAGAUGGAAAUGGGUGGAUAUAUGUGGAUGCGUACUUCCGGAAGAAGAAGUAGGCUAGAUAUUUAUGCUAACACUUAACUAGUUCCACAAAGCUUUGUUGUCUAUUUGAGCUCCACAGAAUUCAAGGAUCAAAGAAGAUCAGCUGACGGAGGACAUCCUAAUCGCUGUCAAGGUGCUGCCGACAUUCAAAUACACCUCCACCACCUGCUAGCUACAUGAGAAGAAAUUACGUCAAAAUCCAGCUUGGGGGAGAGCACCCCCAUUUAUCCAGCUAAGUAUUCUACUCACGUUUAUACUUUACUCUGAUAAUAAAAUGAUGCAUAAUCAUAAGAACCCAAAUAAAGAUUUUGUGCUUAUAUAUAUCUUUGCUUAGUGUUGGGUAUUCUUAACAUCAUUACCAAAAGUAGAUUAAAUUCUCUAAAUCUAGUAACGGUGCCAAAAAUGCCAAACCUAUCCCUCAUACCACUUAAGCCAAGUUGUCAUCCCCAGCAUGAUAUAAGAGACGCGGUAUUGAAAUAUGCAAUUGCUCUUCUAAAUAAAUAAUGAAUGGGAUCUGCAAGCGCACAGAUUAAUAUCGAUGCAGCAUUUUAACCGGGAAGUAUUCCAGGUAUCGUUAUUUAUAUUUUUACCACUGGGAAGGGAUUAACAAUCAUCACUAUUGAUUACAGAAUAGAAUAUGAGAUUGAGCAUCUAUCAUUGCAUGUAUAAUUGAGAACAUUAUAUCUAACUCUUCAUACAGGGAUAAGUGUCACAUAAAAGAUAUAUGAAAUAAUAAUAGUGAUAAGGAUAACUAAUCUGAUCUAGCCACAUAAUAAAUAUGAUAAGCACCUCAAUUAGAUACUCUAGAAAGUCAUUAGCAUGGUAUUAGAACGAACUACAAGAAUAUUCCCUAAGUUAUACUUAACUAUAUAGUCUAGCAUAUCAUAGUUAGUGCAAGCAUACUUAGCAAUCAUUGUGAGACAAGACUACGCCCAUGCAUAGUGAUAUUAGCAAGGAAUAUGAGAAACAUAGCAAUCACUCCCCUGUAAUAAUGUUGCUCUGCCAGCCCAAUACAUGAGAGGGGGACUAUAUAAGAAUCAAUGAAGUUGUCACUAUCACGAACCACCCCACGAUCUGGCAUAUUGGGUACAAUCGCAGAUAAAUACGGUAUAAGCACCACGCCUACACAAUAUCUAUCAUUUACCCAUGGAUCCGAUGGAUAAACGCUAUACGAUCCUAAGCAUGUAUAUAGAUCCAAUCUAACUAAGCCAAGUACAUAACUAUGAUAAACUAAGAGCAAUAUAAUCUUGAAUAUAAGCAAGUAGAGCAAAGUCAUAAGCAAUAUAUUGAAGUAGAUCAAAGUCAUAUUCAUAAUAUUGAAGAACAAAGAUAAUUAGAAAAUAAUUAGAAGCACAAUUAGAGAAUUACCAAGAAUCCUCUUGACAGAUCCGGAAACCAAUCGAAGAUUGACUCCUUCUAGUUCUAAUCCUAUGUAGCUAUGCUAAUCUAGAUAUCUAAUUGAUGUGGUGGCUCUAAUCUUGAUUAGAGGCUUCUUCUCCCUUGAUGGAACAAUGAAUUGGGGUUGAGAGGCUCUCUCCUCCAGGGGCCAGGGGGUCUGGUUUUAUAGUCCCUUCAAGUGAAUAUGGGCCGUUGGAUCAAACCGACAUAGAUUGUAUGGUUUAGAUUCAUCCUUUAGGUCGGUGGAGAUCUCCCGCAAAGCAGAGUCCUGAUUGGACUCCUGGAGGGGGCGGGCGCCCAGGGCAGGAGGGCGGGCGCCCUGCCUCUGGCCCCGUUUCGCCUCCGCUUCGGUCUCGUGGCUUCUGGAGUCUUCUAGAUGUAAGAUAAUUGCGCAGCACGUUAAUAUCUUUACGUAAUCCCGACGUGUGGGCCUUUCUUCCGUAUUUCCUGAUAACCCCCUGCAGAAAUAGACAAACACCAAAACUCGUGGAAUUCUGUCAGAUAAAACCCUAAGUCUAGAUGUUGAUUUCAUUUGGAUCCUUUUCUUUAU
RNAcentral lists this long non-coding RNA (110454 nucleotides) under Sorghum bicolor (sorghum). RNAcentral's name for it is "long non-coding RNA (SBIC_LNC012177)". The record is from RNAcentral. Lineage: Eukaryota; Viridiplantae; Streptophyta; Magnoliopsida; Poales; Poaceae.